Molecule: long non-coding RNA, 138429 nt
Filed under: Vitis vinifera (wine grape)
Lineage: Eukaryota; Viridiplantae; Streptophyta; Magnoliopsida; Vitales; Vitaceae
Description: long non-coding RNA (VVIN_LNC003471)
Source: RNAcentral
UCGACUGCAAUGCCUUGGGGGCUCUACUCAUUGCAGUCGAGUCCGAAGGCAAAAUCGAUGACUAUGGAGACUUCCGACCAACCCCAGAGAUCCGAGCUCUCAUCCCUUCAGUGGAUUACGACAAGCCAAUCGAUGAACUACCAUUGCUGUUGGUGCAACUCACCAAGUUUAGCUGUGGUAGCAUGAGUCUGGGCUUGGGAAUAUCGCAUACCAUCGCUGAUGGCCUUAGUGCAUUACACUUCAUUUCAGAGUGGGCUAAAAUCGCCCGUGGCGAGCAAGCCAACAGCCCACCAUUUCUGGAUCGAUCAGUUUUACUAGCCCCGGAGCAUUUGACCGCACCAGUGUUUGAUCAUCCAGAGUUUGGUCCUCAACCCCUCUUGAUUGGGAAGCAAGAUAACAUGGAAGAGCGGAAGAGAGAAACCACUACACUCAUGUUAAAAUUAAGCAAAGAUCAAGUCGAGAAACUGAAGGACAAAGCCAACAAAGAUCGGAGUCCUUCCGACAACAAGCGCCCCUACACCAGGUAUGAGGCUAUUGCUGGACACAUCUGGAGGAGUGCGUGCAAGGCACGUCAGCAUGAAAGCCAGCAGCCAACACUAUUGUCUAUCAUCGUUGAUGCUCGCAAUCGCAUGGAGCCACCAUUGCCCCCCAGGUAUUUCGGAAAUGGUACAUUUCGGGUAACUGCUGAAACCACAUCAGGGGAGCUAGUCUCCAAUUCUUUAGGUUUUGCUUCAGGUAAAGCGCGACAGGCAAUAGAGAAGGCAACGCAUGAAUAUUUACAAUCAUCUCUUGUGUAUGUGAAAUGUCAGGAGGAUGUGACCAAUUUCAGGAAUUUCCACACCGUUGGGUGCGCCAAAGGGGCUUUCUAUGGGAACCCUAAUCUUGAGAUCACUAGCUGGGCUAGACUUCCCAUCUAUGGGGCAGAUUUCGGGUGGGGCCAGGAAAUAUACAUGGGGCCUGGAGGAAUUGGCUACGAUGGUAAGGUUUUCGUAUUUCCCGGCCAGGGUCAAGACGGAUCAUUCGUUGUUGCGUUGAGGCUGCAAGUACGCCACGUUGACGCUUUCCAGAAAUUCUUCUACGAAGAUAUUUGAGACUAUACCUAGUAUUUGAGUCUUCAACAAUAAAAUCCCAUCUUUCCCUUUAUUAAGUAAACUCAUUUCAUUAAUAUUUGAGUUUGAUUUUGAUUUUGCUUAAUUUUAUUAGAAAUUUGGAUUUGAUUGGAAAAGAAUAGAGAGAGCCAGUGUGUUUCUUUCUCAUAAUAACUUGUUCUUGUAUUGGAAAAUAUUUUGUCUUCAAAAACCAUUUUCAAUUAAUCCUUUACUAUAAAAUGAGGAUAAAACGUAACCCUAGGCUACUUUUCUAAGAUAAAUCAUAAUCCUUUGCUAUAAGUAUUAAUAAUAAUAAAAAAAAAACUCGAUGUACAAAAGAAAAGCAAACUUUGUAUGGGACUAAAUAGUGAAUAUUUCUUCUAUUGCCCUGGACUUCAUUUCUGACUCCGCCACUGUCGUAGAACGUGGGCAAAGCACGUUCUUUCCAUGGACGGGUCAUUUCCAUGUCUACGUCAGAAGUCAGGCUGUCUGGUGUUUUUGCCAAUUUCUUGUUGAAAUUAGAACAGGCAAGGGUUCGGUCCUGUACCUUACCCCGGGUCAGGUCAGCACAGCACAGAUUUACCUGUCUUGUAAGGCACAAGCUUGUCAGCGCAUAAUGCGCUGCAUCAUUGCAUUAAAGGUCCACCCACACGCCGUUUACCCCAUUUUUAUUUAUUUAUUAUUAUUAUUAUUAUUUUUUUAGAAUUGUGUUUUUAUCCGACUACCCUCAAAAAUUAACAUUUGAUCCAUAUAUAAUGGAUAUUUAAGUCAAAGAUCCAAACAAAGUAUAAAAAUUAAAAUGAAGGAAAUUAUCUUUUAUUAAUUUUUAAAAUACCCUUAAUCCUUAAAUAGACACAAGUGAAUGUGAAUUUCAAAUUUUUUUAUGUUUUUUUUUCAUUUUCUUUCCAUUUUCUAUUCCCUAUUAAGUAUUACUUAUUUUUAACUUCUUUUUCUCUCAAUCUAUAUUUUUAUUUUAUGUCAAAUAAAAAAUAAUAAUGUUUUUUUGUUUUUCAUUUUUAAAGAUAUUAAAUCUUUUUGCUCUUAUUAUAAGCAAUGAUAAAAAUUUUGGGAUUUUUCAUCCAAAUAUUUUUUAUCUUUUUGCAUUUAUCUUUUAGUUUAAUUUUCAUUUUUAAUUUUAAAUUUAUAUUACCCUUUCAUUUAUACUUUUCUCUUAUUUUUAAUUAUUUUUUAUAUUUUCUACAUUAACCAUAUUUUAAAAAAUUUAAAAAUUGACUAUCACUUCAAUUUAUUUUUUAUAUAUAUAUAUAUACUUUUAGCUUUUUAAUUUUUAAUGUUUCUAUUUUAAAAUUUUUAAAAAGAUAAAUUUAUUGAAAAAAAUAACUAAGGUAUGAAGUUCUAAUAUAAUAUUAAUAAUUUUUCUUAUCUAAAUAGAUUAAUGCAAAGUAUUUUGACUCACAACAAGAAAAUUGUCAGUACAAUUUUUUAGUUAAACUUUAGAAAUUAAAUUUUAAAUAAAAUAUUUUAUAUAAAAUUUUAUCUAAAAAUUAUUGAAAGUGGUAUUUAAUUUUUUUUAUUGACUUUCAAACUUAUCUAAUUUUUUACUUGAAGGGUAAUAGAACAUGUUUACAAAAAAAAAGAAAAAAUUAGUUUUUCAUUUUUUAAAUAAAUGAGUAUAAAUAUAUUAAAAAAAAUUAAAGAUAAUCUUAGUAAAAAUUUGAUAAAUAUGAUUAUAAUUUUAAAUAUAGACUCAUUUGGAUAAAAUUUCACAAAAAAAAAAGUAGUGGAAAGAAAAAACAUUGCUAAAAUUAUAAAAACAAAAUAUGCAAUUACAAAAUUUGAUGAUGAAAUUUAAAAAUAAAAUUCGAAAAAAUUCUUGAGUGAGAGAAUUUGAGUGGGGAAAAAUAGGAAAGUUUUUCAAAAUCACUUGAAAUCCUUAACAAAAAAUAGUCUUGUACACCUUUGUACAAUUAGUAAAUUUGUUUUGUAUAGUUAGUGUAAUACCCUUAUACAAUAACUCAAAUUUUAACAUCAUCUCAUGAAUAUCUGACAAUAGGUCGAUUAACCAUAUUUGCAUUGGUUUGGUUUUAGAAAAGAAGAAAAAUUGUUAUAUAAUUUUGUUUUACAAUUAUCAUAAGUGAGGUACCUAUUCAAAUGACCAUAUACAAGUUAGAGUACAUGAGAUGAAUGUAUGCUUAACCAAUGUGUGUAAGGAAUGUCAUUUAUCCUCGGUUAGGGGAAAUAAACAAACAAAAUUUUCAAAAUCACUUAAAAUCCUUCACAAAUAAUAGUCUUGUACACUCUUGUACAGUUAGUAUAUUUGUUAUGUACACUUAAUGUAAAUACCUUGUACAGUGACUCAAAUUCCAUAUACCCUGUACUUAAUGUGUAACCAUAGGUAGGUUAACCAUGUUUUCAUUGGUUUGUUUAAAAAAAUAGUGGAAGAUGGAAAAACAAAAUUUUCUCUCAAACAUCAUUAAUGGUUAGAACAUUUGUCUUGUAUAGUUAGAACAUUUGCCUUGUCCAAUUGAACAUUUACCUUGUACAAUUAGUAUAAUACCAUUGUACAAUGGUGCAGAUUUCAUUCAUAUGCAUACAUUAUGUGUCACAUAUGAUGUGUGAACCAUGUUUCCAAUGAUUUGAUUUAAAAAAUGAUAUAAAACGUAAAAACAAAAUUUUUCUCUAAACAUCAUUAUUAAAGUAGGCAUUUGAAUUGUUGUAUGCGAGUUAAAUAAAGUACAUGAAAUAAAAGAAUUUGUGGUAGGAGAACGUAUAAUCCAUAGAUGACAAGAAAAAAAAAAGUUGUUCAAAAUGUAUAGUUUUGUAUACCCCUUGUACAAUUAGUGUAAUAACCUUAUAUAAUGAUAUAAAUUUUAUAUAUAUGUAUAAAUUAUAUCCACAUGAGUGUGUAAACUAUGUUCCUAAUAGUUUGAUAUUUAAAUAAUUAAAUAAAUAAACCGUUAUUUUAUUUUAUUUUCAAUGCAAAAUGUAAUUAAAAAUAAGACAAAGAAAUUACUUAAAAACUAUUAUUUAAUCCAAGUUUAUUUAUUUAUUUCCUUUUAUUUUUGGAAAUAAAGAAAAAAGAAUAAAAAAUUUAUUUAACCAUAAGAAAUAUGAAUAGAAGAUCAGUUAGAAAAUACUAAAUUUAUUUAUUUAUUUCAUUUUAUUUUUGGAAUAAAAGAAAAAAAUUUAUUUAACCAUAAAAAAUAUUGAUAUAAAAUAUGUUAAAAAAUAGAAAUAAUCCUAAAUUUAUUUACUUAUUUCAUUUUAUUUAUUUAAAUUAGAAAGUAAUUUAUUUUAAUAGAUUAAAAUGUACAUAAUUGAUUUAUUACUUUCUUAAUUGUGUAUAUAUAUAUAUAUAUAUAUAUAUAUAUAUAUAAUUUAGUUAUUUAAUUAUUUUUUAUGUAAAAGAUAGUCCCACAAAAAACACAUAAUUGAUCAAUUUCUUUAUUUAAUUGUAAACAUACUAUAUUUUUUUAUUUUUUUUAUUAAAAUAACUAAUGGAAAAAAAUAAAAAUGGAUAAUCAAUGAAUGAAAUUUAAUUAUUUUUAUUAUUUUCAUAUAAAAAUAGUAUUAAACAAGGUUUUCAAUUUUUAUUUUUAAAAAUAGUUUUCAUUUUUUAAUUAAAUGUUUUUUCAAAAAGAAAAUAUAAAAAAUAUAAAUCUGUGGACCCCGCAUUUCGUGCUCAUGCGUUUCCCACUCGAUGAUGAGUUCGAUUUUUAUUUUGAAAAAUGAUUUAAUUGGUUAAAAAAAAUGACUUGGAGUCGCCACUUAUUUUUGUUUUAUUUUUAAAGGUUAAACAAAAUAAGAAAGAAAACCCUAAGUGUGACUCCUUAUUUUGGAAAAAUGUGAUCUCCGAAAAACCGAAUCGGGUUCGGGGAUCAGGUUACUUAUCAGGAAGGUACGGUAAAAACCGUAUCACCCUUCUAAGUCCCUAAAAAAGGGUCUCUACUAAUAAAAUGAAGCUGAUGUGGCAAUUGAUGAGUAAAUCAAUGAAUAUCCUGAAUGAUCAUGCACACAUAAGAAUCGAGACAUGCAUAUAGAAAGACCAGAAAGAGAGUGGAUGCGCACCUGGGAGAUAAGCCACAAUGUGCUAUCAAGAGAUAGGGUUAGCGCAUAAUAAUGAACAUGAAAUAUGUCACUCAAAACAAAAAUAACUGAAUGAACAAAAGAGGCAAAAGACGUACCUAAGUGAUGAACUCAUUUAUUUCAUGGGAAACAAAGGUUAGUGAACAAAUUCAGAGCAAUCGUGUGCAUAACAUAGAAUAGAAUGAAUCACUCAUAUAUAGCAAUCAAAACAACCAGCCAAUCAAUCAAUCAGUCAUAAAGUCACAUAUGUCGGGCCCCCACCAAAGCCCAUUUAUUUUUGCAUGAAUUAUUUUCGUAAAUUCCAUUCAUUAGAAUCACAAAGUUAAAUUCGUGCUUAUUGAAAUCAAGAGGAACAUGAGAUUGUUCGAAAAAUGGAAUUAAAACAAUUGGAGAGGAAAUCGGAAUUUUGAAAUUCAUUUGAAAAAUUGGGGUCUUGAAGGUUAUUUAAAAUUUGGAGUUUUAUAGUUUAUUUGGAGAUCAGACUUUCAGAAAUUAAAUGCGAGAAUGAGAAUUUUUAGAAAUUAAAUUUGAACGAGAUCGGAAACUUGAAAAUGAUUUGAGAGUUCGGGAUUUUAAAUGAGUGGAUAAGCGGAUGAGUGAAUAAGUAAAAGAAUUGAAUAAUAAUGAUGGUGAAAUAAUAAAGAUUAGGUAAAUAAUUGCGAAAGAUGGAAUUUUAGACAUUUGAAGAUGCGAAUUUAGAGAUUGAAAACUUAAGAAUUUAUUUAGAGAUGAGAUCUUUGGUAUAUGAAUAACUGAAUAAAUAAGUGGAUGAGAUAACAUUAAUAACGAGAAUAAUCAUUAAACGGCGAUAUAUGGACGGUGGAGUUUUUGAGAUUGGAAAUUAGAUUUGGAAGUUGGAUUCUGAUGAAUUAAACUUUAACGAUUAGAAUAAUCAGAUAAUAUGGAAUAAUAAUGCUACUUAAUGGAAACGAUAUUUUGAACGAAUAGAGAAGGAGCAGUGGAAUUUUAAGAUUGAAAAUUAAGUUAGGACGUUGAAUUUUUGAAGAGUUGGAUCUUAAAUGAAUAAAAAGAUAAAGGAUAAGAAUUCUAGUUAACAAAAAUAACGUUUGGGCGAAUAAUAGAAUUUCUAAGGUUGAAAGUUAAAUUGAGAUUUUUGAAAGAUUGAACUUUAAAUAAAUAUGGGAUGAUGAUUCUAAUUGAUGAAAAUGAAAUUUAAAUGAAUUGUAGAAUUUUUUUAGGAUCGAAAAAUUAAAUUAAAAUAUGAAUUUUUUGAACGAUUAGACUUUAAAUAACUAGAUAAAUACGGGAUUAAAAUUCUAGUUGAUGAAAAUAAGAUUUAAAUGAAUAUUUGAAGAAUUAAAUUAAGACAUGGGACUUUUGAAAAAUUACUUAAAGACCUAAGUUUUGAAAAUGGGAUUUAAAGUUUAGAAUGUAGAAAAAUGCUUUGAGUCCAAUAUAAAUUAAUUUAUACAAAAGUUUUUCAUAUAUGGUGAUUUAGACAUAAUUUAAAGAUGGGAAGGUGAAAUAUAAAUUAUUUUGUGUUUUGAAAGGAUAUCCAACCUUAAUAAUUUGUCCUUUAAUCGUCUUCAAGUUGAGUUAAAUAAAUUGGUAUAAAUAGAAUAAGAUAACAAAUAAAAAUGAAUGAUUGAAUUAAUUAAUUAUGGAUAUUAGAGAUUUUUAAGAGAAUUAUUUAGGAUUUGGGCAACCUAAUGGGCUAAGUUGAUGUGGGCAUGGGCCAAUGAGGGUGGCUAGCAUAGGGGGCAUGGGGCCUUUCAUCAACAUGCUUGGGUUGGGCUCCAACUCAAGCCCAAACCCGUCACCAAGAGCAUAGGUCUGGGCUCCAACUUAAGCCCAAGGCACCAUCACCAUAAAAGCUUGGGCCUGGGCUCCAACUUAAGCCCAAGGCACCAUCACCAUCAAAGCUUGGGCCUAGGCUCCAACUUAAGCCUAAGUUCAAGGCCAAUAUAGGCAAGCCCAAAACGUAUUUCUAUCACAAACCUGGGCUUGGGCUCAAACCUCCACCUAUGGGCAAGCCUAAAAGGCUCCAAAUCCCCUCACAGCCCACCACUCCAACCGGAUCCUUCCUUCAACCCCACUCCUUGGAGACCCUCUUAUGUUGAUGGAGAGUGCACUGAAGAUGCCUCACGUAUAGGGAGAGACACGGUUUUUUCGGGUAUGUGAGUAAUGGGCAUGCAUGAGAGAGCAUGGAGAGUGGAAUGGAUGCAUGGCGUGGUGCAGAGAGAGAAAAGGUGGUGAGGGACAUGUGGUGUGGUGUAGAGAGAGAAAAUAUGGUGAGGGACAUGUGGUGUGGUGUAGAGAGAGAAAAUGUGGUGAGGGGAUUGUGGUGUGGUGUAGAGAGAGAAAAGGUGGUGAGGAAGAAAAUGAGGGAGUUGGGUAGUGAAGGUAAGAGAUGGACGGGUGAGGAAUGGGUGGUGAGUGAAAGUGUUCAUGGGGGGUGGCCAUGCAUAUUGGAUAGGGUAUGUGAGCAUGGAAGGUUUGCAUGGAUAUGAGGGCUAGGGUAUACAAACGUGGAGAGUUUGCAUGGGUAUGAGGGUGGUGAUGUGCAUGGGUAAGUAUGGAGGUUUGAAAGGAUGGGUAUGUGUUGAUGAAUGGCAACCAUGGGGGGUAGCCAUGCAUGCAUGAUUCCCAUGCAUGUAGGUGGGUGGCUUUGGGAUUCCUAUGGAGAUGAGCAUGGCAUGGGUAUGGUGGACAGCCGGGUAUGAAAAUGGAUGGUAAGAUUAGCUUCUGUAAGUGGGUGUGAUGAAUGGAUGGGGAAGAAUAAUGGGGAGUGGGUUUAAUGGGCUUGGAAUUAAUGGACUGGGUGGCCGGAUUUAGUGAGAGAAAUGAGGCAACGGUCUGGGUACAGAGAGGUGAUGGUGUGGGGUCUAUAAAGGUGGUGGACUUGGGAAGAUCUCCACCAGCUAAUGCAGUUGGAUGGAACUACAUGAAUGCUGUGUUGGAAAAUUACAGCCUAGGAGUGACGUGCCAUGGCUAUACCAAGAGUAAAUGAAGAUAACAAAAACAAAGCACAAAAAGUGGAUUCAAGCAACGAGCCCAUACAGGCCAUGCUUCAUAUCUUAAUCAACAAGCUUAGAUGGGGGUGGGAGAAAUCAAAUGAGUAUCUAUAAAAGGGUAAAACACGGUUACAAAAUAUCUCAUGAAGGAAUCAAAAUAGGAGCAAACUAAUCUACAGCAAAACCAUUAGCAAAACAUGAACAUGGUCAGUCCUAGUCCACAAACAUCAUCUAAGAAACACCAGAAAAAAAACAUAAGAGCAUACCAGUAGAAGCUAAUGGGGAAUCCACAAUAAAGGUACCUGAAAACGCUUCUCUUCAGCAAAGUGCCGUGGAUUUCUCCCUAUUCUUGCUCUAGAAGCUCUCCAGAAAAUUCACAAAACUCCCCUACUUCUUUUCCAGCGAGCCCCCCUCUUUCUCAGACGUCUCCCCCCAUCCUCCUCUCUUGUUCACCUCAUCAGCAAGUAUGGGAGACCCCAACCACCCUCAUGGGCAGCCAUGCCUCCGGCUAGUUGUCCACGUAUCAGCUCAUGCAUGGGAAGGUCCCCCCUCUCUUCUUCCACAGAUGUCAUGCAAAAGGAGAAGGAAAGGAAAAAAAACUUCCCGGGCCCCCCUUACUUCAAAAGGGGUCUACAAAAUCAUAUUACCAUUUUUUUAGAAAGUAUUUAUUUAAAUAGUUUUUGAACAUAAUUUUUCUUUAUUUAUAAUUUAAAAUAGAAAAUAAUGCUGAUUUUCAAUUAUUUAUAAUUUUUUUAAAAAAACAAUGAAAAAUCCAAAUUGUUAAAAUAGAAUUAUUAUGGUUGCAUGAAUAGUGGUGCAAUAAAGAUAAAAAAAGCUUAUAUGAAAGGUCAUUGGGUAUUUUAGUCCAUCACUAUUUUAUAGCCUUAAAAGGUAAUAUAUAGAAAUUUGAAGGAUAUAUUGGUCUUUUAACAUCUUAUAUUCUUUCCAUCAAUUAUGGAAGUUAUAUGGACUAAAUGUUAAUUUUUGGGUCCAGUUGGGCCCAAAACACAAUUCUCCGUUAUUUUUUUAUGGUAGUAUUGAAAAACAACCUUACCAUCAUACGACCAUACGUCAAUAUACUUUCACUUCAUUGCCUUGUCAUUUUCCCCUAUAUUUUCACUUCGUUGCUUUAUCAUUUUCCCCUAAUGCAAAUUGUUCAACUCAACGACACCAAAUAAAUAGUACUGAUGUUAAGUACAACUGUUGUCCUUUGAAACUUAUGAGACUUAUGUUUAAAUCAUUGUUUUAAAAAUCGGAUCGGAUCGGCCGGUUGAAUCAUCGACUGAUGAACUUUUUAAUUCGGUCCAUCUCAAUGAAUCGUUUUGUGGUCAAACCGGCAUUGAAUCGUUCAAACCGACAGUUGAACCGUCAAAUCGGACAAACUGUCCCGGCCAGACCUUAAUUCUACAAAUAUUUGUUUACUAUUAAGAGACUCAUUAUCCAUCGGGCCCAUUCCAGACCUAAUACUUUUAAAACUGAAACUAAUUAUAAGCCCAUAUUUGGUGGUCCAAGCCACUAGGCCCAAUCCAACGACAAGAAAGCUUAUAAAACUUUUAUUUGGGUCAUGCCUCUAGGCCCAAUUUGCUGGCAUGUUUGGCUUACAAGGCAUGUUGCAAAGUAUUUAUAGAACACUUAGACAUAGAAUUCAUGUGCUUCUGAUGUGGGAUUGGGAAUGAAACUAAUUAGAGGUAAAACAUUGCCUCUUUGAGGGUUGGACUCACGAAUCUCUUAAAAAUUAAAGUUUGAACUUUGAAGUCUUUGAACCAUCGAGUAUUGCACCAUAUUUAUUAAAUGAUGUUGUUAAAAAAUAUAUAUAAUAAGAAUCUAAGAUUAAUGUUUUUAUUUCAAAUUUUUAUCAUAUAAAAUCUUUAAAGAAAUGUAAAUAUUUAAAUUCUUGUUUAAUUUUAUAAUAAUAAUAUAAUAAUAAUUAUAAAAAAUAAUAUAAAUUAAUUAAUAGAAUAAUUUUAAAACAAUAAAAUACAAAGACAAAAAUUUAAAAUUAAAUAUUAUAAAUUAAAUCUAAGAAUGAGGAUAUAUUUAAAAUAUGUAAUAUUACAUAUUUCUAUUUAAUAAAAUUUAAAAUGUUAAACUUUAUCAUUUAAUUUAAUAUACCAAAUAUAAAAAUCAAACAUCAUUAAAAUUUGUAAUUUUAUAUAUUUUUAAUUUUAUAUAAUAUAUAAAUUAUAUAUUUAUUACAUUACCGGUUCAACCGCUGUUCAACCGUCGAUCCGACCAGUGAAUCGUGAACCAUGAAUCGUGAACCGAUAAUUUUUUCGAUUCAAUGACCGGUCCGAUUAUGAAAACAUUGGUUUAAAUUGAUCUCUUUGGUGCCAUGUAGGAGUCAUGUCAUGGAAGCAUAUAUAUAUAUAAUUCUUUUUUUAAAAUUUUAGUUAAAGUCUUAAUUGGUAAAUGAAGUUUUAUUUUUUGAUUGAAGGCGUAGUUGCUAACUGAGACAUCAAUUUUUAAACUAAAACCGCAAUUGUCAAUUGAGACUUUAUUUUUUAACUGAAACCUUAAUUGGUAACUAAGACUUUAUUUUUGAACUAAAACCUCAAUUACCAACUGAUGUUUCAGUUAUUUUUUUUUUUACUUUAAAAUUUAAUUAAAAACUAUUAAAUUAUAAUUUAUUAUUAAAGUUAAAAAUACAUACUUUAAUAACAAAUUAUUUAUAUUUAAACUUAAGAAUUUAGUAUUACUUCAACAAACAUAAAUUGAUAAAUAGAAAAUAUUAUAAAUGAAUAUUUUAUUUAUUAAUAAAUUAAUAAUUUUAAAAUAAUAAAAUUUAUAUAGCAUAUAAAUAAGAUAUAAAAUUGUAUAAUUUAUUAAUUUAAGAUAUUAAUUUAUUUGUAUUAUGACAAAUUUAUCUUUAUCAAAAUAAUAUUAUACACUUAAGCCGCAGUAGCCAAUUGAAGCUUCAAUUAAUAUAUAUAUACUAUUAAAUCACAACUUAUUAUUGAAAUUAAAAAUAUAUACUUUAAUAAUAAAUUAUUUAUAUUUAAACUUAAGAAUCUAGUAUUACUUCAAUAAACAUAAAUUAAUAAAAAAUUACGAGUAUGUCUUAUAUGACCUAAAUAAUGGCAAUAAAUUGUAGCAUUGGUCAUAAUACUAAACAUCAAUAUGGGCAUCAGGACCUUUGUCUUGGGCAGUAGCAUAUUCGAAAUGGAUAAGAAUUAUUCCAUAAUUCCCUAAAUACAAGCUUCUAACUAACGGUUUCUCCAUUGACAAUUUUGACAAACACAUGGAAAAAAAAAUAAUGAAAGGCUACUAAGGAAGUUUCCCGGAGUUCCAAUAACAUCACAUCUAAAAAGACAAGUGAACUAAUUCUAUUCUAUAGUUCUUAAAAAUUGUUUUUAAUUGUUUUUAAGAACAAAAUUAUGUUUGAGAAUUCAGAUAUGAAAUAAAAUUUGCUUAAUUUAUUCUUCAUAAAAUUACUACAUACUUAUAUACAAUACAAAAAUUUAUAAAAUAUUUUUAGAAAACUAUUUUAAAAAAUAAUUUCUAUCCGUGGUCCUAUUAUCCCAUUAGUGGGCAAGCAAAUUUUGGGUUAUACUAGUAUGUCACUUUACCCUACAACACUUAAAUACUAGAAAGGGUCAAUCCCGAUCUACCUUUCUAACAUCACUUAAACAAUGAGGGUCAAACUUAAAACCUUAGGUUUAUCGUUGAAGGAGACUGCUAUUGAGAUACACUCUAACAAGAUUCAAUCUAAAUGAAAAUAUUUUCUAAUAUAAGUAGUAUGUUUCAAUGUUGUUAUUAAAGACUUUGUGGGCAUCUACUAGACAAUCCAGUUUGGUGUAGUCAUGGAGAAAUUUGUAGGACUAGUUUUUGGUUUUGAGAAAAGCCUAACUCUAAGGUUACUAUUGCCUUUGCAUGGAUUUGCUUGAGUUUUUCAACGUUGCCACAUUUUCCCUACAGGAAAUGGAAGGUUUUGGUGUUCACCUAUAUAUCACUAUUUGUGCGCAUUCAAAAGUGCUCUUCCACUUUAUUCACAAGUCACAACCCAUCUAAUGGUAAUACUCUUGUUUGGAUGCUGAGAAACUCUUGUCUGGUCCUCUAACAAAAAUGCAAAGCUAGUUGAACAAAUUAAAUUAAAUAAAUAAAAAUAAAAAUACCACAUUUCCCCAGUAUCUUUAUUUUUCACAUAAUUAAAUUAAAUAAAAAUCAAACAUUAGUAGUUGAAUUCAUAUUUGUUUAUAGUAAGCCACAAUCUAAAUUUGACCAUGUUACAUCCUAACUAUGAUAGCUUUUAAAAGAAAAAGAAAAUUGCCUUUUGUCAUCUACAUAGUACUUGGCAAUACAGGAUAUAAAUUAUAAUAGGAGUUAUAAAACUUUAGAUGAUAUCAUGGAAAUGAAAUUAUUCCACUUACACUUGAAAUGAGUCUACUUUACCAUUAGCCUACUUGGCCAGGUAGUUCCAUUUCAUUACCAUCGCAUAUGAUAUCACUCUGCUCCAUUGCAUUUGAAGAAUCAAUUUGUAAGGUUCCAUGAAGCUCAAAAAUUAAUUUUAAGUCCAUUCAUGAUUAGGUCAUGAAAGGAGUGGGGUGAUGAAUAGAUACAAAAAAAAAAAAAAAAAAAAGAACUUCAAUAAGACCACUUGAAUUCUAUAUUGACCAAAAAACUUCGGAAAAUCAGCAAAUAGUCAAAUAGUCAAACAGAGUAAGUCAGCAAAUAGUUUCUUCAAUAUCCAAAAUAUUGUCAAAUAGUUAUCCUCAUCAGGAAUGGAAAUAAGUUAACAAGUGAUCUUGUAGUUCAUGUCAUCCUCAAUUUGGAAAUAUAGAAGACGGUUUUUUUUUUUUUUUUUUUCUAUUUCUCAAUUUUGUUUUAGAAACUUGGAAGAGAGAAAAUCAAUUUAGGUGGUGUUUUUUUUUUUUAAUAAAAAAUUUCCUACUCUAAUUUUAAAAAUCCACUCGUGGAUUUUUGUAUAAAUUGCCAUUGUUAGAGAAAUAAGAAAACAAUGACCAUGUUGAGAAAUCGAGAUUACGGGAUGGGAAAGAAGAGGAAAAAAACUUUACAUAAUAAAAAGGCAAAAGGAAGAUGAGGACCAACCUCAACCUUGAUGCUUUGCAACUCCAACAAUGUUUCUCUCACAAUGACCCACUAGUGAGGCUAGGGUUUGAAGAGAAAAACUGGACAAAGCAACCAUGUGAUAGGAAGCAAAUGGGAAAGUAAACAAAAAUAACAUAAAAAAAUGGUCUGUGCUUAUGUGGAUAGAUGAGGGCUAUUUUGAAUAAUUGUUUUCGAUGAAGCCCAAUCUUAACAUUAAGUAUAAGAAGAAGCCCAUUUUAGCCCAAAACUCAGCUGCUCAAGGCAUAAUGCGCUGUCAUCAUUGCAUUAAAGGUCCACCCACAUGUUGUGUACCUAAUUUUAUUUUAUUUUAUUUUAUUUUUUCAAGGGUAGUAUAGAAAAACAACCUUAAAUUAGGCUACCUUACAUCUAUUUAUUUUCACUUCGUUGUCUUAUCAUUUUCCCAUAAUGCAAGUUGUUCAACUCAAUAACACCAAAUAGUUAGUACUGAUAUUAAGUGCAACUGUUGUUCUUUGAAUGGCCACUAUGUUCAACAACUAGUCUCAAGCCUUUACAUGUGAAAUAAAAUUCCAACUUUUAAAUAAAGAAAGAAAUAUGAUAUGGUAAAAAAAAAAAAAAAUCAAAUUAUGUAUAAAGAAAUACUUAAAAAUGGAUAAGCUAAUGUUUUGUCAAAGAACUAAAAAGAAAGAAACUUUUGGAAGAAUGAACUCAUUCUCAUUGAUUGAUUGUGAUAGUAUAAAGGAGUUUACAGAUUGAGAGAGAGUAAUACAACAAACUCUAACUGGUUUAGUUAUAGAUUGUUGUAUUUAGUAACUAAUACUAAUAGCUUAAUGAACUAUAUAUCCUAACACGCUUCCUCAAACUUAAGGUAGUGAAAUCCUUUAUUCUAAGUUUGUUUUUGAAAUUGAAGAACAAUGAACUUGACACUGCCUUGGUGAGUAUGACUGCAACUUGAUUUUGAGUAGGAAUGCGUCUUACAUCAACUUGUUUGGUGAGAACUUUCUUUCAAAUAAAGUAUAAGUCCAACUCUAUGUGUUUAGUGUGUGAAUGUUGGAUUAGGUUGGUUGCAAAUUGGAUUGUACUUAGAUUAUUAUCAUGAGACAACACAAUAGUCAAACUUGUUUGAAUAGUAGUCGGUUUGACUAUGGGGCUAAAAGUUUCUACAAAAUUGAAACCAACCACUUGGUGAUAUCCUUUAGCUACUAACUUAGCCUUAUAACGUUCAAUUGUUUCAUCUUAUUUCUCUUUUAUUUUGCAGACCCACUUGUAGCCUAUAGACUUUCUAUAAAUUGGUAAUGAGAACAAACACUAAUUUUUAAUUCUCUGUAAGGCUUGGAACUCAUCCUUCAUAAUAGCAUGCUAAGAUAGUUGUUGAAGAGCCUUAGUACUAGAAGUAGGAACACUGAUGGUGACAAAUACUUGAGGCUUAAAUAUACUAUUCUUAGACUUGGUGGUCAUUUGAUAAGUAUUACCUGCAUUAGAAAUAGUAGGUAAUGGUGUAGUAAUAGUAGAAUGGUUAAGAUCAGAUAUAGGAAAGGAAACGUUAACAUCAAGUUUUGUAGAUUGAAUAACACCAUCAAUUCUAAGAUUAGAAAUAGAAAAUCUAUGAUCAAUAACAUAAGGCUAUGAGAGAACAAGUUUGAGGGGUAUAGAAGUAGAAGAAAGAAUAGAAAAAAUGUAGAUUGAGUAGGAUUAAAACAAAUAGAUUGAGUCAGAGAGGAAGAUUGUGCAAAAGGAAAAACAUGCUUAUCAAAGUUAACAUCACGAGAUAUGAAGAUUCUUCCAAAGGUAUCAAGACAUCUGUAACCCUUAUGAUUUAAGCUAUAACCUAUGAAUAUGCAAGGAAUAGAUCAAAAUUGGAGCCUGUGAUGAUUGUAUGGUUUAGUAUUAGGAAAGCAUAGGUAGCUAAAAACUUUGAGUUAAGAGUAGGUAAGUGGUAUUUUGAAUAGAAUUUCAAUAAGAGACUUGUGUUGUAGAAUUGUGUGGGAGUUCAAUUUAUUAGAAAAACAAUUGUUCUAUAAGCUUCAUCCCCAAAUUUAAAAGACAUCGGGGCUUGUGUAAGUAAGGUUAAACUAUUUGUAAUAAUGUGACGAUGUUUUCUUUUAGCCAAACCGUUUUGUUCACGAGUUCUAGAACAUGGAUUCUAUGAACAAUACAUGAGGAGUUAGAAAAUCAGUGAAAACCCUAUACUCCCUUCUCCAAUUAGUUUGGAUCAAUUUUAUUUUAUAAUCAAGUUGGAUUUCAACAAGAUUUUUGAAAUUUAAAGACUCAAGUACAUAAAGACAAUCUUUGAGUUCUAGAUGUUUAUUAUUCUCUAAUGCUAUGGUAACAUUUCCUACUACUUGCACAACUAUUCUCACAAAAGAUGUGAAAGUUCAGUACAUUUCUCCCUUAUUUAGCUCUCUCAUUGGUUUAAACUCCUAUAAAGAAUUAGAAAUAUGGUCAGUGGCCCUAGAAUCUAUCCACCAUGAUUGGAGGAAUCCACCACUAAACAUGAGUCAACUAAAAGUGAAUGGGACAUACAUUUCUUUUCUUCAGAUAGUCAAGACAUUCCUUCUUCCAGUUGUCUUUCUUUUCACAAAUGAAACACUUGCCCUUUUUUUUACUCUUUCAUUUCCUAGCCUUGGUCUUUCCCUAUUUGGAUUUCUUGGCAAUGUUCUUCUUAUUAUUAUUAUGGGAAGAACUUGAAGAAUCUUUUAUUGCCAUAAGAACACUUAUAGAAUCCUUAAGAAUUCCCUUAACCAUCUAAAACUCUUUCAUCAGUUCUAGCAAGCUUAACAUUAACUUAUUCAUAGUGUAAUUGAGCUUGAACUACUUGAGGGAGUCUAGUAAGGUCUCUAAGAUCAUAUUGACCUAAGUUUUCCCAUCAAUUUCAACUCCAAGGAUUUCUAUCUCAUUAAAGAAUUCAAUCAUAUGAAUCAUAUGAUCUUUAAUGGGAGUUCCUUCUAUCAUCUUAGUGUUCAUGGUGGUUCUUAGGACAGCUUGCCUAGCUAGCCUACUUUUAUCACAAACAUCUCCCAUAGGCUUAAGAGAAUCUCAUAGGUAGUGGCAAUGCUCAUGUGUUAUUGUUGUAACACAUUAUUGAGAGACCCAAGUAUAAUACAUUGAGUCUUCUCAUCUACCCUUUGCCAUUGGAAAUGAAUAUCUUUCUCUUCUUAUGUGGAAAAUUCAUAACAAGUAGGUGGAGUAAGCUCUUAAGUUACCCGUUUCAGCUGUUUAGCUGUGAGCAUUAUGCCCAAGUUUCAUUUUUAGUCAACAAAUAAUUAGGUCCAAUCAAUUUAUUAUCAGUGAGAAUCAAAGUGAUAAGGUUAUAAGACAUGAUUCCUGUAUAAACAAAACAUUCUAUGCAUUAAUAAGGAAACUAAGCCUCUAAGGAAAACAUGGUAAUUAAUUUAGCAAAAAUGUAGUGUUCUCAAACAACACAUAUUCAUGCAAGGUAUUAUAGUACCAUAAGAAUCAAACCUACUUUAGGCAAGUCAUGGCUCUUGUUACUAAGGUAGAGAGACCUCUAUCUAAUUAAUCAACCUGCUUUAAACCUCAAAAGGUUAUUCUAAGGUAGUAAUUAACAUAUUUUUAUGUUGAACCCUUAGCGCAUGCAAGUAGAACCACUUUAGGUGAUUCACCACUUCAUGUCUAAGUAUCUAAGUAAGAUCUUUGACAUCAAUUUUACAAAGUAAAAUGUUCCAUCUUACAAACUGUUGUCCCAACUAUUGACUAGAUGGUUUUUUGGGGUUGAUCGAGGCUAGAGUUGACUCUAUGUCUUUAAGACAAAUUUCAUCAUGCUUAGGUGCUUAGGUGCUUACGGUAUAAGUAAUUGUCUCACAGGAUACAAUGAUCAUUUUUUUAUGAUAGUAGCACUCUAAAUCACAAAAAACAAUGAAUCAUUUGGUGAUCUAUACUCUUUUGAAUACCAAAAAAAAAGAAAAGAAAAACUUAGUAGAAAAAAGAAAAGAUUAAACUUGAAGUUUAAGUAGUCUCCAUUUUGAUCAAGCACAUGAUGUAAUUAAAGUUGAAGUUCCACUAUACAAAGAUAUUUAAUUAUCAAGAAUAAAAAAUAUCAAUAGUGAUUAACAAAUAUUUAUGAUUCAAUCUACAUCAAGUCUUGUAGAUAUAAUAUAUUUCUCUAGUUCACAAACUUGAAGUAUUGCGAAUCAUGAUAAUAUAUCAAGUAAAUAAACAAAAAUCAUAUGCUCAAGCUACAAUUAAAACAAGGCCAAAGGAAACAAAUAGAAAAUAGACGAAAAGUUCAAAACCUUUAAGGCCUAUUACUUAUGAAGAUCAAUUGAUUAGGCAUAUGCCCAAGGAUUUCCUAAGGAAUUCAAACCUAAGAGAAUCUUGAGCUUUGGUAAGAAUAUGUGCCAAUUGAUGUUUAGUGAGGACAAACUCUAGAGAGACUAUCAUGAUUUUUUAAAAAUUAUAUUUAUUCUCUUAAAAUAGAAUUUUAUGCAAAUAAGAAAAAAAUUUAUUUUUACAAAGAUAAAGAAAAUAAGAGCUUCUUUCCAAAAAUAAGAUAUUUAUUUUUAAAAAUCUCAAUAAUUUGAGAAGAUUUUAAAAAUAAAGUCUUUAAGAAUUAAUUUUUGCAAAAGGAAAGAUGAUCUUUUAAUCUUGUUCAUAAAAUCCUUAUUCUUCCUUCUCCAACUUUGCAAUAUUUAUAAGGGGAAUCAUGCAUUACACCAUUUGCCACAAAGUAUUUUUAUUCAAUAAUGUUUGUAUUUUAUCUUGAGAGAUUUUUUAUUUGUUUUUAAGUACUAAAUUCACUCAUCAAUGGUUUGAAAUAAAUGAGGUUUUAAGAACAACUAUUGCAUGAUUUUUCCUUCUAAUUUAAGUUAUCACUGAAGUAAGUGCAUGGAUAUAAUUUCCUUCUAUUGGAUCAUGAGGAUAUUGAUUUUGUUGCAUUCCAUAGUUUUGUUUAAAUUAGUGGUUGACAUGCAUAAUUAAAUAAUAUAAUGCUAUAGAUGACAUUAAAUGAUUAAAUAGUAUAUUAUUUCUCAUUUAUUAAGAAUUUAAAUACACUUUCUUUUACCUAUAGAAAAGGGGUUGAUAUAUCAACCAAAAAAAACUUAUAGUAUAACUUAAAAAUUGUUCACAAUUUUUAUUAAAUAAUAUUAUAUAUCUAUGACAUGUACAUAAAGGCUCAUAAGGUGGUCUCGUGAUUUAUUAUACAAAUUUAAAGUGUCCUAUAUGACUUGAAUUGUUAUUCAUCAUAUCUACACGACUCCAUGCUUAGCACUUUAAAAAUUCUUGCAUGAAAAGUAAUAAUAUGAAGUAAAAAUGUAAAAUAAAAAAAUAAGCAAAAAAAUAUAAAUAAAUUUUUUCUUAUGGUUUGAAAAGUUAUAUUUAUAUUUAUAUUAUGAGGCUGCUUUCAAAUCUUAAGAAUAAGAAUUCUUUUAUUAACAUAAAAAUUAUUUUAAUCAAGACUUAAUUUGAAACAUUUGGUUUUGUAGGUACCAAGAAACCUUUAUACUUGAAUUUUAUAAAUAUAUUGAGAAAUAUCGGUAAAUAUCUUAACAAAAAAAUCAAUAAAACGGAAAUUGAUGAAAGCACAUAAAAAUUUUAGAAAAAAUCUAAAAAUAUGAUUAAAAAAAUAAUAAUACUUAUUGAAGUUGUUUUAUUGAAUAAAUUGACAUAUAUGCAAUAAUAUACAAAUUUGAAAACACAUUAAUAAAUUUGUAGCAUUAGACAAUAAUAAAUGAAUUUGAAAGCACAUUAAUAUUAAAAUGAUAAUAUAUUUAGUUUGAAUAUAUUGAAAAAUAAAAAAGGAUGAUAUUUAAAUAAGUAUUUUUUAUUUAUAAAUUUACAUUUAUCUUAUAUGAAUUAGUAUAUAAAAUAUAUAAUAAAAUAAUUAAAAUUAACUGAUUUAUAAUAAUUUUAUUUUAAUUAAUUUAUAAUAUAAUAUAUAUUAAUAAUUUAUCAAAGAUGUUAUGACUUAUAAUAUAUAUAUAUAUUCAAUACGCAUAUUUAAACCAAAUGAAGCAUUGGUUCAACGACAUAUACUAUUCUCGAUUUGUUUAAGGACGUUUUACAGUUGUGGUCUUAUUGAAGUAAUUUUUUUUAGUGCAAGUGUUAUAACAAUCCCACAUCGGAAUUCAAAAGAAAAACAACCUCUAUAUAGAAGAUGUUGCCCCUUUCACUGCUACGUGAAUUAGUGGUCGAGCCAAUAACACCGAACCAUAUUUUGGUAUGUUUGAAAACACCAAUCUGCAAAAAGUGCAAAUAUCUGAGGUAGAUCAAGUUGUACAUAAAAUUAAUAAACUUCAUUUUUCUUGUUUUCAUGAUAAGUUUCACUUUUCAUAAAAAUAAAAGAAAAAAUUAUAAUAAAAAAAUACUUAGCCAUCGUUUGGAUAAUAUAAUUCUCUUUUUUAUUUUUAAAAGUAGAAAUUUCAGAAAUUGUUAUAUAAAAGAUACAUUUUCAUAAUAUUUUUUUUUUCAUUAAUUUUAAAAAUCAUUAUAUUUUGAAUGUAAGCUCUAAAAGUACUUGUAUUUAUAUAUUAAAGUUACUAUAAUUUUAUAUUUCUAAAAAUAGAAAAUCAGAAUAAACACUUAUUUAUUUGUUUAUAAGUUUUAUUUAUUUUAUAUAAAUAAAAUUUUUAAAAAUAAUUAAAAUUUUAAAAUAAAGCAUGGGACUGCCUCAAUACUCCAUUUGGAAUUAAGAACAAGAAUGAAAAUGCAUUUAAAUAGUAAUAAAGACAAGGGUGGAAAGGUGAGCCACCUAUAUCCGAGUCUUUACAUCCCUAAAUGUAAAGCUUUACUUGUGGGCAUAUUUUUCUUAAUGACUGUUGAUUAGGAGAUACUCUAUCUGAUUGAUAAAUUAUUUAAGGGAAAUUUGAGGGUAUUAAUUCCAUAUCUACUAAACCUAUAAUUUCGACCAUGAAUGUGUAUAGUAAAAUCUAAAUUGUUGGAUGAUGGUAUAAACAAAUAAGAACAAAUGAUAUCAAAAUACAUAAGAAUGAGACCAAAGUAUAAAUGAAUGAAAGUUGGAUGUAAAGUAAUAUGAAUAGAUUGUAUAUAUAGCAAUUUGUAAUUAGUUUCAUUCUAUGGUAGAUAACAAUUCAAUACCGUGAUGAGACUCAUUAUUUAUGUGGUUGGUGUAGGAGAGACUAAUUUUGUUUUGAGAAGGGUAGUAAAAAUGAAAACACAUUUACUAAAUUUCUUAUAUAAAAUAGUUUUAUCUAAAUUUGUUUUGAAAAUAGUUUGUUUUUAAGAACACAUUUUAUAUUUUUCUAGUUGUUUUUUGUAGAGGAUUUUCAAUAACAAUUCAAAAUACGAAGAACACUCUAAUUUUUUUGUAUUGUGUAUAAAUUUAUAAUAUUUUCACAAAGAACAAACUCAAAAAAUUGUUUAAAGGAGAUCCUCUUUUAAGAAUUAUCAUCAAGAACUACUUUUAGAUAACUAUUUGAAAAGUAAAAUAAAAUAAAAUAAAAAUCUUUUCCUAUCCCAUCUGGUUGGUAGUUUACAGUUUGCACAGCGAGAGGGGCAAUUUAUUUUGUCUACCUCUAUCCUCCAUAGGCUGAAAAUUAGAACACACCAGAGCUUGGCCCCAUACCUGGUCCUAAGUGCUUUAAAAUCACAUCACGCACAUGCAUCUUAGCCUUUGAAGCUCUUCCAUCACUGCAUUAAUAAGAUGUUAUGACCAUGGUUUUAAAAAUCGGAUUGGACCGACCGGUCACAGUUCCGAUCGGUCAAUUGGGUUGGAAAAUAACAGAAUUGAACCGGUUGAACCGACGGUUCCCUCUGAAUCGUUUGGUUUAACUUUUUUUUUUUUUUUUUCCCAUUGUCGUCGGCACCGACCUGCUAUCACUGGUCACUGGUCGGUCGGACGUUGAUCCCCCGCUGGCAGGACUCCACCCCCCUGGGUGCUGGAAACCCCGCCCCUUCUCCCCCCUUUGCUGGAAAGCCCCCACCCCCGCACUAGAAAAGCCACUCACCUCUUCUUCUCCUUUUUGGCGCCCCUUCUCCUCAUUUUCUUUCUAGAUUUUUUUAUUUUUUAUUUUUUACCUCAUCUAGUUAUUAUUUUUUUUUAUAUUUAUUAUUUUUUUACUUUAUGAUUUUAAAACUUAUGAUUUUAAUUUAAAUUAAUGAAAACAUUAUAAUUUUAAAUAAAAAUUUGAUUGUAAAAUAAGUUUUUUAUUUAAAAAUGAAUUUUAAGAUUCUGAAUUUUAAAUUAAAAUUAUGAUUUUAAUUUAAAUUUCUAAUUUGAAACUAAUUUUCUGAUUUUCAAAUAAAAUUUUAAUUUUUAAAUAAUAUAUAAAUUAUUAUUUUUAUUUUUAUAAUUAUUUUAAAUUUUAAUAAUUUAUAAAUUAUAUAUUUAUGACAUCACCGAUUCGACCGUCGGUUUGACCGGUGAACCGUGAACCGAUUCAAUGACUGGUCCGAUUCUAAAAACAUUGGUUACUAUUGUUUUUCCUUGAAAAGGAAACCUAGAAUUCUUUGAAGUACUUGGCCAUUCCUACAGAGUUUUGGGGCAAAAUAGCCUUUUUAUAGAAAAAAAAAAAAUCAUGUUUAACCUUUUUACAAAACUUAUGUCCAAAUUAACCUCUUUACCAUCACAUAGAAACCAUGUCAUAAAAAAUAUAUAUUUUUUUUCAAAAUUUAAGUUAAAGUCUCAAUUUCCAACAGAGACUUCAUUUUUAAAUUGAAACCACAAUUGACAAUUGAUGCUUCAUUUUUAAAUUGAAGCCUUAUUAGUUAAUUGAGGCCUCAUUUUUUUAACUGAAACUGCAAUUGUCAAUUGAGGUUUCAUUUUUUAAUUGAAACCUCAAUUGCCAAUUAAUAUUUCAAUUAGUUUUUUUUCUUUAAAAUUUAAUUCAAAAAUAUUAAAUUACAAAUUAUUGUUGAAAUUUAAAAUAUAUACUUUAAUAAUAAAAAAAUUAUAUAUUUAAACUUAAGAAUCUAAUAUUACUUAAAUAAAGAUAAAUUGAUAAAUAUAAUAAUAAAAGAAUAUUUUAUUUAUCAAUAAAUUAAUAAUUUUAAAAUAAUAAAGUUAUAUGACAUAUAAAUAAGAUAUAAAAUUAUAUUAAUUAUUAAUUUGAGAUAUUUAAUUUGUUGUUUUUUUAAGAUAAUAAUUUAUUUGUAUUUUGAAAAAUUUAUUGCUAUUGAAAUAAUAGCAUACUCUUAAAUUUCCAUAUAUAGAUUUUUUUUUUAUUUUAAAGCAUAUGUUUAUAAUUUUACGUAAAGAUAGACUAUUAUUUGUGCACACAAAACAUACAUGCCUUGAAAAUACAUUAAAAAAAUUAGUUAAUGAAAUUAAUUAGAAAAAGUCUACUACAAAAUGUUAUUUUUAAUAGUUUCGUCAAAGUCACAAAAAAUCUUCACUAAACAUUUAUAUAGUGGGAAAAAAAGAGUAUAUAAUCUUACAUGCCUUCAUAAAGAGAGAAUCAAUGUAUAACUGACACUCUCUUCCUUUUUGGUUGCCCCUUUCUAAUUGUAGUAGGUACUACCAAGGAUAAAAAUAUCGGUAAUCAUGGAUAUAUCAAUGCUUCGAUUUUACGGAUAUAUCGAAGAUAUAUCGACGGAUAUUUUGGGAAAAAAUUUCAAUAGACUUAAAAUUGUUAAAAACUCAUGAAAAUGCAAGAGAAACCUCAUAAUAAAAUAAUUAGAAGUAUAAUAGAUAUUUUAAAAUUGUUUUAUUGAAGAAUUUGAUAUGCAUAUGACAUAAUUUGAGAUAUUAGAUGUAAUUAUAUCAUGUCGAUCUAUAAGAAAUGUUAAUUUUGUACUUGUUCUCAUUAUGAAGUCACAUAAAAUACUUCAUUUCAUUAAAUAUCAAUAAUUUGUACACAUUACAUUGCAAUGUCCUUUUAGUACCAAAAUGAGGAUUGAUGUGGUUCAAUGGGAUUGAUAGAUGAAGGAACCUCGUCUUGCUGUUGGAGACAAUAUUGGUACCAACUCAAUGAGCCUCAAUAAUAUUGGUUAAAAAUUCUAACAUGCCAUGUAUAUAUCUCUUGAGUCCUGUCCACUGCCUCUACAUGGAUAGGAUACUCAAAGUUCACCCAUGUGUUAAUGCCAAAUCCUUCUUCCAUCUGAUAUGGAACUUGGUAUGGCAUUUGUGUGGAAGGGGAACAACGCGACAUACCAUACUCUUCAUUGAUUGAACUUGAAGGUUGACCAUAACUUAUCACAUGAGGAAGGUAGACAUUAGCCUCAUUCGAGGAGUCACUAAAUUGAGUCCCUAUACUCAUAGAUUCAAAACUCCUUGAAAGUAACUCCUCGUUAUAUGGUUCCAUUGUUCGUUCUCUUCAUCUAUAGGGCUUCCUAAUAGCUCUUAUGCUUGGACCAACUUUUCUAGAGCCAUGGUCUUCAUCAUGUGUGCAGUGUGUGAAAUCAUUUUCAUAGGUAAAUUGGUUGAUUGGAUAUUGACUAUGUUGACGUUCCCAAAUAUUUCCUCCCGCAUUAUCACUUCCAUCACCAGUUCCACCUCUUGGACCAUCGUAACCAGAAGCAGAAGUACCUACAACACUAGGUCUAUUAUUAUGGCUAGUACUUGUGGAAUCAAUCUCUUGGUGGGAAUUCAAUGCCGCUUGAAAUGAAUCAUCAGUACCUUUGCUAAAACUUUCAGAGUGAACUUCUUCAGACAACACACGUUCAACAUUAACUCCAAAUUCUCGAGCAUGAGCGACAAUUCGUGGAUCAAGAUUUCCAACUUCGUCAUCCAAGUGUAUAGGCCUAACCCAUUGUAACAAUUGAUUAUCUUCUUUUUUACCUACCUCGGUUGAAAUGUCAAAAAGAUCAAGGUAAUCUUUUUCAGCAACUCGAUCAUUUUCUGUCUCUAUAUCGUGUAACUUUAGCCUCAUAUUAUAGUAACAAAAAACUAUUUGCUCUAAUCGAGGGUAAGUUAAACGAUUUCGUUGCUUUGUGUGGAUGAGAGCAAACGUGCUCCAAUUUCACUCAUAGGCAAAGGAUGACGCAGUUUGUGAGAGAAUUUUGAUGGCUAACUUUCUCAAUAUAGGUGUUUGAUUCCUAUGUAUAAACCACCAUUCAACUGCAACCAAUUUGAUAAUCAUAUAAAUACUUAUGCGGUGAAUUUACAAUAAUGAUAAUCAAAUUUUUCCUAUAAAGACUCAUCGGGCACCAUGGUUGACCUUGCUGUAAGCGUCACUCGAUCACCAAAUCCUCUUUUUGCAUCUCGAAAAAACACAACUAUAUAUUCAACAUUUAAUUUGCUAAUAUCAUAUUUGUUAGUAAACGUUCAAAUAAAUUGAUGAAUGAAAUUAUUGUUUUAUUGACAAAAAACAUCAUGGACUGCUUGAAGUAGUUCCGGAUCACUACCAACUCCACGCCUAUAUUGAAAUCUUGGAUUCAAGAAGUAUGCUACAAUAAAAUUAAGUAGAGUUAGUAUUUUGUUAAAGAAAAUUAAAUACAUAGUAAAAACUUAUAAAAAUAGAUAGUACUUAAGUACCUAUUGCAUGAAGUGGAUGUUUUAGUGUUUUCUCCCAACGAUUUUUUAUUAUUUUGAAGAUCCAAUCUCCAGCUCCUUGACGAAUAAGGUUAUCUUUCAUCACGUGCAUAGGCUUGAACACAAAUGGCAGUGUGGGAACAACUUCAAAAUCCAUAAGUCAAAGCACCAUGUAUAAUGGCUCAUAUAAUGAAACUAUAUUUGUCACUCUGUCCUAAUACAUAUGGUCAAACAAUAAUUGCUCCAAAUCUUGUUCAAUUUUUGUUCGACUAAGCUUGUGUUGUGCCCAUUCAUCACUCAUAAACAAUUUUUUUAAAUCAACCAUUUUUUAAGAAGACUAUCAAGAGCAAUAUAAUUGGUAGCAAACCUUGUAUCUUCUAGUCGAACAAUGUCUCCACCACAAUACUUUCUCAUUUGUGCAAGUAACCAACCAUGGUUGUAAAUGAAGUUAGUUAUCUUGCGAGUAUUGUUUAUCACAUCUAUAACACUGGGUCUUUUACCAAUGUCUUCAAAGAUUAAGUUGAUGCAAUGUGCCGCACACAGAGUCUAAUAUAAGUUAAACCUUUUCAUCAAUUGUUUCCCUACUUUCAUGAAUGACGACCCAUUAUCUAUGACAAUUUGGACCACAUUUUCUUGACCGACUUAUUUGAUAAUAGUCUUCAAUAACUCAUAUAUAUACUUGUGAUCUUUGAUAUGGUUCAAUGCAUCGACUAACUUAAGGAACACCGUGGUCCUUUUUGAAUAAACCAUGAAAUUAAUAAUACUUAAUUUCGUGGGCCCUGUCCAUCCAUCUGACAUUAUUGUGCACCCAUAUGUCUUCUAUUUUUCUCUUUGCUAGUUCACAUAAGCUUCCAUUUCUUUGUACUCCAUUUCCAAGUACUUGUUCUUUAUUUCAUAUGGAGAUGGUGGUUCGAUUUCCAUUCCUACAUUUCAUAUAUAAAAAAUAUGUAAAACAUGUCACAAAAGACUAUACUUACUAAAAGUAUGAAACAAUAUAACAAUUCAAAAAUUAGUAAUUACCUGUUUGUUGUGCACUAAUAAUCAUAUUCUUGAAGUGACGAGACUUUGCUUUUUGGGGUGCGAUACUCUCAUAAACGAAGAAUUUGCUAAUUAAGUGUGUCAUCGUUUCUUUAAUUGAACCACCCUUCAAUAUAUCUUUGAUAUUUUUUUGUCUUGCUACAAAAGACUUGUAAAGCGAAGGGGCAACAGGGGGUGAUUGGUUUGAAUGUCGCAUACUUUGUGAUUUUCGCAUCGUCGUCGGUGUACCAGUAGACCAUGAAGAUUGCCAUUUUGCAUUUGCUACCUAUAAUAUCGUCAUGUUGUUGAGGUUCCCAUUUUGAUGAUUUCGAGGCACGGAAUGCAGAUCGAUAUGCAUUCUGCUCAUCUGAGUGCAUAUCUGUCGGAUACAUAUACACAUUUUCAUCCUUAGCAUCAUCAUCAUCAUCAUUGUCUAUCAAAUGUGUUUCAUGAGUCCCCAUUGUGCCAAGUAAUUGAGCACGAAUCUCUUGAAUAUCAACAACUUUCUUUGCUUUUGUUUCAUUUUUGUCAUGCACCAUCAAUUGUAUCUCUUCUUUCACUUCGGGAGGCACUCUCAGACACUUUUUGGUGAUUUAUGCGAGUCGUUAUGCGUUAAAUGGAACUUGAAUCGCGUGAUGCCUCCACUUUUCAUCAACAACCCACAAAAAUUAUAAAUUGUUCCAUUUCUGUUCCCCUCAACUGGUGAACAAUACUUCCAAGCUGGAUCUUGCCCUGGUAUGGUAGAACCACCUUCACUAGCCAUGCUAAAUCUAUUGCAAAAGAAAUACACUUGAAUGUGAUUUCAAUGUAAACAAAAAUUAAGUCAACAUUUAAAUUGAACAUAUUGCAAUGGAAUGUGAAAAGAAAAUUAAAUAAUAAUGUAAAAUGAGCAUAUUCCAAAUAUGCGAGUCGUUAUGCGUUAAAUGGAACUUGAAUCACGUGAUGCCUCCACUUUUCAUCAACAACCCACAAAAAUUACAAAUUGUUCCAUUUUUGUUCCCUUCAACUAGUGAACAAUACUUCCAAGCUGGAUCUUGCCCUGGUAUGGUAGAACCACCUUCACUAGCCAUGCCAAAUCUAUUGCAAAAGAAAUACACUUGAAUGUGAUUUCAAUGUAAACAAAAAUUAAGUCAACAUUUAAAUUGAACAUAUUGCAGUGGAAUGUGAAAAGAAAAUUAAAUAAUAAUGUAAAAUGAGCAUAUUCCAAAUAUACUAAUUUAUUAUCUAAAUUAAUUAAAUAAUUUAGCUAAGUUAGUUUACUAAAUCUAAAUCUAUGAGAAAUCUACAAAAUAAUCAUAAAGAAUGAACAUAUUUGACAUUCCAAAUAUACUAGUUCAUGUUAAUUAAAUUAAUUAAAUAAUUUAGCUAAGUUAAUUUUUUGAAUCUAAAUCUAAUUCUAGGAAAAAUUUACUAAAUAUAAAAAUUAAUCAUAAUUGAAUAUGAAAAUAAAUCACAAUAAUAAUAAAAAUGAACAUAUUUGAUAUUCCAAAUAUACUAGUUUAUAUUAAUUAAACUAAUUAAAUAAUUAGGCUAAUUUAAUUUUUUGAAUCUAAAUGUAAUUCUAUGAAAAAUUUACUAAAUAUAAAAAUUAAUCAUAAUUGAAAAUGAAAAUAAAUCACAAUAAUCAUAAAAAUGAACAUAUUUGAUAUUCCAAAUAUACUAGUUCAUGUUAAUUAAACUAAUUAAAUAAUUAAGCUAAGUUAAUUUUUUGAAUCUAAAUGUAAUUCUAUGAAAAAUUUACUAAAUAUAAAAAUUAACUAUAAUUGAAUGUGAAAAUAAAUCACAAUAAUCAUAAAAAAUUAACAUAUUUGAUAUUCCAAAUAUACUAGUUCAUGUUAAUUAAACUAAUUAAAUAAUUUAGCUAAGUUAAUUUUUUGAAUCUAAAUGUAAUUCUAUGAAAAAAUUACUAAAUAUAAAAAUUAAUUAUAAUUUAAUAUGAAAAUAAAUCACAAUAAUCAUAAAAAAUGAACAUAUUUGAUAUUCUAAAUAUACUAGUUCAUGUUAAUUAAAUUAAUUAAAUAAUUUAUUUAAGUUAACUAGUUGAAUCUAAUUCUAACUAGAUUGAAUGUGAAAAUAAAAUUAAAUAAUCAUUUAAAAUAAACAUGUCAAUUUAUAAUUAAAUAAUCAAACUAACUUAAGUUAAUUCAAUAAAAAUAUACAAAUUAAUUACAAUUGAAUGUAAAAAUAAUAUUAAAUCAUCCAUAUUGCAAAUAUACUAAUUAAUUGAAAAUACAUGAAUUAAUUACAAUUGAAAACAAAACUAACUACAAUUUAAAACAAACAUAUCUUAAAAUGAUUGAAUGUUUGAGUAGCCUUAGAAAAAUUUGGAGUAAUGAGAGAGCAAAUGAAAAAUGAAAUCAAAUGUGAAUGAAAUGGAUGCAAAAUGGGUUAUUUAUAGGAGAAAUUUGGGCCAAAAUAGUCGUUGGAAGACGAUUUUACCGUUGAAAAAGAAUUUUGGUUGUUAGAUCGAAAUCUUGGUGAAAUCUGACCAUUGGAUCGUAAUUUUAUCGUUGGAAUCUCAUCCUAACCAUUGGAUCAAACCUAGAUUCAAUCUAGGGUGUUGGAUAGAUGACUAUUGUAGGCAAACGUGGCGGGUAGGAUAUGGGCCUUUGGAUCAAUGCAUGUGUGAUCUAGACCAUCAGAUCACGCUGGAGAGAGGAGCAUAACUUUUGCCAAAAAAUUGAUGAUUUAUCGUCGAAAAAUAGUUAAAAUAUCGGUGAUUUUCUUUCGUCUGGGCCGAUUUUUUCAUUAAAUCGGUGAUAUAUUGCCUCUCGCUGAUAAAUCGACGAUAUAUCGAUGAUUUUUUUUAUCGAUUUUCAACGAUUUUUAUCCUCUCCGAUUUUUCUCUACAAAAUAUCGUGUCAGCGUCCUUCGAUGCACGAUAUAUUGACGAUAUAUCGUCGAUAUAUCUCGACAUUUUCUUCCAUGGGUACUACAUGUGACACAUGAAAAACAUUUGUUUGUGAUGGAACUUGAAAUAAAGGUGGUUGAGGUAGAAAUCUAGGUUGAAGUAGGCCACGCCUACUCCUCGUAACGGUUGGGGGAAAAUCUAACUAAGUAGAUGUGACAGUCUCUAUAGGUAAAAGGAAAAAUAUAGAUGGCUCUAGUGGUAGUAGAACUAAUGUCCUAAACUCAGGUCCAAGUGGAAUAGCAAAGGAAACAUUUAGGUGAAAUAAAAAAGAAUCGGCAUAUGAGGUAGCGAGCAAUGAAGGUGGGUAUAAAGUGAUAGGGGAUUGAACUGAUGGUGGGUUUGAAGAGGUAAGAGGUUAUAUUGAUGGUGAGUCUAAAGAGAUAAGGGGUUGUACUGAUGGUGGGUUUGAAGAGGUAAAGGGUUGUAUUAAAGAUGUGUUUGAAGAGGUAAGGGGUUGUAAUGAUGUUAACAUUGACAAGGUGAUGAGUUGACAACUAUUAUAUGUACUUUUCCCUCAAGAAGUCGAUCAACCUCGAAUAAGUGGCAAUUGAGCAACUGUUGAUUGAGUUGGUGGCUUACCUCUUCCAUGCUAUACAUGUGGGAUACGAUAAUCCUCCAGAAUAAAGCUCAUAACAUCACUGGCCAUGUGAAUAAUAUUAAUAAUACAAGUGCAACAAGCAUCACUAUCAGAGUCUUCUAAUGUAUGACCUCCUCGAGAUAUGAUCUAUGUCAGUCUCAAUCUGUCACAUAAAAUGAUAUAUAAUUAUUUGUUAGAAUAAAUGUUAUAUACAAUAUGUAUAUAGUAUUAAAGUGGUACAAACCAAUAAGUGGGUAGAUAAGGUAGUAGCUUGGUAUUGCAUAGGUCCAACAUCAUCCAUAGGUGUAAUAAAGCGAUGUGUAAUACGACAGUACCAUGUCAUGUAUGAAGCAUGGUAGUCCAUAUGAGGCUUUAUAGGCUCCACAAUGACAAUGUGACCCCCCUAGCAUCCUAUAAUGCCACAUAACGCUCAUGAUGGAACCUCCAAUCAUACUGGGCUUGACUGUGUUGAUCUAUGGAGUGAAAGUUAGUAUAUAUGGAGGAUGUUGAUGAAAUACCUUGCAUGAGUCCAAAAUGUCGCAACACAAGCUUAGGACAAUGACACUCGACAAUAUAAAAAAAAUAUAAAUGGCAACAUCGUCUACCAAAUAUUCUAAUAAGCUAAACAAAUGUCUGGAAACAAUGAUAGUAUAUCGUCUAUGUAAGGCUGUCAUAAUACCUGAUACAUUCAAAUCUUAGUAUGUAUAUAAUAAAGUUUAAAUUAUAAUAUUAAUACUAAUAAUCUUGUUAAACAAAAUUAGUAUUUAACUCAAACCUGAUCAGAUCGUUGUUUAUCAGACUCAUCUUUAUAUAUGACCAACACAUGGUGAGGAGUGUUUGUAUGAGAUAAGGGAACCCUUCACCUACUCCAUAGUGCAUUUAUCAAGAGUCUCUCAUCUAUAGGUAUUGGUACAUGGGGAAGUGAUCACUAGAAUGACCCACAUGUACUCACUCCCAUGACUAUAAUUAAAAAUUAAACAAAAUUAUGUUGAAAUGCACAUAAUUAUGGCGAAAUUACAUAAUUAAUAAGACUUGUUAUUAUACCUAUAACAACUGUAAUGGUUUUACAAUAAUUUAUGCACUAUCUAAACUAGCUCGACAUAACUCUCUAUAAAGAUGUGCUAGUGUUGCGUUUCCCUAACUAUAUUGUGCAAUGUCAUCAAAAUCUCUUAACAUGGGUAGAAUUGCUAAUCGAAGGAUGGUUCCCUCCUUAUAUGGACAUAAUGAACCACCCACUAACAAUAAAAGAUAUGCUCAACAUGGCACUAUAACAUGACCUCAUCUAAAACGUCUUAUGGUAAGUGAGAGAAAUGGGUAGUAAUAAAACAAAUUCUAAGGGAUGUUCCACAAAUUGAUUCUUUGUCAGUCAAACUUCGAAUGACUCCUCACAAAGUGCAUGCCAAUUGAUAUCUGUAGUACCAGUGACAAGAUGACCAUGUACAUGUAAUCUAAAUAAGAUGGUUACAUCAUGUAAUGUGAUGGUCAUCUCACCAACUGGCAUGUGGAAUGUGUGUGUCUCUAGGCAUCACCUCUCCACUAGUGCAGUAGUUAAAGGCUAAUCAAGCUAAACAUGACCCACUUGAUGAAAGACAAAAAAAUCCUGAAUGUAUAAUGUAUGACCAAAUAUGAUCAUCCAAAACCCACUCUCGAGGAAACUUAUGUUGACAAGUCAAAAUAGUACCCAUAUCUGGAUCAACAAGAAUGAUGGAUGAUUGAUGAUUGAUGUCGUUGACAGGUAAGCUCGUGUGGUGUAAUAACUUUGUACAAAUUAUCUAAAAUCAACUGAUCAAUAAUGAUAAGUAGCAAGAAUGUGCGAACAUGGGAAUCCUAACUAAAACAUUUUACUACAUGUGCAAGACCCUAUUUAAAGGUUAACAUGAUAUGUGCAAGGUUUUCUAUUACUAUUUCCAAUAGAGCAUCUAGUUUUAAUGUGAAAAUUUCCCUCCACAUGAUCAUACAAAACAACCUCAUGUGUACUCACCUUAACGACUUUAGCAUUUAUCUCAACGUCAAUAUAUGGAGUGAAUUCUUCACUUGAAACAAGUCGAUUUGCACCAUGCUCUUGCUUGACUAUGAAGUAAUUGCUAAUGCAAUAGAAAUUUAACUAAACUAAAGUUGUUAUUGGUAAGUUAUGAGUUCCUUUAAAGACACCAUUAAAAACUUCAGACAUUUUAGUUGUCAUAAUCUCAUAUCUCCACUUGCCAUCAUGUGAGAGUGCCCAUUUUUCAAGAAGAAUCUACUCUAACCAAUAUCUAGCCUAGACAUUUAUUCGCCCAAUUGUAUCCAUGUAAGAAAUAAAUUUUUUAACUUUACUCUCCAUAGCAGCCCUACAUAUGAGAUCCUUUAAAGUCUUAUCUUUGAACCUUGUAUUGAAGUUACUCGUUAAAUAACACAUGCAAAAUCUAUGAUAAGAAUCUGGCUCUAUCUAUCUUGAAUAAGUCUCAUUUAUAGUAGCUAUAAUGCCAGGAUGACGAUCAGAGAUCAGACACAAUCCUUUCCUUUGUGUCAUUCUAACUUUGAUACAUGCCAAAAACCAAUUCCAACUAUUUGUAUUCUUUCCUUCUAUAAUGACAAAGGUAAGAGGAAACAAUUGGUUAUUACCAUCACAUCCCAUAGCAAUCAUCAAAGUCCAUUUAUAUUUUCCAAACAAAUAUGUCCCAUCAAUACUAAUAAAUGGUAGAUAGUGAGUAAACUCUUUAAUAGAUGAAGAGAAUGCCCAAAAAACAGGCUAAAAUUUUUCUUCAUUCGGGGGUAACUUUGCAUAAGACUUGUACCAAUCACCAAAUAAUCAAGUCAUUGCUUUCCUUUUUGCCUUCGUUGCUUUUUGAUAAGAAAUUUGGUAACCAAAUUGUUUCACAACAAUAGCUUGAAUUGUAGCAAUUGUAAUGGUCAUUUGUGUCUUCACCAAUGUUUCAAUAUACUCUAACACAAAGCUAGAAUCCAACUAUGAAUGAUCUUGAUUAAUACAUAGAUUGACACGUGUAGGAGGACCUUUGUAUUUUACGAUUCUAAACAUACUCGUAUCUUUCACCACCAUUGCCCUUAGUCGCCAUUAACACUAUAGUUUUUUUUUUUUGUUUUUUUUGUUUUUUUUGCAUUUAAGAACUAACAUACUUGUAUUUUAUCUAUAAACAGUAAACUCUUGGUGUUACUUUAUGAAAUACAUCUUCACAGCAUGUUGCAAAUCUACUUUUAAGGGAAAUAUUUGGCCAAUUGAUAACUCCCCAUUAACAUUUCCUAAAGUUGGAUUUUUUCAUGGAGUCCAAUCACUUACAACACAAUUAAUUACUCCGUCUAAACUUAAAAGCUAUGGUAUAGGUGGCAUAUGGUAUGAAACGGGUACAAAUGUUGCCUCUUGGUUUUCAUUGGAGAUAUAAACUUGGGUAUCAUGUGAGGAGGCAACUAGUGAUAUGUUUUCAACCUCAAAUUCAACCUCGAGAUCAUUAGACUUAUCACCAACUUUAAGGUUCACAUAUCUUGUGUUUUCACAUUCCACAACUUGUUGGACCAUCACCAAAUCAAUAUUUUCUCUUUGACCUCAAUUUUAAUCAUCAUUAGGUAAAUGAAUCUCAUCUAUAUCGAUUGCAUCAUUUUUAUCAUCUUCCUCAUUAGACAUGUUCCUCGUCAACAUCAGUAUCACCUGCUGACAACCGUGUCAAAUGACCUAUUUCAUUACUCAAAUGAUAGUGAUUGGGAGCUUGCUCCAUGAAUAAUUGAACUGAAAACAUUCCAUACUUCAAUGACACUACUAGCAUACGUGCUAUUGUUCGAUCAUUUCUUUCCAUUAAUGGUUGAAAUUUAUUCAGUCCAAUUGGAUGUCGACAUUUCAAGACUAAUUGAUAGUCUGUCAACACCAAUGAUAUCAUAUAUCAUGUUCAAAAACUCUACAAAGGUCAUAUUGUAGACCCUCCAUUUUGUCUCCUUGGCACAUAUCUUGAUUAAGUACUCUUUCAAUACUUUAUAGCAGUUCUUGAAAGCCUAUUGUUACUCACAUAUCUUACCUCUUUGAGUCAUUCUAGACAUUAGAUACACAUUUAUAACAAUUUGUUUAGACUUAUUUCAGCACAUUAGGCACACCUGACCCAUUUAGGUACGCCUAAUCUUUUAAGGCUUGCUCUAGCACGCCUAAGUCAUUUGUAUAGCUUAUGUGGCUUGCAUGGCCUACAUGGCCUAUGUAGUUUGCAUGUUUUCUUUAUAAAUACAUGUUGUGCACUUAUGUAUAGUUAUCUAUUUAUUUAUUUAUUUGUUCAUUUUCAUAUCUACUUAUAUAUAUAUAUAUAUAUAUAGUCAUUGUAUAUUAUUAUUAUUAUUAUUAUUAUUAUUAUUAUUAUUGUCAUUGUAUUUUAUUUUUUUAAAUUAUCAUCAUUAGAAUUGUUUUUGUUACCAUUGUUUCUAUUAUCAUCAUUAUUAUUAAGAUUAUUAUUAUUUUACUGAUAUUAUUAAUAUUAUUCUUACUAUUAUAUUAUAUUAUAUUUUUAUUUUCAUUUCUAUUUCCAAAAUACUUUUUUAUUUAUUUUUAUUUUAUUUACUUGUUUAUUUAGAAAAAAAAAAAAGAAUUUUUAGUGAGGAAGUGGAAAUGAGCCUCCAUUGGGAAAAGGAGGUUGGGGGAUUACGAGACGUGAAAAUUGAGAAGAAAUGGGAGAAAGAAGGUCAACACAGGUGGGAUUUUUUGAGGAGGCAUUCUGGGAAUUUUCAAGAGGAUAAGCAGAUUUUGUUGUGGGGAUGAACACCAUUAAAAAUAGGGCAACAUCUGAGGAUUUUAGAAGCAUCAACUCGCGCCAUGAGAGGUGAGAGAAUGCCAUCAGAUUUGUCCUUGAAUAACAGUGUGCAUAAGAUUUGAGAACCAGAUUUUCUCUUGAAGAUUGAAAACAUGAUUUUGGAAGAGAAAGAUCAUUAGAUUAUAUUUUUUAGGAGAGAACACAAGCACCAGAAUUUUCUGGGUGGAGAUUAACACCAAAAUUUUCUAAGGAGAGGUUGAAGAGAUCAUAGGGAUUUGUGGCAGAAUUUUGGAGCAACAUAAGGGCAGUCUAAAACGAAGAAAUGGAGGAGCAUCUUGGAUGAGGGGAAUCAUGGACUAGUGAAAAAUGGAGAAGACUGCCACUCGGAGAUGAUAAUAAAAAGAGAAGUCUUUAGAGAUAUGAGGAUUUAAACAAUUUGUGAAGUGGGUCAACACCACAACCCUCGAUCAUCAUCAUCAUAUUCACCAUUGAUUGCAAUAAUUGGCAAAUGAGUUUUUGUGGGUUUGAUUCAAAUGUUGAUAUGUAAAUUUUGGAGGGGUCCCACAUGAUUUCUAACAUCUACUUUGAGAAGACCAGGGACGGUUCUUGAGUUUUGGAGGAAAGACCAGUUCAGGUUGUAGGAGGGAUUCCACUAUCACUCAAAUUUUGGAACUCCACUUUGGGGUGUGUGCAGGUCUUAGUUUUGAGAACAGAAACUAUACCUGUAUCACAUGAUUAACAAGAUCAUGAGUUCAUAGAGAAGAAAUCUGAUCAUCAUCCUGCAUGGUCUUUGGAGGAUGACACCAUUUUGCUCACAAUUAGUUCCAUUGAGAGAUCUCCAUCAAGGUCGCAUUUGUGGAUUUUUCACAGUAGGUUGCCACUCAAAAAGCCCAUCCACGCACAAAUUUUUGCACCACCAGAUUUUGUGAGAGGUAUCCACCACGCACUACUAGGAUGAGAAUAAGGUUGCCACUUUGAACCUCCACUACAUAUCAGUUUAUUCUUUGUAAAAAGAAAAAAAGGAUGCCACUUUAAGAAUAUGACACCACCAGAUUUUGUGAAAGAAACCCACACGUUUUGAUGAAUUUGGAGAGCAACCAUACCAUGCAAAGAAGAUGACAACAAGCUGCCACUUUAAGGACGUCUCAGGAUCUUCUUUUAGAACAUGCAACAUAUAAAGCAUCAUAUUGGAAGGAUUAAGAGCGUUCUAACAGCAACCCCUCUUACACGGUGGAAGGUAAGUUCUCUUUUUAAAUUAUUGUUUUAGUUUAGUUUAAUUUGUUCUAUUAGUUUAGGUCCAUUUAUGAUUUUUCAUCAUUAAUUUAAUCGAUCCUUGGUGUUAUAGUUCAUGCUUUGAUUUGGAUUGAUCUCAUUCUUUUAGUUUGAGUAUUUCUUAUAUUUUUGGUAAAUUGGCUUCUAGGUGAUGCAGUUUUUAUUUUGAAAUUUGUCUUGAUUUAUCUUAUUUCGUUGUAGUUAGUUUAGAAUUUUUCAUUAUAGUGCACUAUACUUCUACAUCUGUAAAUUGGAAUCUGACAACUUAGAAACCAUUUUAAAUUUUUAUAACUAUUCUAUGACAAUCUAGACUCCUUGAACUUAAUUUUAGAAUCUUUCUUGGCUCAAAUAUGGUUUUCCAGUUAGGAGAUAUAAAUCAAAUUUUUAGAAGGUUCAGUUUUCACUCUAUUUUUUAUACUCAGUCUUGUUUUACAAAAUUAAAUUACUAAACAAUCUCUUUAAUUUCUUUGAGCAUUUUUUUUAAUCUAGACUUCUCAAAUUUAAUUUUUGAUAUAUAAAAUAUUAAUAAAUAAUUUCUGAAAUAAAAGAUAUAAUUUUUUAUUCUUGCCUCCACUACAUGAGUGCUCUUCUAGAGCUGAGAUAUGUUUAUUUAUUUUUAAAUAUGUUAUGAAUGUGUUAUCUCUUGAGAUUAUUUUUAAUAUAAAUAAACACAUUAAGAUAGUAUUGUGAAUUUUUGUAUGAUUGAGGACAUCUAUAAGUUAAUUGUAAAAAUCAAUUGUUGAAUACCUUUAGAAGAUGCUCUAUUCUGGACCUAUUAUCAUCAUCAUGAAAUCUGGUACUAAAUGAGGGCUGGUUAAUUAAUUUGGUUACUUAGAUGAUAAACUAGACAUAUAGGAGAUGUCCUCUAAAAAUUUUCUUGAUAAAACUUAACUUCUAGGUAUUUUUUUUAGAUUUAUUUUGUACAGUCUUCUAUUCUAAUCGUUUGCUGAUUCUUUUCUGUGAAGUAACCUCUUUGUGAAUAAAUUUGUUAUUGAUUGGAAUAUAAUUGAUUAAUUUGGCCUAUUGGAUUUUUAUCUAGACAUGUUAAAGAUGUUACCUAAUUUUUAUUUUUGUGAGAUAACCUUUCUUGAUAUUUAUUUGGAGUUUAUUUUGUGAACCGAUAUUCUACCAUUUUAAUGAUAUUUCUUUGCCUUUUGAUAAUCUAGUCACUUUUGAACAUACUUGUGAACUUUCCUUGACUUGAGACAUGCUAAGUGUUAGCCCAAGGGUUCUCUUAAUCGGGUUUUGAUGAUAACAAACCAUGGCUAAGUGACUAAUUGGUUUAAUGAUUAAGAAUCUUAGGUAUAAACUCGAAAAUUCAUCAAAGGACCAAAUGGAUACAAGAUCGAGACGCUUAGAAGACUUGUGAUCAUAGGAAACUAAUGUAAGAUGAAUGCAUGAGUGCACUUAGGAUUUUCACACGUUUCAUGCAACUUAGAAAACUUGUUUUAUUCUUUAAAACUUCGAUUUCAUUAAAACCCAGGUUUUUAACUAAUGUACCUUAGGCAAAAUGUUUUAUAAUUGGCUUAAUAAUUCACCUAAAGACCUUACCUAAGUGUUAGAAAAGAAAGGAAUUAAAAAAUAGGUUUUCGGGGCCAAAAAGGCUCAACCGAUCGAGGCUAUGGCCAACUGGCUCAACCGAUUGAGGAACCGGUCGAGGGAUGCCAAAAAGUUUCUUUCUCUCCAAGUGGCCUUCUCUUCCCGAUCGAGGUGAUUCUCUUCCCGGUCGAGGUCCGGUCGAGGCAACGGUAACCUGUCAUGAAUUAAAUGCUCCAACGGCUAGUGAACCGGUCGACCCCUAGCUCGACUGGUAAAGGUUACUUUUUGCUGUUUUUGACUCUCGAGCUUAGAAACCUAUAAAUUGAGAGCUCUAAUUCAUUUAUUGACAAGAGAACACUUGCAAUCAAUUGUCUACCUACCUGUUCUUGACCACAAAGCUCUCAUUUCUUUCAUAGUGCAUUAAAUCAUCACUUGCAUAUCCUUUAGUGCACUCUUGUGUGUCAUCCUAGCUUUGUCUCGUGUUUGAGCUAUCCUUAAGCUAGGUUGAGGGAUUCUUUCUUGUAAAAAUCUGAGUGUUAAAGCCUUCAAGAGGUUUGAAUCUUGAAAAGAUUGUGUAAGAGUCCAUUGGAGCCGGAAUCCAAGUGUAAGAAGAUUGGAAGCUUGGUUGAAGCUUCAAGUUAGUGGAACCCUCACUCGGUUAGGAGAUUGAGGAAAGUGGACGUAGGCAAGGAAGUGCCAAACCACUAUAAAACCCGAGUUUGAAUUCUCUAGCUCUAUCUCUUUAUUUCGCUUAUAUUGUGUUUGAAUUUGUUGUGAUUGAAAAGAUUUUAAAAACCCAAUUCACCCCCCUCCCCCUCUUUUGGGUGUUUUUCUUAAUUAAGCAUAACCUUUGUUUUCUCAAUUGGUAUCAGAGCUAGACCUCUUGUUUUUUAAAGACUUAAUCGUCUAAGAGAAAAUGACUAUUCCAUCAAGCUCAUCCCAAGCUGAAAAUUUUUCAAAACAUAGAGCUCUAUUAUUUACGGGAACCGACUAUCCCUAUUGGAAAACUAGAAUGACUUGGUAUUUGCAAUCUACUGAUUUAGAUGUAUGGAAUGUCAUUGAAGAUGACCCAACUUUUCCCACUAAACUAGUCAAUGGAGUUUUGGUUCCAAAACCCAAGCAAGAAUGGAAUGAGCUUGAUAGAAGAAACUUUCAAUUAAAUGCUAAAGUCGUUUUUACUUUGCAAUGUGCUAUGGAUAGAAAUGAAUACAAUAGAAUAUGUCAAUGCAAAUCGGCUAAAGAAAUUUGGAGAUUGCUUGAAAUAACUCAUGAAGGAACUAAUCAAGUGAAAGAGUCAAAAAUUAAUUUACUUGUUCAUAACUAUAAAUUGUUUUCAAUGAAAGAAAAUGAGAUUAUUGUUGAGAUGAUUACUAAGUUCACCGACAUUGUCAAUGGUCUUGAAGCUUUGGGAAAAACCUACAAGGAAUCUGAGAAGGUGAUGAACAUAUUGAGGUCUCUCCCAUCAAAGUGGCAUACCAAGGUCACCGCAAUUCAAAAAGCAAAAGACUUGACUAAGCUACCUAUGGAAGAGCUCAUAGGGUCAUUAAUGACAUAUGAGAUCAAUUUGACAAAGAAGUUACAAGAGGGUGAAGACAAAAAGAAGAAGAGCAUAGCCCUCAAAGCUACAACCAAGGAAGAAGAAGAUGUUGAAGAGGAAAAACCAAGUGAUAAAGAUCAUGAUUUAGCCCUCAUCACAAGAAAGCUUAACAAAUACAUGAGAGGUGAAAGGUUUAGAGGAAGGAAGUUCACCUCUAGAAGAGAUCCUUCUAAAAAGGAAUCUUCAUCCCAUGGUGACAAGGAGAUAUUGGAAGAGAAAAGAGAUUUGAUAUGCUUCAAGUGCAAAAAACCGGGACACAUUAAAUAUGAUUGUCCUCUCUACAAGAGUGAAGCCAAGAGAAGAAUGAAGAAGACAAUGAUGGCCACUUGGAGUGAAAGUGAAGAAUCCUUCGAAGAAGAAAAGGAGAAGGAAGUGGCAAACAUGUGCUUCAUGGCAAUAGAUGAUCUUGAUGAGGUAAACUCUAACUUUAGUGAUGAAGAUAUGCAUGAUGUUUUUGAAGAAUAAUAUGAGGAUUUUGAAAAACUUAGUUUGAAAAAUAAUUCUCUUAAAAAGAAAAUUCAAGAACUUGAAAAGGAACUUGAAGAAAUAAAAGAAAAAUUUUCAAUUGUUGAAAUAUCUAAAACUCAUCUUGAAAAAGAAAAUGAGAUUUUGAGAAGUGAAAAUGAGAUUUUGAAAAAGAAAAAUGAAUGGUUGACCUCCUCUCUCUCAAUUUUCUCUUGUUGACAAAAAUAUUUUGAAAUGAUCUUAGCUAGCCAAAAAUGUGUCUUUGACAAAGAAGGGCUAGGAUUUAAAUCUUCAAAAAAUCAAAAGUAUUUUAAAAACUACUUUGUAAAAGAAUCUACAAGUGCAAGUCCUUCUACCACCUGCAACUUUUGUGGAAGAGGAGGGCACAUUAGUAGUACACGUCCCUUAAGAAAUGGUUCUCAAAGGAAUUCUAAUGCUAAAGCUAAAAAGGUUUGGGUUGAGAAAUCCAAGGUCACUAACCCUCAAGGACCCAAAAAAAUAUGGGUACCUAAAUCAACUUAAAUUUUAUUUUGUAGGGAUCAAAAAAGGAUAAGUGGUUCUUAGAUAGUGGAUGCUCAAGACACAUGACCAGGGAUGAAUCCAAGUUUGUUUUUCUUACAAAGAGGAAGGGAGGAUACGUUACCUUUGGAGACAAUGCAAAAUGAAGGAUCAUUGGUUAAGGCAACAUUGGUAAUGACACAUCCUCUCUUAUUGAAAGUGUUUUAUUAGUGGAUGGUUUAAAACAUAAUCUUUUGAGCAUAAGUCAACUUUGUGACAAAGGUUUUAAAGUGAUUUUUGAAGCAUCUCAUUGCAUCAUCAAAGAUAUUCAAAAUGAUAAAACCAUCUUCAUGGGCCAUAGAUGUGAUAAUGUUUAUGCAAUAAAUAUUUCAAAAUAUGAUGGCCAUGAUAGAUGCUUUUCAAGCAUGCAUGAUCAAAGUUGGUUGUGACAUAGGAGGUUGGGACAUGCUAACAUGGACCUCAUUUCCCAACUCAACAAAGAUGAACUUGUUAGAGGCCUUCCCAAAAUAAAUUUUCAAAAAGACAAAGUUUGUGAAGCUUGUCAAAUGGGAAAGCAAAUAAAAAACUCUCUUAAAAACAAAAAUUUCAUUUCAACAACUAAGCCUCUUGAAUUGUUGCAUAUGGAUUUAUUUGGUCCCUUUAGGACACCAAGCCUUGGAGGAAAAUCUUAUGCAUUUGUUAUUGUGGAUGACUUCUCUAGAUACACUUGAGUCUUAUUUUUAAGUCAAAAGAAUGAAGCCUUUUAUGAGUUUUCAAAGUUUUGCAACAAGGUUUAAAAUGAAAAAGGUUUUACAAUUACUUGUAUAAGAAGUGAUCAUGGGAAAGAAUUUGAAAAUAUUGAUUUUGAAGACUAUUGCAAUGAGCAUGGUAUUAACCACAAUUUUUUAGCUCCUAGAACUCCUCAACAAAAUGGGGUAGUUGAAAGGAAAAAUAGAACUCUUCAAGAAAUGGCUAGAACCAUGCUAAAUGAAAACAAUUUACUAAAAUACUUUGGGGCCGAAGCGGUUAACACUUCUUGUUAUAUUUUAAAUAGAAUUUUAUUAAAGCUUAUUCUUAAGAAAACUCCCUAUGAGCUUUGGAAAAACAAGAAACCCAACAUUAUCUAUUUCAAAGUCUUUGGGUCAAAAUGCUUUAUAUUAAACACCAAAGACAAUCUUGAAAAAUUUGAUGCAAAAUCGGAUGUUGGAAUUUUUCUUGGUUACUUAACUUCAAGUAAAGCCUUUAGAGUUUUUAACAAAAGAACCAUGGUUGUUGAGGAGUCCAUCCAUGUUAUUUUUUAUGAAUCUAACAAUUCUCUCCAAGAAAGAGAGAGCUUUGAUGAUGAUUUAGGCUUGGAGACCUCCAUGGGAAAAUUACAAAUUGAAGAUAGAAGGCAACAAGAAGAAAUUGUAGAGGAUCCCAAGAAAGAAGAAUCACAUUUGACACUACCUCCUCCUCAACAAGUGCAAGGUGAAUCAAGCCAAGACCUUCCUAAAGAUUGGAAGUUUGUCAUCAACCACCCACAAGAUCAAAUUAUAGGUAAUCCAUCUAGUGGGGUAAGAACUAGAUCAUCUCUUAGAAAUAUUUGCAAUAAUCUUACUUUUAUCUCUCAAAUUGAACCUAAAAAUAUAAAAGAUUCUCUAAUUGACGAAAAUUGGAUGAUUGCUAUGCAAGAAGAGUUAAACCAACUUGAAAGAAGUGAAGUAUGGGAAUUAGUGCCAAGACCUCAAAAUCUAAGUGUUAUUGGAACUAGAUGGGUCUUUAGAAACAAAACGGAUAAAAAUGGCAUAAUUAUAAGGAAUAAAGCAAGAUUGGCAGCCCAAGGUUUUAAUAAAGAAGAAGGGAUAGAUUAUGAAGAAACCUUUGCUCCUGUAGCUAGAUUGGAAGCCACUAGGAUGCUACUUGCCUUUGCAUGUUUUAAAAACUUUGUUUUAUAUUAAAUGGAUGUGAAAAGUGCUUUCUUAAAUGGCUUUAUAAAUGAAGAGGUAUAAGUUGAACAACCACCCGACUUGCAAAGUUUUAACUUUCCCAAUAAUGUUUUUAAACUUAAAAAGGCACUUUAUGGUUUGAAACAAGCACCUAGAGCAUGGUAUGAAAGAUUGAGUAAAUUUCUUUUGAAAAAGGGUUUUAAAAUGGGAAAAAUUGACACAACUCUUUUCAUAAAAACCAAAGAAAAUAACAUGCUCUUAGUGCAAAUAUACGUUGAUGAUAUCAUUUUUGGAGCUACUAAUGUCUCUCUUUGUGAAGAAUUUUCUAAAUGCAUGCAUAGUGAGUUCGAAAUGAGCAUGAUGGGAGAACUUAACUUCUUCCUUGGACUUCAAAUCAAGCAACUAAAGGAAAAAACCUUCAUCAAUCAAGCAAAGUAUAUAAGAGAUCUCCUCAAAAGGUUCAAUAUGGAGGAAGCUAAAACAAUGAAGACUCCAAUGAGUUCAUCCAUCAAGCUUGACAAGGAUGAAAAAGGUAAGUCCGUCAACUCAAUUAUGUAUAGAGGCAUGAUAGGUUCAUUGCUAUAUUUGACCGCUAGUAGACCCGACAUCAUGUAUAGUGUAUGCUUAUGUGCUAGAUUUCAAUCUUGUCCUAAAGAAUCUCAUUUAAGUGUUGUAAAAUGAAUUCUUAGAUAUUUAAAAGGGACAAUGGACAUAGGCUUAUGGUAUCCUAAGGGUGAUAACUUUGAAUUAAUUGGAUUCUCGGAUGCUGACUUUGCCGGUUGUAAAGUUGAAAGGAAAAGCACUAGUGGCACUUAUCAUUUCCUAGGACACUCAUUUGUUUCAUGGCAUAGUAAGAAGCAAAAUUCGAUAGCUUUGUCUAUGGCGGAAGUCGAAUACAUAGCAGCCGGUUUAUGUUGUGCACAAAUCCUUUGGAUGAAACAAACACUUAGUGAUUUCAAUUUGAUUUUUGAGCAUGUUCCUAUUAAAUGUGAUAAAACUAGUGCCAUAAACAUUUCAAAAAAUCCGGUGCAACACUCUGGGACUAAGCAUAUAGAGAUUAGACACCAUUUUCUUAGAGACCAUGCACCAAAGGGUGACAUUACACUUGAAUUUGUAAGUACCAAAGAUCAACUUGCCGAUAUUUUUACAAAACCUCUAAGUGAAGAGCAAUUUUUUGAUAUUAGAAGACAACUAGGGGUGAUUUCUUUAUGAUCAAAUGAUUGCUUGAUGAAUUCUUGAUUGAAUACCUUAUGAUUGUGUGAAUUUCAUAUCAUAUGCAUCAUAUAGAAAUAAUCUUAGGAAAAAGGUCAAAUUUUGACCAAAAAUCAAAAUUCCCUUAGCAUUGGACAUAAAAAAUUGGGGAUUUCAAUUGAAAAGGGCAGGGGGAGGGUUACGAAAUGAGAAAAUGCAAAAAAUUGGAUUGUUGACCGUUGAUCGUUGACCAAGCGGUCGACCGGUUGAAGAACCGAUCGAUCGGUUUGUCGAGGCUGGGAAUUUAAAAAGACCCAUCGCACUUCAUUUUUCACCUGUUCUCCUCCACACCUUGAAGAUUCUUCACAUCCCUACCUCCAGAAAUCAGUUUGGGCAAGAUCUUGGACUAUUUGCAGGCUUUGGAGUGGAUUUUAGGACGCAUUUGAGGCUAGGGUUUCAAUCUAAAACCUAGGGUUUUCAGUUUUGGGAUCUUUUUCUCUCUGACCGCGUGCCUUAAGCUUGGAUUCAGCCUCAUCUCAAUGCGUAUAGGGCUUCAGGUUGGACUUCAUCCUCUCUCAUUUGGUUUCAGCCUCAUCUCUGUGCGUUUUUCUUUAUUUUUCCGUUAUUUGGAUGGCACCUAGGUGAGAGACGGACACCUCUAGGGCUCAGGGCAAACGCCCUGCUGAGCCAUCUCAGCCUGAGCAGACAGAGGCUCACCGAAAGGCGAGGUAUGACACGGCCCUAUUCAGUUCCGUCAAAGAUUAUUAGCGAUACAAACAAAAAUUCGCCCAAAGGAAAGUCGUUCCAGGGAAAAGUAUCAAUUUCUCCCAACUUCAGCACUUCAAGUUUGAGGGACUCUUCAGUCGGAUGGGAUAGCUGCCCGUUGUGACGAUUUUCGAGCCGAUCUUCCCGACUCUAGUGAGGACAUUUUAUUCAUGGGUGACCUAUGGGCUUAGAGGAUCGGUCAUGUCCACGGUUAGAGGAGUUGAGAUUAGAUUUAGCCCGGAGAGUAUCUGCCGCAUUCUCGACAUCCCUUCAGUUGGACUCCAAGUAUAUGAGGCCAGGGCAUGGCCCACUGUGCUGAGAUUUGAGCCUAGAGAGGCUAUUCAGAGGUUGUGCGGACUUGCAGAUGCCCAGGGGAUGGGCAACCAUCGGCACAUAGCCUGACCGUGUCCAGCCAAGUCAUUCAUCAUAUGAUUUGCUCCAUCUUAUAGCCACGAGGUGGACAUCAGGACGAGGUCUCCUACCUUGUGGCCUUCAUUGUGAACUCGAUUCUGACAGGAAGACGGAUUCACAUGGGGUAUCUGAUGAUGAUGCAUAUGAUAUCCUGCGUUGAGAGCACGACCCAAGGAUUCCCCCAUGACCGCUUCCUUACCCGAGUAUUCAAGGAUGUCGGGGUUAACUUGAGUAGAGAGACUGAAUUCGAGGCCCCUACUAGUUAUGACACUUACGAUGAGCAGUCCUUGGGGCAAAUGAAGUUCGAGAAAGCACCCAAUGGCUCCUGGAUUAGGAGAGUUGAGCGACAGGUCUAGGAACAGGGACAAAUGUAUCCCGGAGCAGAGGAGGAGGCCGAGAUCAGAGAGAUGGAGGAUGGGUUAGACCCUCAAAGGGAUUUUGAGCAGAAAGGGCUCGAGCUUGACAUUCCGCCUCCACCUCAGUCAGAGGGUAUUCAUGUUAAGGCCACUUUCUCAGAGCCUAUAAUGAUUGAGCCGUCUUACACAACAGGACCAUCAUCUCAGCCAUCAUUUAUCGAGUUUUCUCACACAGAGAUACCAUCUCAGGCACCUCAUGCUCCAAAUCAUGCGCCUUAGAUUGAUGUAUCAGCUUAGAUCAGCUCCCUUGGGACUCAUAUGGAGGAGCUUGCUUUAGUCCAUGACACUCGUUUCUACUCUAUGGAGAAGUGCAUAAAGGAGCGUAUGGAUCAGCAGCAGGCUAUAUUCGAGCAUCUCCAGCAGAGUAUUGAUCGCAUUGAGAGUCGUUAGGUGAGUCAGCAUGACGAGAUGAUGGCUUACCUCCGCUCUGUGUUUCCUCAGCCUUGAGUUUAUCUAGAGUUCCCCCUCAAUUUCUUUUUUAUGUUGCCAAAGGGGGAGAAAUAUCUAGGAUCUAGGAGACCCUCAUGCAUAUCAUUGUCAUCAUUGUCAUAUCUAUCUUGUUUAGCGUAUGUUUUCGUGUACAUGUGAGGUUACCAUAUAUAUAUGAUAUGAUAUUUUCAUGAUCCAUUGUUUCCUAUUCAAAUUUUCGUGAUUUACAUUGUUUCCUAUUAAAAAUUGUUUGAUUGAUCCAUGAUUGGUUUGAGGGGGAGAUUUUUUUCUCUUCUAGAUAACCAAGGUUUGUCAUCAUAAAAAAGAGGGAGAUUGUUAGCCCAAGGGUUCUCCUAAUCAGGUUUUGAUGAUAACAAACCAUGGUUAAGUGACUAAUUGGUUUAAUGAUUAAGAAUCUCAGGCAUAAACUCGAAAAUUCAUCAAAGGACCAAAUGGAUACAAGAUCGAAAAUCUUGGAAGACUUGUGAUCAUAAGAAACUAAUGUAAGAUGAAUGCAUGAGUGCACUUAGGAUUUUCAUGCAACUUAGAAAACUCGGUUUAUCCUUUAAAACUUCGAUUUCAUUAAAACCCGAGUUUUUAACUAAUGUACCUUAGGCAAAAUGUUUUAUAAUUGACUUAAUAAUUCACCUAAAGACCUCACCUAAGUGUUAGAAAAGAAAGGAAUUAAAAAAAAUAGGUUUUCGGGGCCAAAAAGGCUCAAGCGGUCAAGACUAUGGCCAACCGGCUCAACCGAUUGGGGAAUUGGUCGAGGGAUGCCAAAAAGUUUAUUUAUCUCCCAGUGGCCUUCUCUUCCCGGUCGAGCUCCGAUCGAGGCAACGGUAACCUGUCAUGCAUUAAAUGCUCCAACGGCUAGUGAACCGGUCGACCCCUAGCUCGACCGGUCGAGGUUACCUUUUGCUGUUUUUGACUCCCGAGCUUAGAAACCUAUAACUUGAGAGCUCCACUUCAUUUAUUGACAAGAGAACACUUGCAAUCAAUUGUCUACCUACCUGUUCUUGACCACAAAGCUCUCAUUUCUUUCAUAGUGCAUUAAAUCAUCACUUGCAUAUCCUUUAGUGCACUCUUGUGUGUCAUCCUAGUUUUGUCUUGUAUUUGAGCUAUCCUUAAGCUAGGUUGAGGGAUUCUUUCUUGUAAAAAUCUGAGUGUUAAAGCCUUCAAAAGGUUUGAAUCUUGAAGAGAUUGUGUAAGAGCCCAUUAGAGCCGGAAUCCAAGUGUAAGAAGAUUGAAAGCUUGGUUGAAGCUUCAAGUUAGUGGAACCCUCACUCGGUUAGGAGAUUGAGGAGGGUGGACGUAGGCAAGAAAGUGUCGAACCACUAUAAAACCCGAGUUUGAAUUCUCUAACUUUAUCUCUUUAUUUCGUUUAUAUUGUGUUUGAAUUUGUUGUGAUUGAAAAGAUUUUAAAAACCCAAUUCACCCCCCUCCCUCCCCCCAUUUUGGGUGUUUUUCUUAAUUAAACAUAGCCUUUGUUUUCUAACUAAGUGUAUAUAUAUAUAUAUAUAUAUAUAUAUAUAUAUAUAUAUGUUUAGUUAUUUUUUUUUAUUUAUUAUUCUUUAAUCUUAUCAUUAUUAUUGGUGAAUUAACCUCAUUUUUAUAGAAUCAUUGACGCUUGCUACACAGGUACGCUAUCUAUUUUCCCAUUUUAAAGUUCCAUGAAUAUGUAUGUCAUUAAGAACUAUAUCCUUGUUUGAUAUUAACUUUGGGUACCUUGAUGUUCAUUUGGUUUCCUUUGAUAAAAUGCAUGUUGAGUAAUAUAAUACUUGAACUAACUUUGGUGUUUUAUGAUAGCAUUUAAGUUAUAGAUCUAGGUAUGCAUAUUAUCCUUUCUUUAUGAUAGUGGUUUGAAUCCUUGUUUGGCAUGUUAGAAUUAGUAUAGUUUUUGAAAUCACCUUAACUUAUCUAAGUAUUCAUUAUUAAGUAAUUAAUUGUCAUAUUUCCCUUAACUAAGUUAGUAGAGACCUUGUUAGGGCUUAGAGGGGUGCUACCUCUUUGGAGGUACCUUCCUGAUAGGUAACCUAAUCCCCAGACCCAAACUCAGGUUUUUCGUAGACAACUUUUCCAAAAAAAAAAAUCAGGAGUUCUUUUAGGGGUUUUGUUCUUACUUGUUUUCCCCUUUAAAAAUAAAUAAAAGUAAGUGGUGACUCCAACUUUUUAUAAAAAUCCAUUUUUCACUUUAAUCAAAAGUGAGUCUCGCCAAUUGAGUGGGAAUGCAUCGUGAAAAAUGUGGAUCCACACAUAUGAAUAGGCAUAUCUAUAGACUCAAUCUCUACAUUAUUUCCAAUAUAUCUCAAAUUUUUUUUUGUCCACAAAAUUGUUUCAUUCAAAUAACAUAACACUUCUAUUGUGGAAUCAGUCAUAAUUGUCUUCACAGACAUAAUAAUAAAAGGUUAUUACAUCACAAAUAAUAUUCAUUCAAGUAAAAAAUUAUACUUUAUAGUCAGUUAUUCAUAAAAGAAAAGAAUAAGCCAAAUAAAUAUUGAAAUGGGACAAAGCUUCAUGUCUAAAUACCAAGUUCAACUCAAAUGAAAGCAAUUUAAGUAUGGACAUUUUCAUAAAAUUUAUAGGAAAUUUAUGUCCUUAACCAACACAAUCAAUAAUAAGAUCAACAAAAAACUAAUAACAACAAGUUUUUUAUUCUUUUACUUUUAGGAACAUUUGUAAAAAGGAAAACCAUACAUCAAAAUAACCAUACAAUAAUGAACAUUUAGGAUUAUCAAUUAUUUGUUUGUCAAAGCAUAUUUUUAUGGUGACAUUGAACCUAAAUCAAAGUGUGAAUAACAUUUUUUUCAACUAAGGAAAACCAAGUUCACUAGCAUCAACUCCAUCAAUUUCAUCAAAUUUAAUAAGUUUAAAGAAUUUUAAAACUUGAAUUAAAAGCAAUGAAUUAAAAAAAACAAAACUUAAUUAAUUUAAUUGUAAUAAAAUACUUUUUUUUAUAUGAUAAGAAGGAAUUAAAAAUAAACAACCAUCAACUCCAUCAAUUUCAUCAAAUUUAAUCAUUUUAAAAAGAAAUAAAAAUUUAAUUAAAAGCAACAAACUAAAAAAGAACAAAACUUAAUUAAUUUAAUUAUAAUAAAAUACUUAAUUUUAUAUGAUAAAAAGGAAUUAAAAAUAAACAAUCAUUACACUGCAAUCCCACUUUACCCGUUGAAUAGCUAUUUAAUAAUAUUUAAAAUGAAAUCUUUUUUAAAACUCCAUGAAAUUUUUGUUAAAAUUCACUUAGUGAUAUUAAAUAUAAUUUAUUAAUUCCAUUAUAUUUCAUACCCAUGUAAAAUAACCUUAGUUAUUUGAAUUUAUUGUGACUAGCAAUAAACCUUUUCUAAGUUAUUAAAUGGUUAAAAUCAUUCAAUUGAGGGAAAAUUAGUACAAACUCAAAUUUAGUUAUGGAAUGAUUUGUGAUCAAAUUAGCCCAAGGUAGAGUUUUUCAUUAUUAAAUUAUACUAAUAAAGAGAGAAUUAGAGACUCAAUCCCUCACCCACACUGACAGUCUUAGAAUAUAUUUGUUUCUUUUUCACACCCAAUACUUUUUGUCUACAUGUUUACAUUAAACAAGGAAGUUGUUGGACCACUUAAUGACUUUAAAUAAUUUAAUUUCUCGUAUUAUGAAAAAGACAAGAGAAAAUUAUUUAGUUAAGUGAGUCCAAGACCAAAAAAAUUUUGGUGUGUUAUGUACCAAAAAACAUGUGUAGACAUGUGACCCAAAAUCCUCCAAAAAUAUUAAAAUACCAUUUGCCAUAAACACCAAUAUACAAACUUACAAUAAAUAAUAAACAUUACAAAGAAUACAAAUUUAAGCAGAGAGAAAUAGAAUGAGAGAGACAACAACCUAGCACUUUAUGGAUCCAAUAAAAAAAUAACCCAGAAAUUCACAAAGACAAUGAUGAUAACAGUAAAAUGAUUAUUUCUAUUUGUUUUUCAUCUCUAACCUGUAGGUUGCAGUCUUCACCCUAUCUAUAGGUGAAGACCUGAACCAUGAAAUUCUAAAUCUAAAAUGAAGGAAAAGUGAACCUGAAAAUGUGUUUGGUCAUCAUUUUAAGGAAAAACCCAAGUGUUGUUGUUUGGUUACAGAGAAAACUUUACAUAAUAACAAGCCAAAAAGAAGAUUGGGACCAACCUAAAGCUUCAUACUUUGCAGCUCCCACAAUAUCUCUCUCAUAGUGGGCUAAUGGUGGGGCUAGGGUUUAAAGAAAAAAAGUUGAGAUAGUGAGAAUGGGAUGGUGAAAGGGAAGAAAAAGUGAUUGGAGCCAAAAUAUGUGCUCUAAUGGCACAUAUUCGAUAUGAUUUGUGCACCAAAGGACAUUCAAAUCACCGAACUUCGCCUAAAUCGAUGCUAAGGCCUUAGCCAUAAGUUUAAUUUGUACUUUGGAGACUUAUCUCAGGUUCAAGGGAAGAAAAGGGUGCAAGUUGAAUUACUUUGGAUUUUGAAAGAUCAAGAAAGGGCUAAAUGAGGAAAUAAGUGAGUCAAGACUCAUGGACAAUAAAGAAAGGCAAGAAGAGGAUAUCAUGAGUUUGGAAGAUGAGAAAUGACCAUUAUAGAGUAAGAAAUAAGGCAAGAAAACAUGGGAAAUGAGGCAUGAAGCAAGAUUCAGCUGCAUGGAAAUUUAGAACUCAAAAAUCUGAUGGUAAUAUAUACUUUGACUUUGAGGACAAAUUUAGAGAACUUUCCGGACUCCAUUUUAUACAUACUAUAUAUCGUUUUGAAGCUCGGGAAGUCAGAAGUCUCAACGCUUCAAACGGUGUACAAAUGGAGCUGAAAUGAAGAAGUUAUGACCAUUUGAAGAUAAUUGCACCAAGUUGAAGGGUCAUUUCGAAAUGAUUUCGAAAUUCAACUUAUGAAUUUGAAAUCCACUUUGAAAUGACACCAAUUUCGAAUUCACCCAUUGCCACUUUGAUGUUUCAUCUUCCCUACCUCAGGAAUUGCAUCUAGGGCACUCCAUCCCCCUAAGUGGACCCCACACGACUAGAAAUCACCAUUUUAUUAUUUUUAAUUAUUUUUAGGAAAUUAUUUUGUAAUAAGUAGCCAAUGAGAGUGUGCCACAUGUUAGGUAAUUGAUGAUAUUAUAUAAACUCUCUUAAUUCUAGGUUUUAGGGAUCUUGGAUCUUUUUCCGAAGAGUUUGACAUUGAAGGUGGAAGAAGAUGAGAACUUUGGUUUGUUUUCUUUUUCUUUUUUAUUAAAUAUAUUGUUUUAGGUUCUUUUGAUUCAAAUUAUGGAUUUUUACCCUAUUAUGGAUUGUGAAUGUGACAUCACCCCCAUGAGAGGCUAAAAGCCAACUUGGGGCUUGAAGCAUGAAAACCUAAGGGUUAGGAAACCUAUAGGGACAAUGGGUAAAUUAUUAUAACAAUGAGAUUAAUUAUUGGUUGGAUUACAAUUUAUCAAUUUUUUUUAUCCUAUCCUUAUGAGUUAGUUUAGGGAAUGAUACGGUAGGUUAUUACCUCAUACUAGUGAUUCUUGGUAAUUCUUGAUCAUUAGUUGUCCUUGUCUUCCCUAUCGUUAUUUGCCCCAAAACAAAGCUAUAAGGAGUAGGAAGGGUUAAAAAGCCAAAUCUUAAACUGGUAAUCAAUCUCAUUCUUUUGAUGGUUUUAGGAAUCUGUUUUAAAAAUGAAAAAUUAGAUUUCGGAUGCAAUUUUGAGUUAUAGAAUUCAACUUGAUUGCGAGCAACCAAGGAUCCCAAAACCCUAAGAUCAUAUUACUUAAAAGACCCUUGUUUUCUUUCAUUUCUAUACCCUAGGUUAGAUUGUGGAAAGCCCAAAACUUGAAUCAAUUGAAUUUAAAAUCAAUAUUCAUUUUGUUAUUAAUUUAAUUUCUUUUACUUAGUUUUACAUUAUUCUCAUAUUGUUUUUCACUUUAGGAUUUAAACGAAAGCAAUUAAUUUAUUCUAGUGUUGACAAUUUCCAUAAGCCAGUCCUUGAGGACGAUACCCGGAAUACUAUAAAAGUCGUAGUGACUCUUUCUCUAGUUUUUCUUGACCAGAGUUGCUACGUAAAAAGGCUAAGUAUUUUGGUACAACAAAGAAGUCUAGUCAGAAAGUGAACUAGAAAAAAAAAAAAAAAACCUUUGUGCCAAUGUGGAAAAAGGAGUGCCAUUUUGAAUAAUAGUUUCACAUAGAGCCCAAACUUAACUUUAUACAUGGAUAGAAGCUCAUUUUGGCUCAAAACUCAUUCUUAUCUCCCAAAGACAUGAAAACAAUGGUUUGUCACAAUUCUUUCCAUUUCUUCAUAGUUUUUUUUUUUAUUUUUUUAUAUUUUAAAGUAAACUCCCUAUAUUUCUCCAUUGUUACAUUUUUACAUCUCUAUAUCAAGCUCGCGAAGUGGCAUGCCUAAGUAUUCUUCCAUUGUUACAUAGAGGAAGUGAGCAAAUAAUUAAGCAGCCUAAUAUAGAUUAAGGUGGCACUUGUGUUUUGACUAAAUAAAAGAAACUAAAAUAUUUGACUUUUUUUCUUUAAUUAAAAGUAAUCAGUUGAUAUCAAUCAAUAUAACUAAAAUAAACUUGUUAUCAAUUACAUCAAUUUAGUUAUGGUAAUUGAUAUUUAAUAGGUUACUUUUAACUUAAUAAAAAAUUCAAAUAUUUUACUUUUUUAUAUUAAGUCAAAAAACAAAUAUCACCUAAGCUAGUUUAAACAUUAAUAAAAUUUAUGGGUCCACAAUGUAUAGUGAAACUUACACACAAAAUUUUAGUAUAUGCAUGUUUAGGUUAUGAUAUUUAGUUGUCCUUUUUUUUUUUUUUCUUUUAAUAAUAUUCCAACCAAUGAUACGGAGCUUUCAUUAUUACAACUUUUUACACUGUAAAAAAUGAAAAAGAAACAAGGGGGGUCUUUUCUUCCAUGUGGGGUAUAGUUUGGUCAUUUCUGUCUCUGAAGAGGAGCUGUCUCGGGUAUCCUCAUUGGCUUAAAAUUUGAACACAUCAAGUCUCCAUACCUUAUUGCAAUGUUUGGUUUUAUAAAUUUUGAGGGAAAAUGGAAGAGAAAGAAAAUAUAAAAGAAAAGUAGAAAGAAAGAAAAAGUGAAAGAAAAUAAAAAAUAGAUUAAAAGUUGAUAAGCUAUUUUUUUUUGUCACUUCAAACUUUUUUUAUUUAUUUUAACUCAUCAAUAUAAAAAUUAAAUAAUUUAAAAAUACAUAAAAUUUUAAUUAAUUUUAAUUAUAUUUUAUUUUCUUUUAUAUUUUUCAUAGACCAACCAAACAUGAAAAAAAUCAUUUUUUUUAAUAUUUUUUUUCUUUCCUUAAUAUUAUUUUCUAGUAACCAAACAUAACCUAUAUGCAUCUCACCAUUUGAUGCGCUCCCAUCACUACAUUGAGCCAAAUCCAAUGGGAACAAACUUGGUGAUGUUUAGUGCAACCGUUAUUCCUUCAAAGUGGAGCCCACUAUUUUUUUUUCUUUUUAGGUUGAUGAAUGUAUGUUCAACAACCAGUCACACUCAACGUGUGUAAUGAAAUAUAAUCUGUUGGAAUAAACAUGGAAAGAUAUACCAUAUGGGUAAUUAAAAAAAAAAAAUCCGAUUUGGGUAAAAAAUAUAUAUUAUUAUUGGGGUAAGUUUGAAAUUUUGUUUUGUUGAUGAAGAUUAAACUUUGGUUACUUUCCUAUGAUUUACACUAUUUUUAAAAAUUUAAGAUUGAUGGAAUCUUAACUAAGUAAAUAGAUAAAUAUAAUUAUGUUAGGUGAGAAGUGGGUUAUGUAUAUUACAAAUAAAAUUAAUUGAAAAAGAAUUUUAAAUCAAAAAUUUAAAAAGAUAAUCUUUUUAUAUAAUAAAAUUAAUUCAAAAAAGAAUUUUUUCUAAAUAUUUUUAAUUUAAAAAAGAAGAAAAAGCAUUUUCAAAUCUUUCUAAGAUUCUUAAGUGUGCUAAAUGAUUUUUUUUUAUUUUUUAUUUAUAAAAUAUGAUUUUAAAAUUGAUUUCAAGUCACUAGAUUUUUUCUAAUUUAUUCUUAUUGUGAGAGUUCUUUAAAAAAUUCAUAUGUUUAAACUUUAAAUUAUUAUUCUUUUAUUUAACUUGGAACUCUAAGAUUGUUCAUGAUUUUUUUCUUGGAUUCAUGAAUUUGUAUCUCUUCAAGGCAUUGAAGAGUCCAUGAAAGAGCAUAGUGACAAGAAUCAAAUUAGGUGUAAAUUUUAAAAUGUAAAUCUCAAAUAUAGAAACCAUAAAAUAAAUAUGUACUUCUUCUCCAUAUUUAAUGGAUUGUAACUCUAUUAUUUCUAAUCUAAUGGUUUUUACUUUCACAUAGAUUUUGUGAGUGAUUUUUCAUGCAAAUUACUAUCUCCUUGUCCGAUUGAAUUUCUCUUCCAAUUGUACAAUUCUUAAAGAAAAAUUAAAAUCUUACCUUAUAUAUAUAGACACACGUGACGUUUAUUUGAUUUUACUCCCGUGAUAGGAAGAUAUAAGAGAAGUUUUUUAUUUAAAAAAAAAAAAAUUGGAAAAACCGCUUUCAUUUAUAGGGAGGAUUAUUCGCGGAUCAGGACAUUUGAAUCCUAGGCCUAUUUGUGGGCUGGGUUGAACAUUAGUUAAAUAAAUGUAUAUUGACAUUAGAAUAUGAUUGAAAGUUGGGUUGCAAGCAGCCACGGGUGCUAUAUAUAUCUCCUAUAUUUAUAAGGUGCUGCAAAUCGCUUAUCCUAUCCAAGUUAUUUCUCCGGGUUAGGGUGUCUCUCUCCAGAAAAAGAAAAAAAAUGGUGAAAUUGAUGGCUACUUACACGGUGAGACCAGCCAAGGAGACACCGGGAGGCUACAGGUGUUUAUCAGACAGUGAUCAAGUUAGAGCUCUCACUCACGCACCCAUCAUCUACUUUUACCCACCUGUAAAUGUGUCCCUUGAAUCGGCCAUCGAGAUUCUGAGGCACUCUCUGAGUGAGGCAUUGGUGAUUUUCUAUCCACUAGCGGGAUGGUUGCGUAGGGACCCCUCCCCACACGUGGCACACAUCUCCUGAUGACAUGUAGCACACAUUCUCAUCCGGAUUUUCCCAAGAGUACACGUGACGCGCUUCUCCUAUCCGGACUCCCUCAAGAAGAGGCACACGACACUCACAAACAUAACAUCCGAACGCCUGCCACAACGCACCCGGAUGACUGACAUAUACUAUCCGGAUAUGUUUGUCCGGAUCAUUAACUGAAGUAAGCAAGUCUUGCACGUUAUCACAACAGUCUGCCAUGACCCACGUUCCGCCACCUGCAGAGUGAAAGGACAAGAAUGAAGUGACGGCAAGUCACUUCCCACGAUCACUUCCCACGAUCUCUGACAAUCUCAUAGCCUUCCACGAUCUCUGUUAGCCGCCCGUAGGGUAAUGAUGGCCCUGCCACCACCUAGUGGCAUUAUGACAAACCCAAAAUAUCUCCCUACCAUUAAAGAGGGAAACAAAGCUUCUGGUACUAUAUAUAUGAACCUUCACACAAAGGGGAAGGUAAGCUUGUUAUACCUAAUAAAAGGCCAACUGAUUUAUCUCUCUCUAACCAUGGCUGACAAAACCAUCGGAGGGUGCGUCCGGAUACCCUGUCUGGACGCCUUUUGCAGGUAGUACGAUUGAAUCAAGAAUCUAUAUUGGUUGAGAUCGUGCGUCCACUCAUUUGGCAACUACGUGAAUCACCAGGGACGCGAGGCCUCAAUAGGUUGCACUGGAUUGGUGGAGGCCGCCUUGUGCUCGAGUGCAAUGCCUUGGGGGCUCUGCUCAUUGCAGUAGAGUCCGAUGCCAAAAUCGAUGACUUUGGAGACUUCGGACCAACCCAAGAGAUCCGAGCUCUUAUCCCUUCUGUGGAUUAUGACAAGCCAAUCCAUGAACUACCAUUGCUUUUGGUGCAAGUCACCAAAUUUAGCUGUGGUGGCAUAAGUCUGGGCUUGGGAGCAUUGCAUAUCAUGACUGAUGGCCUUAGUGCAUCACACUUCAUCUCGGAGUGGGCUAAAAUCGCCCGUGGCGAGCAACCUAAUAGCUCACCAUUUCUGGAUCGGUCAAUUUUGCUAGCCCCGGAGCAUUUGAGUGCACCAGUGUUUGAUCAUCCAGAGUAUAGUCCUCAGCCCCUCUUGAUUGGGAAGCAAGAUCACAUGGAAGAGCGAAAGAGAGAAAGCGCUACACUCACGUUAAAAUUAAGCAAAGAUCAAGUUGAGAAACUGAAGGACAAAGCCAAUAAGGAUCGGAGUGCUUCCAACAACAAGCGCCCCUACACCAGGUAUGAGGCUGUUGCUGGACACAUCUGGAGGAGUGCGUGCAAGGCACGUCAGCAUGAAAGCCAGCAGCCAACAACAUUGUCUAUCAUCGUUGAUGCUCGCAAUCGCAUGGAGCCACCAUUGCCACCCAGAUAUUUCGGAAAUGCUACUUUUCGGGUAACUGCUGAAAGCACGUCAGGGGAGCUAGUCUCCAAGCCAUUAGGCUAUGCUUCAGGUAAAGCACGACAGGCAAUAGAGAAGGCAACGCAUGAAUAUUUACAAUCAUCUCUUAUGUAUGUGAAAUGUCAGGAGGAUGUAACUCCGUUCAGGAAUUUCAACACCGUUGGAUGCGCCAAAGGAGCUUUCUAUGGGAACCCUAAUCUUGAGAUCACUAGCUGGGCCAGACUGCCCAUUUAUGGGGCGGAUUUCGGGUGGGGCGAGGAAAUUUACAUGGGUCCAGGAGAAAUUGGCUACGAUGGGAAGGUUUUCGUAUUUCCGGGCCAGGGCCUAGACGGAUCAUUCCUUGUUGCAUUGAGGCUGCAAGUACGCCACAUUGACGCUUUCCAGAAAUUCUUCAACGAAGAUAUUUGUAGUCAAAAACCACUUUCAAUUAAUCCUUCAUUAUAAAAUAAAGAUAAUGUUGGAAUUUCCCUUGAUCAGUUUUUCUUUGGUAGAUCUUGUUCAAUAAAGCUACUCUUUCUUUUAUUUUCAAUCUGAUUUUCCAGACACUUUCUCUCUUUAUACAAAAAAUGAAAAAAUGUUGUGUCUUCAGAAUUACGCUCUUCACUCUGCUCUCUCUUUCCCGUUAGAAGAGAAUAUAAUAGAAAAAGAAACUAACUAAUCAUUUCAGAUAACUAAGUGGCAGAAAUUAAUGAGUCAUACUUAUAACAGAUAAAUACAAAUAACUCAAAGAUAAGAUGGUAUAUAAGAAAAAACUAAAAUGUUAACAAGGCUACAAGCUUGAGAUCAACUGUGUGAUAUAUUUUCAAACAUGCGCUCACAGGCUGUGGUUGACUAAUUCUAUAUACACAAAUUUUAUCUUUUACAAAAUCAAUGAAUAAAAUUAAUUAUAUAUACACCGAAUGCAAUUUUACAUGUACAUCCAUAUGUUGUACGUGCAGUACAAUGGAGAGUUAUUUCCUAGCCCAAUUAUUGUUAUUUUUUUAAGAGUUUCUUCAAAAAAAAAAAAAAAAACUCUAGAUUUUGGUUGUAGAACGCGGGCAAAGUUGGUCCUUUCUAUGUAUGGGUCGUUUCCAUGCAUGUCUACGUCAAAGUCAGGCUGUCUAUGACUCUGGUAUUUUGAUUUGCCAAUUACCUGUGGCUGAAUUAGAACAGCCCAGCGUCCGGCCCCGUUCCUUAUCCUGGCCCAGCCCAGCAGAAAUUUGUCUGUCUUUUAAGGGAGAGUGCGCUACCAUCACUGCACUAAGGGCCACCCACAUGCCGUGUACUCCCUUUUUUUUUUCUUCUCUUUCUUUUUUCUUUUUUGAGGGCAGUAUCGAAAAACACCUUCGUUGCCUUACAAUUUUCCCAAUAAUGCAAGUAGUACAACUCAACGAGACCAAAUAGAAAGUACUGAUGUUAAGUGCCAAUAAUGCAAGUAGUGCAACUCAAUGACACCAAAUAGUGUCAAGUGCAACAGUUGUUCCUUGAUGGCCACUAUGUUCAACCGUAGAUUGAAAAAUCGGUUUUUUUUUUUUUAAAUUUUUUUAUUUAUCAAAAUUGGUUUUUAUCAACUAUAUUUAAUCGAUAUAUUGGAUAUUUGACAGUCCCGAAAGGAUAUUGAGUAUCGAUUAUCGAAUGAAAGGAAUAUCAAAAAAAUAUCAGCUUGAUUUUUGAACCGAUAAAUCGAUAGAAACUUGUCAAAAUAAAUCAGAUCGAUGGAGGCCUGUCAAAAUAUCAAAUAUAUAUGGGUGAUAUAUCGGAUAUAUCAGCAAAUAUAUCAAACAUAUCUCUGAUAUAUCUAGGAAAUAUCGAAUAUUUUUUUGAAAGUUUUUUUUUAAAAAGUAUUUAUCAUUUUUUUAUUUUUCAAUUAUUCAUUUUUAAUUUAUUUUUUAUUUUAAAUUUAUAUUAUCAUUUUAUUUAACUAAUUUUAUAUUUAUCUCAUUAAUGCUAUUUUAAAAAAUUACUAUCACUUCAUUUUUUUUAUCCGUUUAAAUUUAUUUAAUUUUAAAUAUUUUUAUUUUAAAAUAUUAAAAAUAUAAUUUUACUAAAAAAUUGAUACAAUAUAAAAAAAUUAAUGAAUUCCUAAUAUUCUAUAAAUUAAAAUUAAUUUGAUAAGAUAAAUUAGUAAUAAUUUUAAUUAUUUAAAUAAAUUAAUGUUAAUAGAAAAUUUGUCACUUGUAAUAAAUUUUUAGAAAUCAAAUCUCAAAUAAAAUAUUUUAUAUAAAUAAAUUUAAUUUUUUAUUUAAAAUGUAAUAAAAUAUAUUUUAAUAAAAGUAUUUUAAUUUUUAAAAUAAAUGAAUAUAAAUUUAUUAAAGGAAUUUAUGCUAUUUUUUUUAUAAAAAUUUGAUAAAUAUUAUAUGUAAGAUUAAAGAUAAUAUUUAUCAAAUUUUUAUUAAAAAAAAUUAGCAUUACUUACUUAUUUUAUCAUUUUGUUUUUUGGAGUUUUUUCAAGCAUUAUUGUGAAUUUUGAAUAAUUUUCGCAUCAUCGAUAAUUUUGUCAAAAUAUCCAUUGAUAUUUCUUCGAUAUUUUUGUAAAAUCAAGUACUGAUAUAUUUGUAUUUACUGAUAUUUUAAUCCUUGUGUUCAACAACUAGUCUCAGGCCUUUACAUGUGAAAUUUAAUUCCAACUUUUAAAUAAAGAAAUAAAUAUGCUAUGGUAUAUAUAUAAAAAAUUAUGUAUAAAGAAAGACUUAAACAUAAAUGAAUGGAUCAACUAAUAUUCUGUUAAAGAAUUAAAAAGAAAGAAAUUUUUAGAUAGAUGAAUUGAUUUUCAUUGAUUGAUUGUGAUAAUAUAAAGGAGUUUCAAUCAGCGACAAAAAUAUCAUGAUAUAUCGUGUAUUGAGAAGUUCUAACACGAUAUUUUCAACUAAUAUAUCGGGGAGGAGAAAUAUAGCAACAUAUCGCCAAAAUAUCGGUGAUAUAUAGGUUGUAGUCAAUAUAUUAACAAUUUAGAAAAAAAAAACGCCUAUGAAUGCAAAAAAUCAUUAAUAUUUCAACAAUAAAUCGCCAAUUUUUGGGCGAAAAAUCAUCUUACACUAUGAGCAUGAUCUAACGGCCCAAAUCACACCCGUGUUGAUCUGACGCCCCAGAUCACGCUCGUGUGCAACAAUCAGCUUCCUCAUUUGAUCCAAUGGUUGGGAUGACAAUCCAACAACUAUUUCAUGAUUUAACGGUCAGAUUUCGCCUAAAUUUUGAUCUAACAACCAAAAAUAUUUUCCAACGAUAAAAUGAUGCUUGAACAACUUUUUUGACCUAAUUUUUUUUAUUUAUAAAUAGUUCAUUUUGGAUCCAUUUGAUCCACAUUUCAUUGCAUUUGAUCUCUCAUUGCUCAUAAAUUUUUUUAUCAUUAUCAAAUUAUUAUAAAUUUGGGAAAUUAUUAUAAAGAAAGAAAUAUGAUAUGGUAAAAUAAAAUAAAAUAAAAUAAAAUAAAAUAAUGUAUAAAGAAAGACUUAAACAUAAAUGAAUGGAUCAACUAGUGUUAUGUUAAAUAAUUAAGAAGAAAGAAAUUUCUAGAAAGAUGAAUUGAUUUUCAUUAAUUGAUUGUGAUAAUAUAAAGGAGUUUCAAUCAGGAAUGAAAAUAUCGCGAUAUAUCGUGUAUUUGGAGGUUUUGACACGAUAUUUCUAGCUAAUAUAUCGGGGAGGAGAAAUAUCGCAAAAUACCACUAAUAUAUCGACGAUAUAUAGGUUGUAGUUAAUAAAUCAACGAUUAAUGAAAAAAAUCACCUAUGAAAGAGAAAAAUCUCUGAUAUUUUGGCAAAAAAUCGCCUUACAUUUUAAGCGUGAUCUAACGGUCCAAAUCAUGCCCGUAUUAAUUUAAGUUAAUAAGUAAAUUAAGUUUAUUUGGUAAAAUGACUUAAUAAUACGAUUUAAAGUAAAAAACAACUUUAAAUAAUAAGUAAAAAUAAUUAAUUUAUUCUUAAAUUUAUAUUUUCAUUUUUACCUUUUUAUCCUCAUGUGUCCUAGUUACUAUUACAAUUUUUUUUGCUAUUCUAUAACCUCCAUUAUUACUUAACCUCUUUUACCCUAAUUAUAAUUUAUGAGGAUAAAUAUAUCAAUUUGAUGAUUUAGAAUAAAUUUUAAAUUAAUUUUAUCAAACAACCUUAAUAUUUAAAAAGUAAGAGUUAAAUAAUAAGUUCUAAGUCAACAACUUAAGUAUGACAUAACUUAAAGUCAGCUUAAAUAAUUAAGUAAUAAGUUUUAAGUUUUACCAAAUACCUAUAGAACUUUAUUUCAAGAGUAAAAAUCUGAAAUGAAUUACUUGAAUUUGAGUGCAAGCAAAAUAAUUUUUUUUUUCCAUUUUUAAACAUAUAUAACAUGAAAGUGAUAAGUUUGACUUUUCAUAAAAAUAAAACAAAAAAUAAUACUUAGAUGAUUUAGUUUUUUUUUUUAAAAAAAAAUUAGAAAUUUUAGAAACUUUAUGUAAAAGUUAUGUUUGCAUUAUCUACUUAAAAAUUAUUUUGAUAAUAAAAAAAAAAUAAUACCUUAAUUUUUUUAAUUAAUUUUAAAAAUCAUUAUAUUUUUAAUUUAAGCUCUAAAUUUUUUUGUAUUUGUAUAUAAAAAUUAGGGUUAUUUGAUUAAAGGGUUAUUAAAAACUCAAUUUUGAAUAUUUAACCAUUUAUCUUUUUUGACCUCAUUUUGAUAAAAAUAUCCUCAUUCUUUUUUUAAAUAAAUAAUAAUUUAAAAAAAAAUUAUAUAUAAUUACUUGAAAUGAUAAAGGAUAAUUAUAUAUAUAAAAAAAAUAGGUUACAUUUUAAAUAAAAAUAUAAAAAGGAUUAGAUUUACAAAUUUGGAGAUUAUUUUAUCUAUUUUAACCAGUGUUUUAAAAACCUAACGAUCCAAUCGUUCCAACCUAUCACCAAUCCAAUCUAGUUCGGUCUUUUAAGCCGGAUAGCUGUUGAACCGGCGUCAAACUGUCGAAACCGAAAGUCGGACCAGUGAAUCGGCCGACCCGACCGAUUUGGGGUGAAUCGAAUAGUUCGAAAAAAGGAAAAUCAUCUAACCAUACACCAACUACAAAAAAAUAUGAGAUUUUGGAACUUUACUUUUUUCUUUUUAAUUUUGGUGUAAAAUGGGAAAAAAUAUUGUCUAUUCAUGCACUCCAAUAGUGCUUUCAAAUUUGUUCUACAAUUAUCCUCGAAAGUAAAGGACAAAGAACACACCAAUUUAAUACCACCUGUUAACCAGUAAAUGUGUCAUUUAUUUUUAUUAUUUCUCUUACAUCAACAUAUCUUCCUUACCACUUGCCACGUUUCCACUUUUUUUUUUCCUCUCUUGCCACCAUAAUCCAUUGUCACCUAUUAGUUAUUAUUAUUAUUUUUCUUUUCUUUUUCCUUUAUAUUUUUUUUAAUAUGCUCGUGCAUUUUCUCAUAAAACUUCUUUAAUUUUAAUUUUUUUUACUCUCUAAUUUCUCCAUAUUUAUUGCUUUUAAUCAUUUUUGACAUAUUAAACUUAAAAUGAUAAUAUAUAAUAAAUAAUUAAUAUAAAAAAUUAAAUAAAAACAAAAUAUAUAAUGGACAAAAAUGAAAAUAUUAUCCCACAAAUAAUAAUGAUUUUAAAUAUUAAUUAUAAUAAUACUUUUUAUAAAUUAAGGUUUAAAUUUAAAAAUUCCAUUUUAUUAUUUAGAAGUUUAUGAUAUAAGAUUUUUUAUAUUAAUACUAAACAAAAAAUUUAUUUAUUUUGUAAAUUCUAUCACAUGUAAAAGUAAAAAUAUCAUUGUAAUACUAUUUUAUUAUUUACAUUAUUUUUCUUUUAAUUUUCAUUUUAAAUUUAUCAUAUCAAAAUCACAAUAAGUGGCGGUGCUUUUAUCAUUUUUCUUAUGAUUUUAAAUUGAUUGUGGAUCUAACUUUUUUUUUGGUUAAAAUCUUUAAUUUUUAAUUAAAAUAAAAUAUAAAAGAAAAUAUGUUUUUCAUAAAAAAUUGCAUUUAACCUUUUAUAUUAAUUUCAUAAAAAAAAUAGGUACAUUCUUAAAAAAAUAGGUAAAUUAAUGCUUAGGAGAACAUGAAAUACUAUCAUACUUAUCAUGGUGUAUAUAUUCUUUUGGGACCCUCGAUAAGUAAUUGGAGGUCUUUGCCCACCCUAAAAAGAACUUUGGGAUCCUAGGUAUAUCCAUUCUUAGGGAAACCAAGAACCUUAUUUUCAUUUUCAUGGUUCAUAUAUUCCUUUAGGGACUCUUGAGAAGGAAUUAGAGGUUAUUCCCCACCCUAAAACAGACAUUGGAACCCAGUGUACAUCCUAAAGAUAAUUUAGUACAUCAUUUACAAAAUUUGGUACAUAUUUCAUAAAAUUUGGCACAUCCUUAAAACAAUUUUGUACAUCCAAUAUGUGAGCUACCAGGACCUCUAUAUUAUUACCCGUGGUUCGUUUAUUUCUUUAGGGAUCUUUAGGAAGUAAUUAGAGGUCGUUCCCUACUCCGAAACGAACUUUGGAACCCUAGGUACAUCCUUAAGGAAAUUUGGUAUAUCGUUAGGAAAUUUUGGUAUAUCUAAUCCUCGGGCUAUCAAGACCCCUAUCUAUCUUCCCAUGGUCCAUAUUAUCAUUUGAGGACCCUUAGGUAGUGAUUGAAGGUCAUUCCCCACAUCGGAAUGAACUUUGGCACUCUUAGUACAUCCUUUACAAAAUUUAGUACAUCCUUAAAAAUAUUUGGUACAUACUUGAGCUAUUAAAACCUCUAUUUUAUUACCCAUGGUCCGUUUAUUCCUUUAGGGAUCUUUGGGAAGUGAUUGGAGAUCGUUCCCUACUCUAAAAUGGACUUUGGAACCCUAGGUACAUCAUUGAGAAAAUUUGAUACAUCCAAUCCUUGAGCUAACGAGACACUUAUCUCCAUUUCCAUAGUCCAUUUCUUCCUUUAGAGACCCUCGAGAAGUUAUUAAAGGUCGUUCACCAACUCAUAACAGACUUUGGCAACAUUGGUACAUCAUUUACAAAAUUUGUUACAUCCUUCACAAAAUUUGGUACAUCAUUCACAAAAUUUGGUACAUUAUGAAGGAUGUACCAAGGGUGCCAAACUACAUUCUGAGAUGAUCAGCCCACAAUCACUUCCUUAUGGGUUCCAAAAUGAAAUCAUGGACCAUCCAUGUUUAGAUGGGGGUCCUGAAAGCAAUAGGAUCAGAUGUACCAAAUUUAAUGAAGGAUGUACCAAAUUUUCUAAAGGAUGUACCAAAUUUUGUGAAGGAUGUACCAAAUUUUGUGAAGGAUGUACCAAGGAUUCCAAAGUGCAUUCCGAGGUGGGGAUCGACCCUCAAUCACUUCCUUAUGGGUUCCAAAAUGAAAUCAUGGACCAUCCAUGUUCAGAUGGGGACCUCGGAAACAAUAGGAUCAGAUGUACCAAAUUUAAUGAAAGAUGUACCAAAUUUUGUGAAGGAUGUACCAAAUUUGUGAAGGAUGUAGAAAACAUUCCAAAGUACGUUCUGAGGUGGGGAUCGGCUCCCAAUCACUUCCUUAUGGGUUCCAAAAUGAAAUCAUAGACCAUCCAUGUUGACAACCCGACUCUUGGUAGCUUGGCAUGUAAGGGUAUCAACAAAAUUUAUACCUAAGGUCCUUACACUAAAGUAGCAAAGCUACUAUAGCAUAGUGGCUCUAGGAUCGAACACUGGGAAGGGUUUUUACUUUAACUGGUGAAUUUCGGAGAAUGGAGUGAACUUUUCUUAAUAAAAAUUAGGUUAAGAUGAAAACAUAAAAAGAUGAAGGUGUGUAAACUAAACUAACAUGAAAAUAGGUUAAAAGAUGGAAAAAGAAGUUUCUCAAAGCUUUGGAUAGCCAUGCUUAACUCAUUGUGUAAAAAUGGAGAUUUUGGGACUCUUCACCUCGAGUUGGGGAAGCAACUAAGGUGAUGCUUACUUCCCGAACCGGUAUGAGUUUAACAACUGAGUUUUAGUCCUUGAAAACUUACAAAAAGGGUAGCUGAACCUCACAAAUGCUCUUUUAUUGGUAUAGGUCAUCUCCUCGACUUGCAAUACAAUGGCUCGUAGGAGAUAACUAACGAACGUCAGUGGAUCUAACAAUAAGAAUCCACUGAGACCAAAAGCUUAUCAAGUAUUGGCCAUUCAAAGCAAGUCAGAGGGAUUAAAAGCUUUACUUUGAACGAAAACAUUUAUGACGCUCAGCUACUUACAUUCAUGGCUUGGAAAUCUCCAUCCUGACACGGGAGCUUCACAUGGCAUCCAUUACUUCAAGAAACUAAAAGGUUUUAGCCUCUCAUCCUUGGGGAUUUCAUCCUCCAAGGAUGUUUGGCUACUAAGAAAAUGAGAAAGAAAAGAGAAAAGAAACUUAUGAACAAAAGUGCUCUUAUAACUUAUAAAGUUACAGGUUACAAGAUUAGAUGAUCUGAGGCUCUUCACCUCUAUUUAAAGACAAUAACAAGCUAAAUUACAAGAGCUAUUACAAAAGCAACCUAUUCAUUGGUUGAUUACAAGGGUAAAAUAGGUAUUUACAAAGCUAAAAAUCAAGCAAAAUAUCUUGGAGAACCGGUAGUGGAAUAACAUCAACAACGUCUCAAAACAGGGGAUUCAAAGGAAUUUCGCAAUGUGCCUAAAUCCUCCUUGCGAAAUUUUCGCAAGGUGUUUCUUCAUGGUGCGAAGUGGCAAAAUUUCGCACCAUGAAGAAAAUCUCCUUGCGAAAUUGGUCAUUUGACAUGAUGCAGUUGCCUUCUGAAGGCCAUAUCUUCCUCAUUUCAGCUCCAAAUCAUACACGGUUUGAAGCUUUGGAUUCUUGACUUCCUAAGAUUUCAAAUGGUAUAUAGCAUGCAAAAAAUGGACUUUGGGAAGUGCUUCAAAAGUGCGAAAGAAGACUGCAGCUGUUUUCUUCACUCUGUUUUCUUCACUCUGUUCUCUUCACUCUGUUUUCGUCUUCUCCAUUGCUUGUGCUCGUGUUUCCACUUGAAAUUCAAGCCUGUAAUCAUCCAAAAUCCUUGCUUAACUCGCCCAAAUAGCUCCUCCAUCAAUUGGCAUGCUUGAAUCGAUUCAUAAGCUGAUAAAAACAUGUAAACUUGCCAUAAAAUGGUUAAAACCAAUUACUAAGGACCUUAAUGAAUUAAUUGGGUUAAAUGAAUAUGAUUACUACUUAAAGGUGCUUAAAACCAUUAUAAUUAGAUCUACAAAAUAGCACUUUUUGGUAGUAAUCACAUGUUCAGAUGGGGGUCAUGGAAAUAAUAGGAUCAGAUGUACCAAAUUUAAUGAAGGAUGUACCAAAUUUUGUGAAGGAUGUACCAAGGGUUCCAAACUGCGUUCUGAGGUGGGGAUCGACCCCUAAUCACUUCCUUAUGGGUUCCAAAAUGAAAUCAUGGACUAAAUGGGGGACCCAAAAAUAAUAGGAUCGGAUGUACCAAAUUUAAUGAAGGAUGUAGCAAACGUUCCAAAGUGCGUUCUGAGGUGGGGAUCGGCUCCCAAUCACUUCCUUAUGGGUUCCAAAAUGAAAUCAUGGACCAUCCAUGUUCAGAUGGAGGUCGUGGAAACAAUAGGAUCGGAUGUACCAAAUUUAAUGAAGGAUGUACCAAAUUUUGUGAAGGAUGUACCAAGGGUUCCAAACUGCGUUCCGAGGUGGGGAUCGACCCCCAAUCACUUUCUUAUGAGUUCCAAAAUGAAAUCAUGGACCAACCAUGUUUAGAUGGGGGACCCAGAAGCAAUAGGAUCUGAUGUACCAAAAUUAAUGAAAGAUCUACCAAAUUUUGUGAAUGAUGUACCAAAUUUAGUGAAAGAUGUACCAAGGGUUCCAAAGUGUGUUCCGAUGUGGGAAUCGGCCCCCAAUCACUUCCUUAUGGGUUCCAAAAUGAAAUCAUGGACCAUUCAUGUUCAGAUGGGAGACCCGAAAGUAAUAGGAUCGAAUGUACCAAAUUUUAUGAAGUAUGUACCAAAUUUUGUGAAUGAUGUACCAAGGGUUCCAAACUACUUUUCGAGGCGGGGAUGGGUCCCCAAUCACUUCCUUAUAGGCUUCAAAAUGAAAUCAUGGACCAUUCAUGUUUAGAUGGAGGACCCGAAAGUAAUAGGAUCGGAUGUACCAAAUUUAAUGAAGGAUGUACCAAAUUUUGUGAAAGAUGUACCAAGGGUUCCAAAUCGCGAUCCGAGGUGGGGAUUGGCCCCCAAUCACUUCCUUAUGGGUUCCAAAAUGAAAUCAUGGACCAGCCAUGUUUAGAUGGGGGUCUCGAAAACAAUAGGAUCGGAUGUACCAAAUUUAAUGAAAGACGUACCAAAUUUUAUGAAAGAUGUACCAAAUUUUGUGAAGGAUGUACCAAGGGUUCCAAACUGCGUUCCAAGGUGGGGAUGGACCCCUAAUCACUUCCUUAUGGGUUCCAAAAUGAAAUCAUGGACCAUCCAUGUUUAGAUGGGGGACCUGGAAGCAAUAGGAUCGGAUGUACCAAAUUUUGUGAAGAAUGUACCAAGGGUUCCAAACUACGUUUCGAGGUGGGGAUCAGCCCCUAAUCACUUCCUUAUGGGUUCCAAAAUGAAAUCAUGGACCAUCCAUGUUCAGAUGGGGGUCCCAAAAGCAAUAAGAUCAAAUGUAACAAAUUUAAUGAUGGAUGUACCAAAUUUUGUGAAGGAUGUACCAAAGGUUCUAAAGUGCGUUCUGAGGUGGGGAUCGGCCCCAAAUCACUUCCUUAUGGGUUCCAAAAUGAAAUCAUGGACCAUCCAUGUUUAAAUGGGGGACCUGAAACAAUAGGAUCGGAUGUAUCAAAUUUAAUGAAGGAUGUACCAAAUUUUGUGAAGGAUGUACCAAGCAUUCCAAAGUGCAUUCUGAGGUGGAGAUCGGCGCCCAAUCACUUCCUUAUGAGUUUGAAAAUGAAAUCAUGGACCAUCCAUGUUCAGAUGGGGGUCCCGAAAACAUUAGGAUCGGAUGUACCAAAUUUUGUGAAGGAUGUAUCAAGGGUUCCUAAGUGCAUUUUGAGGUGAAGAUCGGCCCCCAAUCACUUCCUUAUGAGUUCCAAAAUGAAAUCAUGGACCAUCCAUGUUCAGAUGGGGGUCCCGGAAACAAUAGGAUCAGAUGUACCAAAUUUAAUGAACGAUGUACCAAAUUUUUUGAAGAAUGUGCCAAAUUCUUGAGGUGGGGAUUGGCUUCGUGUUAUGUGAGGAGUUAGUAAAAGGGAGGUUCACCCAUUAACACCAUGGGAAGACAUUCAAACAUUUACACUGUACCCUUAGAAUCAAUGGAAAUUUUUUUUAUGCAAUAACAUUAGUUUGGUAUGUUAUGUGUAGAAGGCAAUCUAGGAGUGCACCUUCCAUUUGAAAGGCAUGCCUAUGUGUGAAUGACAUUAUAUUUCUGUGCUUCAUGUAGAAGGCAAAGUAGAGGUGCACCCUUUGUUGCAUAGGCAUGCCCAUGGGUAUGAUAACAUUAUUUUGGUAUACUAUAUACCAGUAUGCAAACUAGUGGCACACCCUUUAUUUUAGAGGCAUACAUAUUGCUGAAACCAUUAUAUUGGUAGGCUAUCUGCACUAGUCAACCUAAGACCAUAACCUUCAUGGAAGACGCAUGAAUGUGGGUGAAAAACUUAUUUUUGUUAAACUAUGUGCAGUAGGAAAAAGAUAGGCAUGACUCUCUGUUAGAGGCAUGCCUUUAGGAUGACUAGAUUUGAGGUGUGGGUUGGGCAGUAAGGCAAAUGGAGGCAUGCUGAUAGCUUGAAAAGUUGGCCCUUGACGUUCAUAUGAAAUAAGCGAUGGAAAUGAUUCCUUAUUGAUUUAAAAUCAUAGAUUUUUUCGAAAGAUUUUUUUUUAAAUAAAUAUUUAUCAUUUUAAAUUUUUUAUAAUUGUUCAUUUUUAUUUUUUAUUUUUUAAAAAAUCUAUAUUAUCAUUUUAUUUUAUAUUAUCUUUUUAUUUUUAACUAAUUUUUUAUUUAGCUCAUUAUAGGAAACUAGCUAGUAUAUUUUGUUUCAUUUACAUAAAUUUCAAUCUGCAUUAUAAAAUGGUACCAGUUGAAUCUCUAUACCAAAAAUUUGGUACAUCUAAUCCUUGAGCUACCAGGACCCCUAUCUUAUUACCCAUGGUCCGUUAAUUCCUUUAAGGAUCUUUGGAAAGUGAUUGGAGGUUGUUCCCUACUCUGAAACAAACUUUGGAACCCUAGGUACAUUCUUAAGAAAAUUUGAUAUAUCCAAUCCUUGAGCUAAUGGGACACCUAACUUCAUUCCCAUGGUUCAUUUAUUUCUUUGUACAACCUUAGAAAGUGAUUGGAGGUCGUUCCCCACUUCGGAAUGGAUUUUGGGCCCUUUGGUACAUCCUUUACAAAAUUUGAUACAUCCUUAAAAAAAUUUGGUACAUCCAAUCCUUGAGCUAUCAAAACCUCUAUCUUAUUACCCAUGGUUUGUUUAUUCCUUUAGGGAUUUUUGAGAAGUGAUUGGAGAUCGUUCCUUUCUUUGAAAUAGACUUUGGAACCCCAGGUACAUUCUUGAGAAAAUUUGAUACAUCUAAUCCUUAAGCUAAUGGGACACCUAUCUCCCUUCUCAUGAUUCAUUUAUUCCUUUGCAGUCCCUUGGGAAGUGAUUGGAGGUCGUUCCCCACCUCAGAAUGGACUUUGGUAACCUUGGUACAUCAUUUACAAAAUUUGGUACACCCUUCACAAAAUUUGGUACACCUUUCACAAAAUUUGGUACAUCCUUAAAAGAAAUUGGUACAUCUAAUCCUUGAGCUACCGGGACCCCUAUCUUAUUACCCAUGGUUCGUUCAUUCCUUUAGGGAUCUUUGGAAAAUGAUUGGAGGUCAUUCCCUACUCUGAAACAGACUUUGGAACCCUAGGUUUCGAUAGCUCAAGGAUUGGAUGUACCAAAUUUUGUGAANNNNNNNNNNNNNNNNNNNNNNNNNNNNNNNNNNNNNNNNNNNNNNNNNNNNNNNNNNNNNNNNNNNNNNNNNNNNNNNNNNNNNNNNNNNNNNNNNNNNAAGUGGUCCAAAGUCCGUUCAAAGUGGGGAACGACCUCUAAUCACUUCUUAAGGCUGUCCAAAGGAAUAAAUGGACCAUGGGAAGAAAGAUAGGUGUUUUGUUAGCUCAAGGAUUUGAGGUAUCAAAUUUUCUUAAGGAUGUACCUAGGGUUCCAAAGUCUGUUUCAAAGUAGGGAACAACCUCCAAUCACUUUUUGAAGAUCCUUAAAAGAAUGAACGGACCAUGGUAAAUAAGAUAAGGGUCACGGUAGCUCAAGGAUUGGAUGUACCAUUUUUUUUAGGGACGUACCAAAUUUUGUAAAAGAUAUACCAAAAUAUGUAAAUGAUGUACCAAGGUUGCCAAAGUCCAUUCCGAGGUGGGGAACAACCUCCAAUCACUUCCCAAGGGUCUCCAAAGAAAGAAAUGGACCAUGGGAAGAGAGAUAGGUGUCCCGUUAGCUCAAGGAUUGGAUGUAUCAAAUUUUCUCAAAGAUGUACCUAGGGUUCCAAAGUCCGUUUCAGAGUAGGGAACAACCUCCAAUCACUUCCCAAAGAUCCCUAAAGGAAUAAAUGGACCAUGGGUAAUAAGAUAGAGGUUUCGAUAGUUCAAGGAUUGUAUAUACCAAAUAUUUUUAAAGAUGUACCAAAUUUGUUGAAUGGUGUACCAAAUUUUGUGAAGGAUGUACCAAAUUUUGUAAAUGACGUAUCAAAUUUUGUAAAGGAUGUGCCAAGAGUGCCAAAGUUUGUUUCGAGGUAGAGAAUGACCUUUAAUCACUACUUGAGGGUCCUCAAAGGAUAAUAUGGACCAUGAGAAGAUAGAUAAGGGUCUCGAUAGCCCGAGGAUUGAAUGUACCAAAAUUUCUUAACGAUGUACCAAAUUUCCUUAAGGAUGUACCUAUGGUUCCAAAGUUCAUUUCAGAGUAGGGCAUGACCUCUAAUUACUUCCUAAAGAUCCCUAAAGAAAUAAACAAACCAUGAGUAAUAAUAUAGAGGUCCCGGUAGCUCAUGGAUUGGAUGUACCAAAUUGUUUUAAGGAUAUGCCAAAUUUUAUGAAAUAUAUACCAAAUUUUGUAAAGGAUGUACCAAAUUGUCUUUAGGAUGUACCUUGGGUUCCAAUGUCCAUUCCAAGGUGGGGAACAACCUGCAAUUCUUUCUCGAGGGUCCCCAAAGGAAUAUAUGAACCAUGAGAAUGGAGAUAGGGGUCUUGGUUCCUCUAAGUAGGGACAUACUUAGGGUUCCAAAGUUCCUUUUGGGGUGGGUGGGACCUCUAAUUUCUUAUCGAGGGUUUUAAAGGAAUAUAUACACCAUGAUAAGUAUGAUGGUGUUUCUGGUUCCCCUAAGCAUGAAUUUACCUAUUUCUUUUAAGGAUGUACCUAUUUUUUUUUAUGAAAUUAAUAUAAAAGGUUACAUACAUUUUUUUUAUGAAAAAUAUAUUUUCUUUUAUAUUUUAUUUUAAUUAAAAAUUAAAGAUUUUAACCAAAAAAAAAAAGUUAGAUCUAGAAUCAAGUUAAAAUCAUAAGAAAAAUGAUAAAAGUACCAUCACUUAUUGUGAUUUUGAUAUGAUAAAUUUAAAAUAAAAAUUAAAAGAAAAAUAAUAUAAAUAAUAAAAUAGUAUUACAAAGAUAUUUUUACUUUUACAUGUGAUAUAAUUUACAAAAUAAAUAAAUCUUUUGUUUAGUAUUAAUAUAAAAAAUCUUAUAUCAUAAACUUCUAAAUAAUAAAAUAGAAAUUUUAAAUUUAAACCUUAACUUAUAAAAUGUAUUAUUAUAAUUAAUAUUUAAAAUCAUAGAAUAUAUUAUUUGUGGGAUAAUAUUUUCAUUUUUGUCCAUUAUAUAUUUUGUUUUUAUUUAAUUUUUUAUAUUAACUAUUUAUUAUAUAUUAUCAUUUUAAGUUUAAUAUGUCAAAAAAAUAAUUACAAUCAAUAAAUAUGGAGAAAUUAGAGAGUAAAAAAAAUUAAAAUUAAAGAAGUUUUUAUGAGAAAAUGCAUAAGCAUAUUAAAAAGAAUAUAAAGGGAAAAAAAAAGAAAAAUAAUAAUAAAAACUAUAAUAGGUGACAAUGGAUUAUGGUGGUAGGAGAGGAAAAAAAAGGAAAAAGAAAAAAGAAAAAAGAAAAAAGUGGAAACGUGGCAAGUGGUAAGGGAGAAAUAUUGAUGUGAGAAAAAUAAUAAAAAUAAAUUAUACAUGUACUUGUUAACAUGUGAUAUUAAAUUGGUGUGUACUUUGUCCUUUACUUUUGAGGGUAAUUAUGGAACAAAUUUAAAAGCACUAUUGGAGUGCAUGAAUAGACAAUAUUUUUCCCCAUUUUACACUAAAAUUAAAAAGGAAAAAGUAAAGUUCUAAAAUCUCAUAUUUUUGUAGUUGGUGUAUGGUUACAUGAUUUCCCCUUCGAAAAACCCCUAUCUCCUUCACCCAUCCAGCUCCCUCCUCAAUCGUCGCGACCUCUUUUUUUCUUCCCAGAUUUGCAACUACGCCUCCACCUCCGUCACUUUCCAAUUCCCAGCGUGCGCUCCUCACCCUCUCUCUCUUCCCAGUCCCAGCAUGCGCUUCUCCCACCCUCAUUCUCUUCCCAGUCCUAGCGUGCGCCUCUCUGCGGCGCCACCUAGCACCCUCCCUCCACAUUCCAUAUCUUUCCAGUUCCUAGCGUGCGCCCCUCACUCUCCCUCUCUUCCUAGUCCCAGUAUGCGCUUCUUCCACACUCCUUUUCUUCCCAGUCCCAGCGUGCGCCUCUCCGCGGCGCCACCCAACACCACCACCACCACCACCACCACCACCAAACCCCCCUCCCCCUCUUUCUUCUACUACUGCCCAUAUUCCCCUUUCUUUUUUAGUUGAACUCUCUUCCCCCUUCCCACCUCCAACAUGAACACCUCCCAUUUCAUUUCCUGGUUUUUUUUAUUAAAUUUUUUUUUUAUAUUUUCAUUUACAUUGUCCGUUCAUCUCCAUUAUUAUUUAUUUUAUUUUAUAUUUGUUAUUUUUUUAACUUUAUGAUAUUGUAAAACUUGUGAUUUUAAUUUAAAUUAAUGAAAACAUCAUAAUUUUAAAUAAAUUUCUAUUUUUAAAAUUUUAUUUGAAAAUCAUAAAAUUUGUUUCAAAUUAGAAAUUUAAAUUAAGAUAAAAUUUUAAUUUUAAAAUUUUAAAUUUUAAAUUAAAAUUUUUAUCUUAAUUUAAAUUCUUAAUUUGAAACUAAUUUUAUGAUUUUCAAAUAAAAUUUUAAUUUUUAAAUAAUAUAUAAAUUAUAUAUUUAUAUUGUCAUCGGUUCGACUAUAAUCAGACCACUGAUCCAACUAGUGAAUCGUGAAUCGGUAAUUUUUCCAAUUUAAUGAUCGCCGAUCCAACUAGUGAAUCAUGAACCGAUAACUUUUUCGGUUCAAUGAUCCGUUCGAUUUUGAAAGCAUUGAUUUUAACUAAUUAAUUCUAAAAGUUAAUAUAAUUUUAUAUUUCGAAAAUGGAAAAUUAGAAGUGUAUGUAAAUUGACACUUAUUUGUUUAUUUAUAAAUUUUAUUUAUUUUUAUAUAAUUAUUUUUUUUUCAAUAAAGCAAAUGGCUACCUCACUCCAUUUGGAAUUAAGAAUAAGAGUGAAAAUAUACUUAAAUAAUAAUUAAGGUGAGGGUGGGAAAGGUGAGCCACCUAUACUUGAGGAUUUACGUCCCCAAAUAUAAAGCUUUACUAGGUCAUGUCGGCAUAUUUUUCUUAAUAACAGAUGAUUAAGAGAUACUCUAUUUGAUUGAUGAAUUGUUUAUAGGAAAUUUUAGGAUGUCAAGUUCAUAUUAAUUGAAUUUACAAUCUCAAUCAUGAAUAUGUAUAGUGAAAUUUAAACCAUUGAAUGUUGAUAUAAAUAAGUAAGAUCAUUGUACAAAUAAAUGAGAUUAAAAUAUAAAGGAAUGAAAGUAAAGUACAAAGUAAUGAAAAUUAGAUACAAAAUAUUAGUAAUAGAUUAGAUAUAUGACAAGUAGUAAUUAGAUCCAUAUUUUUGGUAGGUAAUGAUUCAAUAUUGGAAUGGGAACUCAUGAUUUAUAAGGAGUGAGUAGUAGAUGGCAAUACCAAAUUUGUUUUGAAAAGGGAAGUAAAUGCGAAGGCACAUUUACUGGACUUGACAUAAAAUAAUUUUAUAAGAAUUUAUUUUGAUUUUGGAACAUAUUUUAUAUUUGUCUAAUUGUUUUUAUAUAGUAUUUUAAUAAUAAUUUAAAAUACGAAGAACACUCUUAUAGUAUAUUUUAUAAGAGCUCGGCCCCAUACCUUGUCCUGACUCCUGUGUGCUUUAAAAUCACAUUAUGCAUAUGCAUCGAACUCAGCAUUUGAAGCUCUUCCAUCACUGCAUUCAGAUGACCCAGCCAAAUCCAGUGGAGUUAGACACACUUGAAGAUGUCACAGCUGGUUUUCCUUGAAAAGGAAGCCCAGAAUUCUUUUAAGUACUUGGACAUUGUCACAUCUACCGAAGGCUUGAAAACGUUGGCUUGUCAUUAUUUUUUCCAUUUCUUAAGGGUUGGUUUUUUAUUUUUCAUUUUUAUUUUUAUUUUUUUAUUUUAAGUAUAAAUCUUUAUAUUUCUCCAUUGUUACAUCUCCCUAUCAAACUUUGGAAGUGGCAUGCCCAAGUAUUCUUCCAUGGGAAUGCUUUUGGAGCAAAUAAUUAAGUGAAAUAUUUUAUUUUUUAACCCAUUAAAUAAGUGUUUGGUAAACCAAUUUAAUAACUUAAAAGUGACUUAAUAACUUAAUUUUAAGUUAUUAAAUAAAUUAAGUAUAUUUGAUAAAAUAACUUAAUGAUAUAACUUAAAAUUCAAAAACAACUUUAAGUAAUAAAUAAGAAUAAUUAACUUACUUUUAAGUUCAUAUUUUUAUUUUAUCCUUUUAUCUCCAUUUAUCAUAAUUAUUUUCAUGAUAUCCUUUGUUACUUCACGACCUUUAUUAUUACUCGACAUCAUUUGUCUGCAUUAUAAUUUAUAUGAAUAAAUAUGUUAAUUUGAUGUUUUAGAAUAAAUUAUGAAUUAAUUUUAUCAAACAAAAAUAAGAAUUAAAUAAUAAAUUUAAAUUAACAAUUUAAGUAUAAUUUAAUUUACUCACAAAAUUUUAGUACAUGUAGGCUUAGAAUAUGAUAUUUAGUUGUUCUUUUUAUAAUAUUGUAAGCAAAUGUUCUAAAAAAUUUUGUACUAUAUAAAUUUAUAAUAUUUUCAUUCCAAAUGAACUUUAAAAAUUGUUUUGGUAGAAUUUUGGAUAACAAGUUUUUAAAACAUUAGAAAAAAAAAAAAAGGGGUUACGUGGGGUAUAGUUUGGUCGUUUCUAUUCAUGAAGAGGGGUUGUUUCAGGCAUAGUUUUCUUUGCCUACUCUCCUAUCCUUUAUUGGCUAAAAAUUAGAACACAUCAAGUCCCCAUACCUUUGUAGACAUAAAAAAAAAAAUAAAAAAUAGUGGAUUAAAUUACCACUAAUUUGGUCUUCAAAAUGAAUAAAUUAAAAAAAAAGAUAUCCUUUUAUGGAUAAGUUUCCCUAAUCUCCAAAUAUAAAAAUAAAAAUAAAAAUAAAAAUAAUAAUAAAAUUAUUAUUAUUAUUAUUAUUAUUAUCUUGUUGGUAAAAUCUCCCAAGAGAAGAAAAAUUUGCUAAAAUCAAGGAACUAAAUCCCUUGAAUUAAGCAACUAAAAUUUGGGAAUUUGAAAUUCAAAUUCCCUAUUUUCACCUAUAAAUAGAGGUGUCUUCUAUUACGAAGGGGGAAAGAAAUUUAGAAAUCAGAAAAUCCAGAAAGGAAAAUCUUAAGAAGAAAAUUCAAAGGAGACUUCAUCCUUGAAAAGAGGUUUCACAACAAAAGAAAAAGUUUCAUCAAAUCUUCCUACAAGUUCGAUAAACGAAAAAAAACCUACUACACGCGUUCUUUGCCAUUCAAGGAGUUCAUUCAGGAAUAAGCCACUUGUGGCCCUCGAUUGAUCUUCGAAAUCAAGAAAAUGUCAUCGUCAUCUUCCGAAGUGUGAUCAAGGCAAAAGAAUCAAAGGAAAAAUAUUCUUUUGGAAAGAAUAUUAUUUUUGAGAUUGUACCCACAAUAUUUUUAAUUUCAAUAAAUAUUUUGCUCACAUUAUUUUCCUAUUUGUUUUGCUAACUUUGCAAGACCAAAAUUUACGAAAUUUGUGCGUACAAAUUUCUGGCAUGCUCUGUGGGACAUCUUUACCUCUCAUCUCUUUCAUUAGAAGAUUUAUCACUACUACAUCGAUGACACCCAAAAGAACUCAAGUUGUGCAUGUCAACAAGGACAAUGAUAAGAUCGUCAUUGCACAAUCAAAACACGACGCCGCUACGGGCCCCAUGACUCGUAGCAAAGCAAAAUCAACAUCUUCACUCUCAACAAAACAAACAAGUGAGUCCGCUUGUUUGAUAAAACUGGUAAGAACGCGUGAUGAGCACUAACCACUCAUCACCUUGGUCUCUGAGGGGGAAAAGAGCCAUAGUCCUCAUAGUAGGGGAAAACUUCCUUUAACACUGAUUUGUGCCCACUUGGUGUAUCAGCUGAUUCAUCUCCAGCUGGUGCUCCUUGAUUGAGGGAGUAAUCAACAAAAUUUAUAACUUAUUACACCAUGAACUAGGGUAGCAAAGACAAAGCUACUAUAGCAUAGUGGCUCUAGGAUCGUUCACUGGGAAGGGUUUUCAAUUCAUAAAUGAUACCAAUUCAAAGAUGAAUUGGUGCCUUUUAAUUUCAAGGUUAGCUUAAGAAAUAAAACACAAACUUUGAUUGAAAAAGGGUUUAGGUUUGAGCUAACAGCAAAGGAAUUAAUGGAAAUUACUUAUGAAGAAAAACAUUCCUUGGAGGUUUAGGUUCAUAGGGGAGGUUCCUCGUGCAAAAACAGAGCUCCGGUCAUUUGGUUCAUUUCCUCGCAUUAGAGAAUUAACAUAUAGUCAAUUCUCUAACCGGUGUUGUACAAAUGCAUCCUUUAAAUGGAUUUCAGCUCUAAUUCCCUCUCACUGAUGCAACUUGCAAUGGCUCGUGCCUUUCACCUAACAUUUGCCAUUCAAGGUAAUCUUUAACCUUGGAUUACCCUUCAAAAGCUCGCAAGAGAUAACUAAUGGAUGUCUCCUUGGAGUCCAAAAGCUUACCAAGUGUUAGCUAUUCUAGAAAAUCCUACCUUCAAACCACCUCCCAAAGGCUCGCAAGAGAUAAACUAGUGUAUCUCAAUGGAUGGAGAUCACUUGCCUUACCAAGUGUUGGCCUAGGUGAUUUAAAGGCGUUUUAAGUUAACUAAAAACAUAGAAAUCAUUAAAGGAUCACACUUUCUCUUCAUUAAUGGCUGAAACCACAAAGCUACUAAUUCUUGCACUUGGAACCUUUCCCGGCAACCUUAACUCCAAGGAACUAAAAGUCUAGCCACUCAUUCUUUGAGGAAACAUCUUCAGAGCUUGUUUGGCAAGUAAGAAAAAUUAAAUGAAUAUAAACAAUCAAAAUAAAUAGGUAAGGUAGAGCAAAGGCUCUGUAUUUUACUUCCUUCCAAAAACUUGUACAAAAGAUAUAGAUUAUUACAAACUAUAUAUAAGGGGUUAUUCACCUUUUGUUCUUACUUAAAGACUAAGAAAUCCUAUGAUAGGUGGGUUACAAGGAGACUUUGGGGAUUUAGACAUCAAAUAUCUAAAGAAAAAUAUCUAAAUGUUGGUUGCAUAUAUCGGGAAGCUUCAGGAGAACACCGCGGCACUGUGCAAAAUGGCUGCGAAAUUCUCCGGGUAAGCGUUAUUAGAGGAUCCGGAUAUGUAUAUCUGGAGAAGUUGAAACGCCCUGGUCUCCCAUCCGGCUCCUGAAUUCCGGAUGUGAUCCGGGUGGAAUGGCGGCAGUCGGAUGUAAAGUGGCAGCAGCCGGAUGUAAAGUGGCGUCAGCCGGAUGUAAAGUGGCGGAGCAGAAUUCCGGAUGUCAUCCGGGUAAAGUGGCGGUAGCCGGAUGGAAUUCCUACCCGGGUGGAAUGAGCUGGAUCCCAUACUCCUUGUAUUCUGGAUUUGCUUAUGGAUUCCAAAGAACUCUCCUCAAUCUUGGAUUGCUUUGGUGAUCAAAAAGCUAUCAAAACACCAAAACUUAACACAAUUUGAUUAGAAUUGAUUGCAAGGGUCCUUAACAUGUUAAUUGGGUUAAAAGGUGAUAACUACUACUCAAAAGUGUUUAAAAGAGUUAAUUACAAACUAUGAAAUAGCACUUUUUGAGUAGUAAUCACUCCCCCCAACCAAAAUAUUGCUAGUCCCUUAGCAAUGAAGGAGAGAAAAAUAAAAAUAAACAGUACUAUAAUUUACAACAUCAUGCUGAUCAAAAAACAAUUUCCAAGUGGCAUGAUGAUCUAACUCUCACAUGGAACAUUAAAGAAAUAAAACUCAAACUUCAACAAGAGUUAUCAAAUAACUUGUCUAAUCACUAUUCUUAAAGAGAAGGCAUUAUGCAAAUUUAAGCUUUAAAAUCAUUUCCACUUCCAUAGGAUCAAACUUUACUCUUCCAUAAAAGUCUAAAUGUGAGAUGAUAGUUUCCGAAUAUAGUAUGCUAAACUAAUCUCUCCCCCCCAACCUAGCUCUUUUCAACACUUAGCAAACUGACCAACUUCAAUAGGCUAAGAACGCACCCUUUUAUUUUACAAUUCUUUUCAUUGUAGGAAUACAAAGCUUAAAGGUAUUCUUUUCUAAAUUUUCCAUGUAACGGGGGUCCAUCGAUGACUCCCAACCAAUUAAGGUUUAGGGCAUCAAGCUUUAAGGAUCUUUCAACCACUAACUCCUCGGACUUUACCUGGGACUUUUGAGAAUGAAUUUUAAAAUACCCAAGCACCUACAGUAUGUUAAACUCCACCUAUUCACCCUUGUAACGAGCAUUGAGGUCGGUGACUCCCAACCAAUUAAGGCUUAGGGCACCAGGUUUUAAAGAUUUUCACCAUAUACCCCUCAAACCUUGCUCGGGUUUCAAGGCAAGUAAACAUUUUUCUUUCUUUCUUUCUUUUUUUUAAAGACUCAUUGGCCUUUUAUAAGGUGUCCCAACACUAUUAAAUGAGGUCAAAGGUACCAAGUCUAAAAUUUUCCUAAGUUAAGAGGGAAAUAGUUUUUCAUCUUAUAAUCAGAAUCUAUUAUGCACAGUGUGUGAAUAGCUUAAAGUGGAAGAACUAAGCUUGAAUUCAAUAGAAACUUCAACAAUUCAUCAACUUUAAUAAACAUAAUACAAACUCUAAGUCAAGUAAAAAGACAAAAAUUCAAUUUCUCCCAUUUCAUUUUGAAAAUUUUUCCUUAAUAACCAUGGAGAGUAGAAUAAAAACUUUAAAAAUUUUAAAAAUUAAGCAAAAAGCAACUAAAUUACCAAAAUAACUUAGCAUUAUUAACAAAAACUUCCUUCCUCAACUCUCCCCCCAACCAAGCUGAACAUUGUCCUCAAUGCGAUAAAAGCGAUUGAAAAAUAGGGAGGAAAUGGUACUUCCUGAGUAGUAUGAAGUUCAAGUAGAAUAGGAGAACCCACAUGUUUCAAAAAACAAUAAAAGAUAUGAGUAGAGGAAUUAAAAUAAUAUAAUGCUAAGUGUGCUCACAAAUGAUAGAGAUUUGUAUUACUUGAUGGCAGUACAAUUUUAUAUCAAAAACAAGCAAUACAACCAAUCCCACUAUAUAAUACCAAAAAGAUGGGAUUUCUUAAAGGAAAUACAUAAAGUAAAGUAUGUAAAUGAUCAGAAAUGGGGAGGAUGAUGCUGGUAAGCUGAUGGCUCAGGUAGAUGUCUCUGCAUCUUCAGUAGCCGGCUCAGGAGGGGCAUGGGGCUCUGUGGCCUCUGAGUGGGGCACUGCAGUGGUAGGGGUGAGAUGCUCAGUAGCUGAUGGAAGACCCAGAUGGUGCUGAAGCUGCCUCAGGAUGGCAGUGUGUUGAGUCUGGGUGGUCAAAAUCUGCUCCUGGUGAGCACGAAUAGCUGACAUCUCCUGAGCAAGGCUGCUCUGAGUCGCGGUCAGUGUCUGCAAUGUGUGGCAUAGAUCUCUAUACUCUGAAAGGGGUAUGGCCAUCCUAGGCUCGGCUGAAGUAGAGGGCUCUGAUGCAGCUGGAAUAACUGGAGGGGUGCUGUGGGUGGCAGGAAAAGCAAAGGGUAUACCCUCAGGUAUGGCCUCUGGAGAUGCUCUCCUGGCAGCUGGUAUCUCAGCUGGCUGUGGGUCCUCUGGCUGCUGUGGUUGUGGAAGCUCUAGACGCUCUGUUCUAUAUGCUGUCAUAUUGGUCCACUUGUCGAGAGUGAAUACCUCUCGGCAUAUACGUCUGCGCUCCAGCUGAGGGUCUGAUGGAUACCCCAGAUGCUCCAAAAUUUGGCAUAGCACUCUCGAGAAAAGAAGUGGAAUAGCAUCCGCUUGCAGCAACUUCUUCCUAUGCACCUUCUCUUCAAAGUAGAGAAGGGCAGCCAUAAUCAGAUGGUGAGGGCCAAAGAAAUAUCCCUCUGAUAUCCUAAACAGGGCCUCUAGCAGAACUCCUCUCCUCUGCACCCAAUGCUGAAGUGGAUAAAUGUUGUGGCGCAGGAGUGCAUCAAUGAAGAACAUGCUCGGAGGAAGUUCCUUCCUCAACAGAUAUGGAUUUGUGGAUGUUCCUCUGGACAAAAUAUGAACCAUUUCAAGCUGGGAAGGAUUAGUCCAUACUCGGUAAUCCUCUAGAUGGGCUGGCUCAUAUGGAAUAUGCAGGGCCUUUGCUAUGUGGCGAGCUCCUAAAAUACCAUGACGUCCGUCAAUGGUGAAGUGGAUAAGAGUAGGAUCUCUGACCUGAUUAGUAGUCAUGGACUGAUAGAAGUCCAUUGCUACUUGGGGAUAGAAAAAAUCCCUGGGGGUCAGCAAAUGCUCCAUGCGAUAUCUGUGCAGUAGAUGGAAUGAGUCUGCGAGCUCCGGCUGAAACCUGAAGGUGGCUGUGUCAAAACAUAGUUCAGAGUGAAAUGGUCGAGCCCGGCAAUCCAAAUUCCCCUCAAUGGGCGGCUGAUCGACCAUCGAACGCCUGAUCAGCACCUCAGGAGCUAUCCCUGAGGGAAUUUGAGACUCUGCAAGUGGCGGCUGCGACAGAUGAGGCUCCGCCGGAGGCUCUGAAGACAGCGCCAGAGACGGCUCUGGAGAGGGCUUUGGAGAGGGGUCCGGAGACUGCUCCGUUAAGUCAAUUGGCUUUGAAUCUACUACCCUGGCUUUUUUUUGCGGGGGACGGCCACCUGACCUGGUCAGAUAACGCCUCGCCGGAGGACUCAACGGCGCGGGUUUAGCCGGAGGUGGGGUGGCUACUCGUCAAGGAGGCUCUGAUGUGGAGCCUUGAACAAGCGCCUCUCGCGCGACUCUCUUGCGGCCAGACAAAAAUGAUGACUUUGCUCCUCUGGUUCGCGCCAUGGCGGAUUGAAGAAAAUGGCCGGAGGUGAUGGCCGGUGGCUCGCGCGGCUUCGGGCUCAGGUGAGAGAGCGAACGGACGGUUGCUCUGGUGUUCUUCCUUUCUGAAACCUUUUGGCAGCUCAAAUGACCAGUUUUUAUAAAAAAUAAAGGAAUAUCAAGGGUCGUUUUGAUUUUCGCAGAGGAAGGCCGAUUUCGCAGCAAAAGGUCGUUUUUGCAAUAAAAUGUCAUUUUCCCAGCCCAUUUGCAGCUGCAAAAUGGGGGGGAACUAUGUUGCGAAAUGGCACUCGUGUGCCAAGAGGGUGCUUCGCAGCUGCGAAAAUUUUCGCAGAGAGGGGCUUGAGGGUGCGAAAUGAUUUCGCAGCAAAGUGGCGAUUUCGCAGAGGCUUCUUUUAGGCUGCAACAUCUCGCAGACCCCUUUUUUUCCCCUGUUUUACACUCUUUCUUGCUCCAAACGACUUUCCUUCAAUUUCUUUGUAAUUUCUCCUACAUGAGAUCAUUCAAAAAGACUAAGUUACAUAUAAAUACACAACUUAAGACCAAAAAUUAAAAUCAAAAGAAUUGAUAAAGCUUUGAAAUUAAGAAAAUUAACAAAAACUUAUGGACUUUGGCGAAACCAAGUCCAUCUAACCCUUCUUUGAUUAGGCUUUCUGUGGCUCAAGGAGGUUGAUUUCCUCAUUUUCUGGUUUGAAUGGCUCAAUGAAUGGCUUGAGACGAUGACCAUUGACCUUGAAAAUGUCAGUACUGUUGGAAUUCAGUAAUUCCACCACUCCAUUGGGAUAUACUUGGUGAAUAAUGAAAGGACCUAUCCACCUUGACUUGAGCUUCCCAGGAAAGAUAUGGAGUCUUGAAUCAUAAAGUAAGACUCUUUGUCCUUUCCGCAAUUCUUUGUUAGAGAUUAGUUGAUCAUGCCACUUCUUCAUCCUCUGUUUUGCAACUUUGGAAUUGAUGUAAGCAUCAUUUCUUAAUUCCUCCAUCUCAUUGAGGUCUAAGCACAUCUUUUCCCCAGCUCUGAUCAAGUCCAUAUUCAACCUCUUGAUUGCCCACCAAGCCUUAUAUUCAACUUCCACAGGGAGGUGGCAUGCUUUGCCAUAGACGAGACGAUAGGGGGACAUGCCAAGAAUAGUCUUAUAAGCUGUUCUAUAUGCCCAUAAUGAAUCAUGUAGCUUACUAGACCAAUCUUUUCUGCUUGUAAUCACCACUUUCAUCAGCAUGUUUUUUAUUUCCCUGUUUGCUAGCUCCACUUGCCCGGAAGUUUGAGGAUGAUAAGGUGUAGCUACCUUAUGCUUCACUCCAUACUUGGCUAAUAGGGUUUCAAAAGGUUUGUUGCAAAAAUGAGUACCUUCAUCACUGAUUAUGGCCUUGGGCACCCCAAAUCUUGAGAAGAUGUUCUCCUUAAGAAAUUUGAGAACCACCCUGUGAUCAUUAUGUUUACAGGGGACUGCCUCCACCCAUUUGGAAACAUAGUCUACCCCCACCAAUAUAUAAGAGUUACCAAAAGACAUUGGGAAAGAUCUCAUGAAGUCAAUACUCCAAACAUAAAAAAGAUCAACUAUAAGGAUGGGGUUCAUGGGCAUUUGAUUUCUUUUUGUAAGCUUCCCGAGUCUUUGGCAUCUAUCACAACUCCUACACAUGAUGUGGAAAUCUUUGAAAAGCGAUGGCCAAGUAAAACCUGAUUGCAAGACCUUCAUGGCUGUUUUCUGAGAGGCAAAGUGGCCUCCACAGGCAUUCUCAUGGCAAUGGCUGAGGAUCCUUUGUUGCUCUUCUUCAGGGACACACUUUCUUAUGAUCUGAUUUGCACAAUACUUGAAAAGGAAGGGCUCUUCCCAAUAAUAAGCAUGAAUCUUUCCAAAGAAGUGCUUCCUGUCUUGCGCUUUCCAUUCACUUGGAACUUCACUAGUAACCAAAUAGUUAGCAAUAUGAGCAUACCAAGGAGCUUUCUCUAGCAACAUAAGUGAUUCCUCAGGAAAGUCAUCAUUAAUAGGUAAUACAUGAGAAUUAUGUGCUAUAACCAACCUUGAAAGGUGUUCAGCUACCACAUUCUCCACCCCUUUCUUGUCUCUGAUUUGGAGAUCGAACUCUUGUAACAAAAGAAUCCAUCUAAUCAACCUUGCCUUUGCAUCUUGCUUUGUCAAUAAAUACUUCAAGGCUGAAUGGUCAGUGAAAACAAUGAUGAAAGACCCUACCAAAUAAGCACGAAACUUGUUUAAAGCAAACACCACAACUAACAAUUCUUUCUCUGUAGUUGUGUAGUUUCUUUGAGCCUCAUUCAAUGUUUUGCUUGCAUAGUAGAUCACGGAGGGCUUCCCAUCUUCUCUUUGGCCAAGUACAGCUCCUAUAGCAAAGUCACUGGCAUCACACAUUACUUCAAAGGGUAAUUGCCAGUUAGGAGCCCUUACUAUUGGAGUUGUUGUUAAGAAUUGCUUCAGUUGAUCAAAGCUAUUUUGACAUCUUUCAUCCCAUAUAAACUUAGCAUCUUUAGCCAAAAGCUCACAAAGAGGUUUUGAAAGAUUAGAGGAAUCUUUUAUAAAUCUCCUAUAAAACCCUGCAUGGCUAAUGAAUUUCCUUACUCCUUUCACAGUUGUUGGGGACGACAAUUUGACAAUAAGCUCCACCUUUGCUUUAUCAAUUUCAAUGCCUUUCUCAGAGAUGAUAUGGCCAAGAACAAUUCCUUGACGUAUCAUAAAAUGGCAUUUCUCCCAGUUGAGCACCAAGUUCUUCUCAAUGCAUCUGUUAAGAACCGCUUCCAAAUUGACUAAGCAUUCCUCAAAUGUACCUCCAUAUACGGUGAUAUCAUCCAUGAAGACCUCCAUAAUUCGCUCCACCAUAUCACUGAAGAUACUAAGCAUACAUCUUUGGAAUGUUGCAGGUGCAUUGCAUAAACCAAAAGGCAUUCUUCUAUAGGCGUAUGUUCCAAACGGACAUGUGAAAGUGGUCUUCUCCUGAUCUUCAACAUCAAUUUCAAUUUGGAAAUACCCUGAGUAUCCGUCCAAGAAACAAUAAAAAGGAUGGCCAGAGACUCUCUCCAGCACCUGAUCAAUAAACGGGAGUGGAAAAUGAUCUUUCCUUGUCACAGCAUUCAAUUUCCUAUAGUCAAUACACACCCUCCAACCUGAAGUGAGGCGUGUAGCAAUUUCUUCUCCUUUUUCAUUUUGAACCACAGUAAUCCCUAACUUCUUUGGUACCACUUGAGUAGGACUCACCCAAGGGCUGUCAGAUAUGGGAUAAAUAAUACCUGCUUGGAAUAGCUUCAUUACCUCAGUUCGCACCACUUCUUGUAAAUGAGGAUUCAAUCUUCUUUGAGGUUGACGAAUUGGUUUAGCUUCUUCCUCCAUAUAUAUGUGAUGUGUACAAACCAAAGGACUGAUUCCUUUCAAGUCAGAUAUUUGCCAUCCUAUUGCUUUCUUACACCUCUUGAGAACUUCAAGAAGAGAAAUCUCCUGAUGACUGGUAAGAGAUGAAGAUAUAACAACAGGACAUUGAUUAUUUUCUUCAAGGUAUGUAUAUUUCAGCUCCACGAGCAAAGGCUUCAAAUUGAGCUUUAGGGUCUCUUCUUCAGCAGCUUCUCCUUCCUCUUUAUUGAACAAAGGUAGAAUUUCUUCUCUCCUCCUCCAACCUUGUAGAGUAGCAAGCACAUCAGGGGGUUCAAAAAAUCCUUCUUCAAGAUCCCCAAGACUUUCAUUCAGCUUGUCUUGUAUCUUCUGAUUACAGUGCUUCUCCACUAGAGUGUCGAUAAUGCAUACCUCUUCUGGACCUUCUUCUUCUUCCGGAGUGAUUUGCUUUUUAGACAUAUGAAAAAUGUUGAGCUCAAGUGUCAUGUUGCCAAAAGUGAGUUGCAUGAGUCCAUUCCUACAAUUGAUGAUUGCAUUUGAGGUAGCGAGGAAUGGCCUUCCAAGGAUGAUAGGAACUGAAUUAACUUCCUUUACAGUAGGAUCCGUAUCAAGAACAACAAAAUCUACCGGAUAGUAGAAAUUAUCAACUUGAACUAAGACAUCCUCAAUUACCCCCCUUGGAAUUCUUACUGAUCUAUUUGCUAGAGAUAGGGUGAUUGAUGUUGGCUUCAACUCACCAAGUCCCAAUUGCUUGUAGACAGAGUAUGGUAGCAAAUUCACACUUGCUCCCAAGUCUAACAAAGCUUUCUCCACUACCUUUGCUCCAAUCAUGACUGAAAUGGUAGGACAUCCCGGAUCUUUGUACUUCAAAGGAGACUUGCAUUGUAUGAUUGCGCUUACUUGCUCAGUCAAGAAGGCUUUCUUGUUCACAUUCAACCCUCUUUUGAUAGUACAUAGGUUUUUUAGGAACUUUGCAUAUGUUGGAACUUGUUUAAUCAUAUCCAGCAGUGGAAUGUUGACUUUCACUUGCCUCAAUACUUCUAGGAUUUCUGAUGCAUUUUUUAUCCCCUUUUUCCCAUGCAAAGCUUGAGGAAAAGGUGGAGAUGUGCGUUUCUUCAGCAUUUCUUCCUUAAUAAGCUCUUUCUCCGGAUUUGCAUUCACUAUUGAAUCAUGGUCCUCUUUCCUUUCACUGAUAUCGUUCUUCUUUCCUUUCAUUUCCUCCAUCUUUUUUAUCUCUUCGUCUUUCUUCUCUUCAACACAUGGCUGAAGUGUUGGUGGCUCAACCUUUUUACCACUCCUUAGAGUGAUCAAGGCUUUAACAUCUCUCACCUGUGAAGAUUCUCCCUCAUGAGUUUCCACUUCGUGGAUACCCUUGGGGUUUUGGUGAGGUUGAGAAGGAAAUCUACCCUUCUCUUGCACUGUGUUCAAGUUAGUGAGCCUUGAGAUUGAGUAUUGGAGAUUAUCUAUCUUUUGAGAUAGAUCAUUUUGUAUUCCAUCCAUCUUUUUAUUCAACAAAUCAACUCUUUGACUGAGUUGAGAGUUGAUGGAUUUUUGGUCUCCAACAAAAUCUCCCACAACCUUGCUGAGAUUCACUAUUGCUUGUUCAAGACUUGAAGAUUGUUGAGAUGGUUGAGAUGGUUGAGCCGGCUGUUGGUACUGAGAUGCUCUUGGCUUCCAUGAGAAAUUUGGAUGAUUCCUCCAACUUGAGUUGUAAGUAUUUCCAUACAGAGCAUCGUUAUUGGGCCUGAAUUGUCCAAUGACAUUUGCUUGAUCUCCAAACAUUUCCUUUACAGCUGGAAUUGUAGGGCACUCCUCCAUCAAGUGUUCAUUAGAUUGACAAAUAGGACACAGCUUUACUUGCACUGGUGUUUCAGUAACAGCUUGCACUUCAUGCAUCUUUUUCAGUUCUAGCUCCUCCAAUCUUCUUGUCAUAGCCGCAAAUUUUGCUUUCAUAUCAUCAUCUUCAUUCAAGGUAUACAUCCCAGCCUUAGCAUGAAGAGCAUUUGGUUGAGACUUCAUCUUUCCCACUUCUCCUCUGUGCGGUUCAUCCCAUCCCCUUGAGACUUCAGCUACAUAACUCAAGAAAUCCAUAGCUUCCUCAGGAUUCUUACUCAUGAAAUCCCCUCCACACAUUGUUUCGAGGAGUUGCUUCAUUGAGGAAGACAUCCCAUCAUAGAAAUAACUCACCAACAGCCAUGUAUCAAAGUCAUGGUAAGAACAAGCAUUAAUGGCUUUCAUGUAUCUUUCCCAACACUCAUAGAAUUUCUCAUUCUCUUUAGCUGAGAAGUUUGAAAUUUGCCUUUUCAAGCCAUUUGUUCUAUGAGUAGGGAAGAACUUCUUGAGGAAUUCAACUUGUAAAUCAGUCCAAGUACGAAUACUCCUUGGCCUUAAAGAAUUAAGCCAAAUCUUGGCCUUAUCCUUUAAAGUAAAAGGAAAUAGUUUAAGCCUCAUCAGGUCGAUAGAAGCUCCUCCCUCUCGGAAUGUUUUACAAACAUCUUCAAAUUCCUUGAUAUGGGCAUAGGGAUUCUCACUUUCCAUUCCAUAGAAAGUUGGUAGAAGUGGCACAAUAUGGGGUCUGAUCACUAGCUGCUCUGUAGGGGGCACUAUACGUGAUGGUGCACUCAUACGAGGCGGAUGCAUGCGGUCCCUCAUUGAUAUGAAUUCAUUGGGAUUGUCUUGGUGACCAUGGUGACUAUGCUGAUCUUCAGGUGUAGCUUCCAUGAUAUUCAAGCUCAAUUCUAAUUCCUUGUUAUGAGGUAUAUCACGUUUGACAAGCCUUCCUCCACUGUCUCGUAUCCAAUUUGGCAUACACAACUAGUAUCAACUAUAACUAAAAUGAAAAUAAAAGAAAACAGGGCUACCAAAAAAAAAACUAAAAUGAACUAAACUGAAUUUAAAAGAUAUAUUAGAUUAUGAACAAGUAAAGAUACAAUAAAAAAAAAUAAGAAUUAGUAAAAUGAAAGAAAAGUUACCAAACUUGUGAUGAGAAUCACAAGUACUCUGAAAUAGUAUCACUAUGAAGUUGGCACCUUUCUCGGCAACGGCGCCAUUUGAUUCGUGCCCACUUGGUGUAUCAGCUGAUUCAUGUCUAGCUGGUGCUCCUUGAUUGAGGGAGUAAUCAAUAAAAUUUAUAACCUAUUACACCAUGAACUAGGGUAGCAAAGACAAAGCUACUAUAGCAUAGUGGCUCUAGGAUCGUUCACUGGGAAGGGUUUUCAAUUCAUAAAUGAUACCAAUUCAAAGAUGAAUUGGUGCCUUUUCAUUUCAAGGUUAGCUUAAGAAAUAAAACACAAACUUUGAUUGAAAAAUGGUUUAGGUUUGAGUUAACGACAAAGGAAGUAAUGGAAAUUACUUAUGAAGAAAGACAUUCCUUGGAGGUUUAGGUUCACAGGGGAGGUUCCUCAUGCAAAAACAGAGCUCCGGUCAUUUGGUUCAUUUCCUCGCAUUAGAGAAUUAACAUAUAGUCAAUUCUCUAACUGGUGUUGUACAGAUGCAUCCUUUAAAUGGAUUUCAGCUCUAAUUCCCUCUCACUGAUGCAACUUGCAAUGGCUCGUGCCUCUCACCUAGCAUUUGCCAUUCAAGGUGAUCUUUAACCUUAGAUUACCCGUCAAAAGCUCGCAAGAGAUAACUAAUGGAUGUCUCCUUGGAGUUCAAAAGCUUACCAAGUGUUGGUUAUUCUAGAAAAUCCUACCUUCAAACCACCUCCCAAAGGCUCGCAAGAGAUAAACUAGUGCAUCUCAAUGGAUGGAGAUCACUUGCCUUACCAAGUGUUGGCCCAGGUGAUUUAAAGGCGUUUUAAGUUAACUAAAAACAUAGAAAUCAUUAAAGGAUCACACUUUCUCUUCAUUAAUGGUUGAAACCACAAAGCUACUAAUUCUUGCACUUGGAACCUUUCCCGGCAACCUUAACUCCAAGGAACUAAAAGUCUAGCCACUCAUUCUUUGAGAAAACAUCCUCAGAGCUUGUUUGGCUAGUAAGAAAAAUUAAAUGAAUAUAAACAAUCAAAACAAAUAGGUAAGGUAGAGCAAAGGCUCUGUAUUUUACUUCCUUCCAAAAACUUGUACAAAAGAUAAAGAUUAUUACAAACUAUAUAUAAGGGGUUAUUCACCCUUUGUUCUUACUUAAAGACUAAGGAAUCCUAUGAUAGGUGGGUUACAAGGAGACUUUGGGGAUUUAGACAUCAAAUAUCUAAAGAAAAAUAUCUAAAAAUAAAUAUCGAAAGAAAAAUAUCUAAAUGUCGGUUGCACAUAUCGAGAAGCUUCAAGAGAACACCGCGGCACUGUGCAAAAUGGCUGCGAAAUUCUCCGGGUAAGCGUUAUUAGAGGAUCCGGAUAUGUAUAUCUGGAGAAGUUGAAAUGCCCUGGUCUCCCAUCCGGCUCCUGAAUUCCGGAUGUGAUUCGGGUGGAAUGGCGGCAGCCGGAUGUAAAGUGGCGGAGCAGAAUUCCGGAUGUCAUCCGGGUAAAGUGGCAGCAGCCGGAUGGAAUUCCUACCCGAGUGGAAUGAGCUGGAUCCCAUACUCCUUGUAUUCUGGAUUUGCUUAUGGAUUCCAAAGAACUCUCCUCAAUCUUGGAUUGCUUUGGUGAUAAAAAAACUAUCAAAACACCAAAACUUAACACAAUUUGAUUAGAAUUGAUUGCAAGGGUCCUUAACAUGUUAAUUGGGUUAAAAGGUGAUAACUACUACUCAAAAGUGUUUAAAAGAGUUAAUUACAAACUAUGAAAUAACACUUUUUGAGUAGUAAUCAAACACUAUAGGACUUUGAGGAUAAAUCUCCUUGCUCUGUUACUGAUGCCAACUCUAGCAGCGGCUCACUCCAGAUUGCCAACUGGAAUGUCAAAGGAGGAAAACUACUCCAAUCAUUCUGACUAUUUUAUUUCUCCAUUCUCAAUUACUAUGCUGAUAAUGGCAACCGACACUACAUCUAUAGAGGAACAAUUAGCAAAGAUGGCUCGUGCCAUUGCCAAACUCAUCAACACGCUCGAGAAAAAGGAUAUACAGAUAGUCUCCCUCAUAAACAAGGUUGAGACAUAAGUACAAAAUACGGGUGAGUCAAGUUAAGAACUCAACCACCUUCCAAAUGUUGCAUCUUUUCUCGAUGAUGCACCACAUACGUAUAGUACAAUACAAGUUGAGAGACAAACAACAGAAUUUGCCUCAAUGGCAUCAUUAUCUGUCCAACAACUUCAGAACAUGAUAACUAACACCAUUAGAGUGCAGUAUGGUGGACCCUCAUAGAGUACGCUUAUGUACUCUUAACCUUACAUUAAGAGGAUUGAUAACCUACGUAUGUUUGUGGGUUAUCAACCUCCAAAAUUUCAAUCAUUUGAUGGGAAGGGAAAUUCAAAACAACAUGUUACCCAUUUCGUUGAAACUUGUAACAAUGCAGGUACAGAUGGUGACUUAUUAGUUAAACAAUUCAUUCGUUCUCUCUAAGGGAACGCUUUCGAUUGGUACAUAGACCUUGCACCUAAGUGUAUCAAUAGUUGAGACCAAAUGGAACAUGAAUUCCUCAACCAUUUUUAUAGCACCCGAUGAACUAUAAGUAUGAUGGAACUUACUAACACUAAGCAAUGGAAAGAUGAGCCAGUUAUAGACUAUAUCAACCGUUGGUGUUCCUUAAACCUUGAUUGCAAAGAUAGAUUAUCUGAGGUAUUAGCCAUGGAGAUGUGCAUACAAGGAAUGCAUUGGGGUCUCCUAUACAUCUUCCAAGGGAUACGACCCUGUACCUUUAAAGAAUUAGCUACUCGAGCACAUGAUAUGGACACUACAAGAAAAAAGGUCUUCAUUGACAAUUUUUCAUCAUCAAGAUAAGGUAUAUCUGUUAAGGUGGAUCAGAAUUCACAAAUGUUAUCUAUGCCAGUGUCAAGAAAUGAUAAAAGCUACCUUAACAUAUGCAUGAAAUAAGGUAGGCCGUAUUUCUAUCAAUGUAGGAAUCUUAUUAAUAUGACAUAUGUUAAUGUUUCUUACACGUCAGUCAAGGUUAGGUUAAACAUAUGUGAAGGUUGACUCAUUGUUUUGUCAAGAUUAUAUUCAAUAUAUGUUAAGCUUAAGUAUGAUAUAUGUCAAUGUUGUUGUAUAUGAUUUUAAAUUUAAUUUACACAUAUGUCAAGGAUUUUUUUUUUUUUUUUUGAAAGUUGAAAUUUUAAUAUGUUAAGGUUCCUUUAUUCUUAUGUCAAGGACUGCAAUGUCUUUUAUGUCAAGAUUUCUUUAUUCAUAUAAAGGAAAUUGGUUUAUUUCAUAUCAAGGUUGCAUAUGGAACAUGUCAACAACCUAACCUGUUGCCCAAAUGAUCUACAUAAAAAUUGAACCUGUUGUGUAUAUAUAUAUAUGGAUAAACUACAUGAAUGUAUAAAAUAUUUUUUUUUUUAAAUAUGAACAUGUAGGCAAAUAUAUUGACAAAAAAAAAAUUAAUAUCCUUGCAUAAUCUUGUAUUAUCAUCACAUACAUCCAAAAAAAGGCAAAUAUGUACCCAAAAAUCCAAUAGUUAUACAUGAUAAAUAUAAUGUAUGCAUGAUCUUGUGCCUUCAAAAGUGCUGUAAUUGCUACAAAUGCCACCUAACCUUCUGCAAGUAGGAAAAAAACAUCAGUAUAUGUUUAUAUUUGAAAGAUUAAUAAAAUGAUAUAAAUAUGUAUCCAAAUGUAUUCCCAAACAACCUAACAACUAUAUAUAAUCUUGUUAUCUUGUCAAAUAUAUAUGAAAAAAGGAUAGAUAUUUACCCAAAAAUAACCAAAUAUCAAGUAGCUGUACAUGAUAACAAAAAUUUAUGCGUGAUCUUCUCCUCUAAAAACUGCAGCUACUGCAAAUGUCACCUAACCACAAACAAGAAAGAAAAAAGUAACAUUAUUUUAUGUUUGUGUUUGAAAGUUCAUUAAAAAUAUAUAAAUAUGUAUCCUAAAUAUAUCGAAAUGUAUUCACAAACAACCUAACAAGUAUACAUGAUCUUAUACUAUUAUCAUAUAUAUAUAUAUAUAUAUAUAUAUAUAUAUAUAUAUAUAUAUUUACUAAAAAAGAACCAAAAAUUAAAUAAUUAUGCAUGAUAACAAGAACUUAUACAUGAUCAUGUAUUCUAAAAAUUGCAAGUGCUACAAAUGUCACCCAACCUCUUGCAAGUAAAAAAAAAAAAAAAAACAACAUUACUUUAUGUUUAUGUUUCAAAUUUUUUUUAAAAAGAUAUAAGCUUGUACCCAAAUAUAUUCAAAUGUAUUCACAAACAACCAAGCAACUAUACAUGAUCUUGUACUCUUAUCAAAUAUAUAUAUAUAUAUACAAAAUGAUGGAUAUUUACCAAAAAAUCUAAUAGCUAUACAUGAUGACAAAAACUUAUGCAUGAUCUUGUACUCUAAAAAUUGUAAAUGUUGCAAAUAUCACCCAACCUCUUGCAAAUAAGAAAAAAACAACAUUAGUUUAUGUUAUGUUUAAAAGUACUAAUUAAAAAGAUAUAAACAUAUACCAAAAUACAUUUAAAAAAAAAACUAGCAAUGAACUUUUAGGGAAAAAAUAUAGAUAAGAUAUGUACCUAAAAAUAUCCAAUAAAAGAAAAAACUAAUUGCAACUUUACAUACAUGAUAGCAAGAACCUAUGCUGAUGUUGUAUUCUCAAAAUUCCAACUACUACAAAUGUUAUUCAACCUCUUGCAAGUAGAUAAAAAAACUACAUUACUUUAAGUCUAUAUUUAAAAUUUUACUAAAAUGAUAUUAACAUGUACACAAAUUUAUGCAAAAAGAAUCCAACAAACAUACAUAAUAAAAAAAAACAUUAAUUGGUACUUCAUCAAAUGUAUCUUUUAAAAGAUAUAGGUAUGUACCCAAAAGUAUCCAAAACUUCAGCAUCUUUGCAUGACAAUAAGAUCUUACGUAUGAUCUUGAAAUCUCAAAAUUGCAACAACUGUAAAUGUCACCCUAUACCUUGCAAAGAGAAAAGAUGCAACAUUAAUUAAAAUUUAUGUUUGACAUUUUAUUAAAAAAAUUAUAAAAUUCACAUACCCACUAUACUUGGUCUAAGAUAAGAGUGCUAAAAAAUGAGACCCAUUCAGAUCUCACUUCAUCUAACUCAGCUCGUGAAUAGGUUUUUUCCCCUUCAAACUAAAAUAUAUGAGAAAAGAAAAUAUGUUAACAUGAAACAUUAAAUAUAUGUAUAAGUUCUCAUGUACUUAUGAAAAUACAUAGGUAAAUAAACCUGAGAUGUUAGGAGACUUCUAUUUGCAAUUAUGUCUCGCAUGUAUCACAUGACAAAAUAUCUGCACAUGACACCAUCCAACUAUUUGGGCCCCUAUGAGCAAAAUUAUAUCAACAAAAUUUCACGAUCAAGUAUGACAUCAUAUAAAUUUGGUCAAUUUUUGCAUCAUUCACAUUUAAAAUUAAAAAAAUAAAACAAUGAAUGACAUAAGUAAAAUUUGCACCUAAAUUAAGUAAAUACAUGUCUAGCAUAAUACCCUAAGCUCCCAUUUUUACAACAUAGAGGGUUAAAUUGGGUAAAAUAUAAGAAUGUCAAAUAACAUGUAUAUGUGAAAUAUGGACAAAAAAAAAGGAAUAGAUAAAGGUAAUGAUUAAUUAUAUUUAUUAAGAAUAAUGAUUAACUUUAAAAAAAGAGAAUAGUUAACUUUUGUCUGUGUGAAAAUAUCCCUUAGAAAAGAUCAUGACUUUUAAGAUUUCAUUAAGGUAAAUCAAUCAAGCUUCAAGAACAAUUAUCAAUAAUAUAUUUGGAAAUAUGUAGUAUUAGCAUCCUUUUACAUCUCAUAGAUUGACAUUAUAGAAGAGAAAUGCAAUUAGUAAUUAUAAGGAAUACAUGUUUUACAUAUGAACAAUUUGAUUGAAGAUGGAUAAAAGAGUAAAGAGUUUAGAUUAAAGAGAGAAAGAGAGAGAGAGAGAGAGAGGUUGUGCCUUACAAGAAAUGUCUAAACUAAAUAUAGGAUGUAUAUAAGACAUACUAAGGCCAAAAGAAAGAUAUAAAGAACAACUCACCUAAGUAACAUGAUCAAAGCUAUCUAAAUGAAUCCUCAUUGCUUCCUACAUAACACAUACAUCUAAAUUGUUGUAAAGGAUUGUCAAUACUAUGGGUUUGUUCUUUUUUAGUACUACUUCAUUACUAGUGGAAUAAUGGAAAAAAUGAAUACAUUUUAUUCAUACCAAUUUAGAUUAUAUUAUCAUAAGGUGGUGAAACAAACAUAUAUGGUAUCCUUCUCAAUUCAACUUAGGAAUAGGAAAUAAUAACAAAAACAAUUAGAAGCUAAGAAAAUUCAUAUGUAUAGGUAUAUAUUCAUGUGAGAGGAAGCCAUAUAGAAUCUUUACAUUUCAAAAAUCAAGUAAACUUUAAUUCAAGAAAGCAACUUAAAUGUAGGUAAGUCUUCAAAAAUUUUAGAAGAAGAAAAAAAUGUAACCUCAAUAACUAUCCACUUGAGCUCUUUUUUAAAUCCUUUCUUCUUUUGGGAUACAAAAAUUCGAAACCACCAACAAAAAAUAAGAUUACAUUAGUGUUUAUUUUGAGACAUGAAAACUAAAAUUAUGGUAGACUUACAUGUUCACAAUAUCUUUUAUAUCUUGGUAUGGCUAUUGUAAUAGCGAGUCUAAAUAGUAGAUUGUUUGUAAUUUGAAGUCAAUUACAGCCAAAACCCAAUGAAACCUACAAUAUAUUAACAUAUAAUUUAGUUAAACAACAUUUAUAAGGCUAAGAAAUUAAAAAAAAAUUAUAAUUAACAACUUACCUUGGGUUAUACGGAUGAAAAAUCAAAUAUGCCAAUUUGGAGUCAAUUAGGCGAUCAGCAAUGAUCCUUGCUCUUUUUUCAAUUUGUGGGGCUAUUGUUCCAGCCUUGGACACCAAUCCUGGAUGAACAAAUAUAAUUUUCUCAUGUAGUGUAUCAUCCAGAUGUUCAUGCAGCCACCUAAUGAAAUAUCACCCAGUUUAGAAUUACUUAAAAAAGAAGAAGAAAAAAACGGUUUCUACUUAUUUAUAUCAUGAAUGUAACAUAAAGAUUUACAACAAAAUCUCACCAAAUAUAGAAACAUAUACAAUUCAUAUUCAACUCUUUUGCAGAAAUUACAUCCUUCAUUUCAGUUGUCAAGAGGAAGGUUUGAAAUUUCAUCCCAAAAACAUUGAUUGGAAAGUCAACUUUGGGUGCCGGUUGACCUUCCAACAUUGCUGAAACUGUUUUAGAAAACAAUUGUAUAUCUCUUGGAUUCUCAUAUUUGAUUUUCUUUGGGGAUGCUUGUAUCUUCUUCAUUUUAUUCUUCCUCUUGCCAAAAUCCUAAACACAUAAAUAGAUGCAUGACAUUAAAAUGAAAAAUAAAUAAACCAAGAGUGUAGGAAAAUAUAACUCAACUUUGAAAGUUUGGGUAUAAUGUUAUUCACCUCAUCAUUUUCAUCAUUUAUCACAAAUGCAACAGGCCACAAAACCUCAUAUCCAACACUCUCCCUUAUUGUACUAAUGUUUUCAAAAAGUGGGAAUGGAAGAAGUGCAUUAGGUUGAAGAGGGUAAAGGAUGACCACUAAUAUAUCAGUUCCAUCAAUGGAAAUCUUUGAAUCUCGCAAAUAAGUUCCAUAUGCAACAAUGUUCUCUUCAGUUUCAAGAGCUAAUUUUCAUUUAUAAACCUAUAAAAACAUAUUUUCUAAUCCUUAGUCUUUCAUUAUAGUUAUUUUAUAUAUUGUUUUUAUAAAUUUAACUUAGGAAAAGCCAUAUAUACCUGAGUUAGUAGAGAAGCUUUUCAAGUCCCUUCUGCUGAUAGGUUUUCCACAUGAGCACUAUAAUGAGUCUCCCCUCGUAUUUCUUCAUGUUCCAACAAUUGUUUCCUUAUGUUUGUGCUGCUCACUUCAGAGUGGGGGUGUGAGAGGUUCUUUUUUUUUUUUUUCAACUCUCAAAGAAAUGAUCUCCUCUUCCAAGCUCUUUACUUUCUCCCUUAACAUCCUUUGACAUUCCUCUUCUUCAAGAGUUUUUGUGGGUUUUGGUGUGUUGAAGAAUUUUUUGGGCUUUUUUUUCCCACAUUUUCCUCUAACCCGUCCAGGAUGCUCGGAUGUACCCAAUGCUAAAGUGAGGAUAUCCUUUUGGCCAACACAUGUGAUCUUCCCUUCCUCAACAGCCUUUGCCAACUCAUCCUCCAAAAAAAUAUAAAAUGCUUCAAGAGUCAUAUUAAAUAUAAAAAAAACAAAUGAAAUUGACUAAAACUAAGUAUAGGUUUGACAACUUACAAUCUUUUCUGCUACAGGCCUCGUAACAUCAUCAUAUUCACCUUUUUUCAAUCUUGCUAGCUUCCACAAGACCCAUCUAUCAAUAGGUUUCCUUGAACCUGUCUUUUGCAUCUAUCAAAAAACAAAAAAGUGAAGUAAUUAAACUUUACAAAAUUAAAUGUCCAACAAAAUAAAAUACACUAAUUCAACUUACCAAUUCUUCUUGAAGUCCUGCAUAUCCUUUCCUACUCACUAUAUGAAUAUAAACGUAUUUUGCCCUCCUUUCUUUUCCUUUUUUUGAUUUAACUUGAAACUCUGUUGACAACCUAUUAGCCACUAACUUUCUCCAGUCUUCAAUUGGAAUGUAAUUAUAUUCAAUUGGUGGCUGCAAAAGGUACUCGGGCUUAUCCUUAUAAGGCAGGAUAUACUCGUUCGUCAAUGUGUGCCUGAAUGACCUAAAGCUAGUCCCAAUUGAUGAUAUGACGUUGCAUUUGCUAUUCUCAUCAACCAAGAAUGCACCCUAAAAUAUAAGAUCUUGAUUAUUUAAUAAGCAUGUAAGGUCUACACAAAAUAUAGGAAAUUAAUUUCAGUACAUUACUAUAUACCUUAUCAGAAGAUCUUGAUUAUUUAAUAAUCAUGUAAGGUCUACACAAAAUAUAGGAAAAUAAUUUCAAUUAAUUACUAUAUACCUUAACGCAAUCCCAUAAUUUCUCCUUCAAUUCCACAGGCACUACUCUCCAAUCAGUAUGAUAUACUGGCACCAUGGUUCGUGCUAGCACCCCCAAGUAUGAUACAAGCUGUACAUAUCCCUCACCCACUUCCUCACCAUCAUCAUUAUAUUGAAUGUCAAUUUUCACUCAUUCACUUCUCUUUUUAGCAAUUUUAGGUUUUACAGUUGGGCCUCUAAACCUUUUUGGUGAAGUAAUCUUUUGUUUUCCUUCCUUUCCAUCCAUCUACAUGACAAUCAAAAGAAUAUGAUCAAUCUCAUAAUACAUACAUACAUAUAUAUAUAUAUAUAUCUUACAUUCAAAAGUAAAGCAUGGUAUUUUAAUAGUUACCUGCUCUUUAUCUAUUCUUGGUUGAGACAUCUGUAAAGAUGUUGCACUUUUCGCCCAAGUUCCCAAAUAAUUAAGAAUUAUGCACUAAUAAACAACACUUGAAAAUGUAUCUCAACUAAAUCUAAAGAAAUUAGUUACAAAAUGAUUUCAUAAGUAGGAAUAAAUCAUUGUUGUACAAACUUUGCAAUACAUGAAAAUUAAUCUUAAAUCUCAAUAUAUAUAAAUAUGAUACUAACUGCAUUUAUUUAGAAUAGCUUAGCAAGUAUAUAAUAGUAAAAAUAUAUUUGAGAAGAAUAAAAUAAAAACAUAACAUUGUUGAGCAUCACAUUGUAUAUUAACAAUAACUCAAAAAUCACAUAAUACACUUAGUAGUCACAAAGCAUAACCCCAAAAAACAAACAAAAAAACAUGAAGCUUAAUGUUCAAUCCAAAUCCCCUCACAAUUAGUACGCAUACAAAUUUCAUCAUAAUCUUCAACUUCAUCAAAAGACUUAAUAUUAGGCAUCCCAUUCACAAAUGGGUGAUGCUCCAUAUCAUUAUCGGUUAUGUUGCCAUCACCUUCUAUGUCAAACAACUCCAUUUUUGGCCUUGAUAAUACAAUAGACCAUCUUGGAUCAACUUGAUCUUCUACAUAAAAUACUUGUUGGGCUUGCGUUGCCAAAAUGAAAGGAUUUGAUUUAUGUCCUAUCUUGCUCAAAUCAAUAAUGUAAAACCAAGCUCAUCAACUUUGACACCAUUCUUACUAUCAACUUAAUCACACUUAAAAACACAAAUAUUAAACAUGUUAUAAUCAAGGUCCCAUAUCUCUCUAACAUUCCCAUAAAAACACAUGUCACCAAGCACAAGAUUCUUAUCUUUGGAACUUGCAAUUUGCAUGGUCAAUGCCACAAUACUGACACCACUAUUUUGGUUGACUCGUGCCUCAUCAUGCUCCUUGAUAUGGUAACGACAACCAUUAAUGAUAUAUCCGGGGUAAGCAAGAACUUGUUGUCUUAGUCCUUGCGCAAGCCACUUAAGUUCCUUUUCAAUAAGUUCUUUCUUACUUAUGUCAUCUGAAACCUAUAAGGUUCAUUAAUGAUAUGUAAGUUAAUUUAAUUUAAAAUUUUGAAAGCAUUAAAUUUUAAGGGAGCAUGAAUAUUGAGUUUCAUACCUUUUUUCUAAGCCAAGAACUAAAUGUGUGCACAUGUUCAUCCUCUAGCCACUUCACUCUCUUUGAUUGAUGAGGAUAUUUUGUCUUCAAAUAUUUCAUAUGUUCACUAUCAAGGAAAAAUAAGCAUGUCAUGGUUUGUAUAAACAUUACCUACAGUUUCAAACUCAUAUAUUCACAUAUAUGACACUUACUCAAUAAAAGGUUGUACAAUGGUUGUAUUUUGUAGAACAUAAUGAUGUGCUUGCUCCACCAAUUUAUAAUCAUGAAUAGUUAUUGCACGACCACCAAGUAAUGGUUUCCCAUAUUUCCAUUCAUCUUUCAUACUAGAAGGAAUCCCAAUUGCAUCCAUGCCCGAUAAAUACUCUAUACAAAACUUUAAGGCUUCCUCAGCGAUAUAGCACUCAGCAAUGCACCCUUCUGGAUGAUUAUGAUUUCGAACAUAACCCUUGAGGACUUUCAAGUACCUUUCAAAUGGGUACAUCCAUCUCAUAUACACUGGUCCACAUAAUCUAACCUCUUUUACCAAUUGCACUGUUAAAUGAAGCAUGAUGUCAAAGAUGGAAGGUGGAAAAUACUUCUCUAGCAAGCACAAAGUCACCACUAUGUCUUGUUGUAGAUCAUUCAAUCUUGACACGUCCACCACCUUUGCACAAAGUGCAUUAAAGAAAAAACACAAUCUUGUAAUGGCAUAUCUGACAUGCUUAGGCAACACAGAUCUUAUUGCUAUUGGUAGUAGUUGUUGCAUAAAUGCAUGAUAAUCAUGGGACUUAAGACCAUUAAGCUUUAGCUCUUCCAUGGACACAAGGUUUCUAAAGUUUGAACAAUGACCUUCAAGAACCUUCAAAUCAGCUAAAGUCUGCAAUACUAUUUUUUUCUCCUUUCUACUUAGAGUAUAGCAUGCAGGGGGAAGAUAAGUUCGCUUCAACCCAAACGUUGGUGCUAAGCCAGGCUUAAGCCCAUUUCGAGAAGAUCAAGUCAAGACUUUACUCCAUCCUUUGUUUUACCUGGAAUGUUAAGCACAGUUCCGAUGAUGCUCUCACAAACAUUCUUCUCUAUAUGCAUGACAUCCAAGUUGUGUUGGAUAUAAAAAUAUUUCCAGUAUUCAAGUUCAAAAAAUAUAGACUUCUUUUUCCAGCAACUUGUAGGAUUAGCAAAGGAUUCACAUUGUUUAACCUUCUUUUUCUUUCCCCAUGAGUUAUGAAUCNNNNNNNNNNNNNNNNNNNNNNNNNNNNNNNNNNNNNNNNNNNNNNNNNNNNNNNNNNNNNNNNNNNNNNNNNNNNNNNNNNNNNNNNNNNNNNNNNNNNNNNNNNNNNNNNNNNNNNNNNNNNNNNNNNNNNNNNNNNNNNNNNNNNNNNNNNNNNNNNNNNNNNNNNNNNNNNNNNNNNNNNNNNNNNNNNNNNNNNNNNNNNNNNNNNNNNNNNNNNNNNNNNNNNNNNNNNNNNNNNNNNNNNNNNNNNNNNNNNNNNNNNNNNNNNNNNNNNNNNNNNNNNNNNNNNNNNNNNNNNNNNNNNNNNNNNNNNNNNNNNNNNNNNNNNNNNNNNNNNNNNNNNNNNNNNNNNNNNNNNNNNNNNNNNNNNNNNNNNNNNNNNNNNNNNNNNNNNNNNNNNNNNNNNNNNNNNNNNNNNNNNNNNNNNNNNNNNNNNNNNNNNNNNNNNNNNNNNNNNNNNNNNNNNNNNNNNNNNNNNNNNNNNNNNNNNNNNNNNNNNNNNNNNNNNNNNNNNNNNNNNNNNNNNNNNNNNNNNNNNNNNNNNNNNNNNNNNNNNNNNNNNNNNNNNNNNNNNNNNNNNNNNNNNNNNNNNNNNNNNNNNNNNNNNNNNNNNNNNNNNNNNNNNNNNNNNNNNNNNNNNNNNNNNNNNNNNNNNNNNNNNNNNNNNNNNNNNNNNNNNNNNNNNNNNNNNNNNNNNNNNNNNNNNNNNNNNNNNNNNNNNNNNNNNNNNNNNNNNNNNNNNNNNNNNNNNNNNNNNNNNNNNNNNNNNNNNNNNNNNNNNNNNNNNNNNNNNNNNNNNNNNNNNNNNNNNNNNNNNNNNNNNNNNNNNNNNNNNNNNNNNNNNNNNNNNNNNNNNNNNNNNNNNNNNNNNNNNNNNNNNNNNNNNNNNNNNNNNNNNNNNNNNNNNNNNNNNNNNNNNNNNNNNNNNNNNNNNNNNNNNNNNNNNNNNNNNNNNNNNNNNNNNNNNNNNNNNNNNNNNNNNNNNNNNNNNNNNNNNNNNNNNNNNNNNNNNNNNNNNNNNNNNNNNNNNNNNNNNNNNNNNNNNNNNNNNNNNNNNNNNNNNNNNNNNUCCAUUAUUUGGAAUCAUGAAGUUUAUUCAUGCUUAAUUAAUUAGGGCUUUGGUGGGGGCCCGACAUUCAUGAUACCUUCUUCAAUAUUGUUUGCUUGAUAUGUUGAUUUUUGAUUCUUCUUGAUGAUAUACAUGAAUUUGUUUCGUAUUUAUUAUUGAGAUGCUUUUGAUUCCCAUAGAGGAGUACUAGCUUGCUAUCCAGGUACGCUCUCUUCUCAUCUAUUUUUUUAGAACUCUAUGGGCUUGUAUGUCAUUGAUGACUAUAUCCAUAUUUGACGUGAUUCUUGGAUAUCUUGAUAUAUGCCUGACUUGCUUGAAUAAAACAAAUGUUAUGUGCUACAAUUCUACACUAACUUUUAUGUUUUAUGAUAGCACUUGAAGAGCGGUUCAGGUACGCGCCCUAACUCACCUUUAUUGCAAUUUGAUUGUGUUUGGCAUGCCACUCUUUAAAAUCACCCAGCCUAUUUAGGUAUCUAUGAUUGACUGAUUAAUUGCCACACUUCCCUUAACUUUGUCAGUAGAGACCUCUUUAGGGCUUAGAGGGGUGCUACCUCCUAGAGGUACCUUCCCAAUAAGUAACCUGAUCCCCGGACCAAGACUCGGGUUUUUCAAAGACACGCUUUUCCAAAAAUUGUGGAGUCAUUUUUUUAGGGUUUCAUUUCUUGUUUUAUUUUCCCUUCAAAAAUAAAAGUAAAAUAAGUGGCGACUCCAACUUUUCCAAAAAUCAAUUUUUCACAAAUAAAAAGCGAGUCUCGCCGAUCGAGUGGAGACGCACGUGAAAAAUGCGGGUCCACAAAUUGGCGACUCCACUGGGGACUUUGAGGAUCAAGCUUGAACACUAGUUAAGGAAAAUAUGGCGUUUAAUUGGUCGAUUAGUGGGUACCUCUUUUUUUUAGGCAAGGUGAUUCGAUUUGCUUGCUUGUUUGGUUUGCUAUCUUAACAUGUUUGAUUCCCUUGGAUGAUCACUUGAUUGUUUUGCUCACUUUAGCAUGAUUCACUAUCACAUAUGUUAGAUAGGACUUUUUUUGUUUGAUAUUUAUUUGCUUCGCAUGACUGUUUGAAUGAUCACUUGAUUGUUUUGCUCACUUUAGCAUGAUUCACUCUCACAUAUGCUAGAUAGGACUUUGAUUGUUUGAUAUUUAUCUGCUUCACAUGACUGCUUGUUGCAUGACAACCCUUUCUCUUGCAUGUUCGUAUGAUUGCUUGUCUUCAUUCACUAUCUCACUUUAGAUCUUAGGUUUUUCGGAUGCACCCACAUCCUUCAUUGUGCACUUUAGAUUAUCCCUGAGUGUUGAGAGAUGGGAGAGCCUUCACCAUAAAGAAACCCCCUGGGAACGCGAGGAAGUGCAUGUGUGGAGGUGAUGACCACCUUGCAUGGAAGCACCCCGUCUCCUUGGAGGCGUGCAGAGGGUUGCGUACCGCCGGAGGGUACGAUCGCUUCUGCUAGGAAUCCUUUGACCCACCCAUUUUAUCUUAUAGAGCCGCCUUAACCUUGUAGGUUAGCCUAGACCCAAUUAAGAUUUCAUUCCUACACGUGGGUGCAUCUGUGGACUUUCAAAGCUGCCUUGGUCACAAUUGGGUUCAGUUAUCCUCUUCAUGGUCUCCUUUUGGUGUGCUCAGAGAUUGGUACAUGUUUGAGUCUCAAUUGGGCCACCUUUCUGCAUUGUGAUUAGUGUGUUUCCACCUCUUCUGAGCUUCCUUCAUGUCAUUUCUCUUUCCGCGUCUUUGUACCUUAUAGGAAUGUUACUCGCUUCAGUUUGGAUUCGACUUUUUAUAUUAGAGUUGGAGAUAGAUUGGUCAAGGUUUCAAAGCAGUCAGGUAUGGAUCCUCAGCAUGAUGCAGUUGAUCGACCUACAGUCACCAUGACUCUAUUCAGGAUGCAUUAGCAGGUUUGAGCCAGAUGAUUGAUGGACAGUGAGAUAGAUGGCAUCCAGUUCAAGAUGAGAUGCCGUAUGAUUCAUUACCACCCACCCCCACCACCCAGUUAACCAGUGACAUUGUUGAGGGUGACUUCGUACAUAUGAUGAGUUUAGUGGAUUAUGAGUCAAAGUUUAUCAGAUGAGAGUUCUUAUAGAGGACGUUAGUUUUUCUCAGAUGGGAGAUUUGAUUAACAUGGUUUUCUUCAUGAUGAACCUGAGAUAGACGUAUUGGAUGAUAGUUGGAUGCUUGGCAUAGAUUAGCCCGAGAUAGUUCACUCUCUUGAUAUGCUUGAGAUCUUCAUUGUUGAGAGUUCAUAAGAGAUUCGGUUUAUUUAUGUUGGGGCAUCCCGCUUAUGUUGAUGAUAUGUUUGAGGACGAUAUUAGCCCGGUUAUGGUCAUGGAGAUUCAUCUAUUCCAGGAGACCCUAUGGACUUACUUGGAGUACACCACUUUUCAUUAGAGAGUUGACCCUAGAGAGGAAAUAUGAUUGACAUAUCUGGAUAGAGAUCAGUUCUCAAACCCCACCAAUGUGGAUUAGUUGAAGAAGUAUUACAUUUGAGAUCAUGGUCGCAGGAUGGGUGGCCAUCAUUUCGGUUAGCCUUACACCUUAUCAUCUUUAUUGAUAUAAUAAACCAUUGCUAGCCCAUUGAGCCUCACGUGGUAUGUUAUAGCCUUAUUUCUUUCUUAUAGCCUUGAUUACCAUUUCUACACCCGGGUUGGGACCCUUUGGUGUAUAUGCAUGCUUUGCUAUGAAAGUCUCAUGAGCUUUAGACUUAUAGGCCUAUCUUCUCAUUCUUGUCAUCAUCUCCUUAUCACCCCGUUUGUUCUAUUUUGCCAUCAUCACAUUUCCAUUCUCUUUCUUGAUUUUAUCAUUAUUUGCUUCAUUUUAUCUCUUUUCUUCCUUGGGCUGAUGAUUCUUCACAUUUUAGUGCAAAGAGGACAGUCAUAUCACUCUAUUCAUCCCAUCAUCUGACAUUGAUUCGGAGACUUCAGUUUGAGAGGUUGUCUCAUGGGUAGGGUUUCAUGUAUUCAUCAGUGAUUUGAGAGAGUUUAUUCAUUUCUUGUAUCUUUCCCAUUGGAGUUUGACUUAUUGAUGAUCAGAGCAUGCGCUAAAAAAAAAAAAAAACAAAAAAAAACAAAAACAAAAGAAAAAAGAAAGAAAGAAAAAGCGCAAUGAUAUGUUUGUGUGUGGAAUCUUGCUCCAUUGGGCACUUAUGUCACCUUUUGAGGUCUAUUUAUUGGGUAUAUUUGUCAUUGUGGGUUCUUGUGAGAUUUUUAUAUGGGUUUUCACUCCUUGAGCCAUUCUUGUUAUGCAUUUGGAGUGUUGGGGGUUCAUGUGAGAGUUCUAUGGUAUCCUAUGCUUCUUGGUCAUGGUUGAUAUGUAUUAGAUAUGAGAGAUGAGUGACCUUUUACUAGGGUCUCCAAAUCAUUGUCUUAUCCACCAUUCCAUCAUUGGUGAUAUGACUUUUCUUUAUUGUACUAAUAUGAGUUGAUCAUCAUUCAUUCCACUUGCUUAUUGCCUUACUUUGUAUCUCCUCACCCAUUUCCAGAUCUUCGUUCCACUUUUUAUCCAUUUCCUACAUAUUGAUACACAUUUUUGUUUUGAUACCUUCUUCACAUCAUUCACAUGUUUCAUUGAUGGUUUGACUACUCAUCUUUCUCUCAUUUCGCCAUCGACAUUUCCUUUGGUUACCUUUAGGUCCAUGGCUCAUGAGAUUUUUCUAUGCAUUACAUCUUAUACACGAGGGUAUGGGUUUGAUCAUUGGGUAUUUGAGCCUAGUUUCCCUUCAUUUCUUUCACCCUAUCACCCUGGCCUACGUUACGUCCCGUGUCUUAAGACCACCCUGAGACCAUGAGAUCAGAUGUUAUCUUUGACAGCCUCUACUUAGGUUGGUGUUUGGGAUUUGGUUGAUAUAUAGAUGUUGUCAUGUUUCUUCUUAUGGGAGAUGCUUCUUUGAUGCUGGGAGGUGAUUUGGUGAUGGAUGUGGAUGAUUGCUUCAUUUUAUGGAUGAUAUUUGAUGCUAUCCAGAUUUUUAUUCUACUGUGCAUCAAUUAUCUUACUGGGGCAUAUUCCCCUUUCAUCUAGUUGAGAUGAGUCCCUAGUAGAGCACUUUCUUUGAGCUUGGACAUUUUCAUUGAUCCGAGAUUCCUAGUGGAGUAUGUUGAGAUGAUAUCAGUUCCAGUGGAGCAUUAUUGAGCUCAUUGACAGUUUUCAGGAUUCUAGGUUCCAUCUGCGGAGUAUUUUUGAGAUAGACUAGUGGAUCAUUUUUUAGUUGGAGGCAGUUUUCAGUGCAGUGUAUAGAUCUUGUACACUGGGGUAUAUUUCCCCAUUUUGAGGUUACCAGAUUCCUAUCAGAUUCAGUCAGGGAUUCAUCAGAGACAUGUUUCUGAUUUUGAGAUUACCACAUCCCUCAUUAUCUUGGCUAUUCAUUUGAGAUUAGAUUUAGAGUGUCCCCCUUAAGGCAUUGGUCGAUACUUCACUCUGACUUCUUAGCAGAUUAUUGUUGAGUUGAGGAUAGUUGAUUGAUGAUGUUGGAUUCAUCCUUUGGUUGUGCAUCAUAUAUUCACACUGGGGCAUAUUCCCCCUCCUCCGAGAUUCUUAUCUGUUAUUGUAUACGGUACGAGGAUGGAUGAUCAUUGUUAGUUUGUUUGCCUCACAACUUCGACAUUCGAUAUCCAUACUGGGGCAUAUUCCCCUCUCCAUUACGAGAUUUAUUUGGGCAGUGAUAUGAGGAUGGAUGAUUGGUGUCGUUUGUUUAGCUUAUAACUUUGACAUCAUGUCUCAUACUGGGGCAUAUUUCCCCCAUUUUCUUUGAGUAUCCUUGAGAUUGAGACAGUGGCCAGUUUGGUUUUAGAUUGAGUACUAGCCCAGAGCUUCCGACGAUCGACUGUAUCAGGGCCUCCCUACAUGGAUUUGUUGAGAUAGAGACGGAUCGCAUCAGGUUUCACCCGAGGAGUGUGGGUGGAUCCUUUAGCCAGAUGUUCAUGAGACAGAUUUGUUUUCGUCAUUGUUACCUUGCAGAUUGGAUUAUCCAGAUGAGCAGCAUUUUACGCACUUUGAGGUUUACUUUUAGAUGAGCCAUGAUAUACAUUCUUUGAGAUUUACCUUUUGAGAUUCAUCGACAGAGCAGCUUUUCAGACAUAGAGGGUUCCUUCAGUUUAGACUUUUCAGAGGUUUGUCACGAUGCAUCAGUUUCUGACCUAUUGAUUUCAGCGGAUGAUUGAUUUACUGGUUGUUUCGACAGUGCGAGCACCCUGGAUACUGGGGCAUAUUUUCCUUCUUGGUUUCAGUAGUCCGACCCUUGACAUUUUGAGUAUGUGGCUUUGAGCCAAUUUAUUUCAUGUCCACUUCCGAGUUGGUCUUCUCUAUUAUUCCCUUCUAGGCCCUGAGCCUCAUAGCUUUGAGUUAUUCAUUCCUUUUAGACCCCGAGUCUUAUAGCCUUGAGCAUCCUUUUUCCCUUAGGCCCUGAGCCCGCUAGCCCUGAGCUAUCCUUUUUUUAGGCCCUGAGCCUCGUAGCCAUGAGUUAUCCAUUCCUUCUAGACCCUGAGUCUCGUAGCCCUGAGCUAUCUUUUUUCCCUUAGGCCCUGAGCCCGCUAGCCCUGAGCUAUCAUUUCCUAUAGACCCAGAGUCUUUCCAGCUCUUAGCUGAGCUUUCAUCACUUGGUCGCCCAUGAGCGGUUUGACCUGGAGUUUGCGUAUCGCAUUCUCCUUUUAGCCGAUCAGUCAUAGAGCCCGGAGCUCAUAGCCCUGAGCUAUUCGUCGACCCAGAGUCAUUUUUCAUCUUGACCCAGAGUCAUUCAUAGCACCCCAAGCCCUGAGCUCACGACCCGGAGUCAUUUGCAUCAUUCACAUCCCUGAGAUGUUUCGUUUUCAUCAUUCUAGCCACUUGUGAGUGGCCUCGACCCGACACCUUGAGUCGGAAAGUAUCCUGAUCGGCUAUCUAUUUAGAGCCCGGAGCUCUCGACCCAGAGUCAUUUUCCAUUUUGACCCAGAGUCAUUCCUUUCCAUUUAGAGCCCGGAGCUCUCGACCCAGAGUCACUUUCCAUUUCGACCCAGAGUCAUGAUUUCCUAUUUUAGAGCCCGGAGCUCUCGACCCAGAGUCACUUUCCAUUUCGACCCAGAGACAUUCUUUCCUAUUUUAGAGCCCGGAGCUCUCGACCCAGAGCCACUUUUCAUUUCGACCCAGAGUCAUUAUUUCCUAUUUUAGAGCCCGGAGCUCUCGACCCAGAGUCACUUUCCAUUUCGACCCAGAGUCAUUCUUUCCUAUUUUAGAGCUUGGAGCUCUCAACCCAGAGUCACUUUCCAUUUCGACCCAGAGACAUUCUUUCCUAUUUUAGAGCCCGGAGCUCUCGACCCAGAGUCACUUUCCAUUUCGACCCAGAGUCAUUCUUUCCUAUUUUAGAGCUUGGAGCUCUCGACCCAGAGUCACUUUCCAUUUCGACCCAGAGUCAUUCUUUCCUAUUUUAGAGCCCGGAGCUCUCGACCUAGAGUCACUUUCCAUUUCGACCCAGAGUCAUUAUUUCCUAUUUUAGAGCCCGGAGCUCUCGACCCAGAGUCACUUUCCAUUUCGACCCAGAGUCAUUCUUUCCUAUUUUAGAGCCCGGAGCUCUCGACCCAGAGUCACUUUCCAUUUUGACCUAGAGUCAUUUUCCAUUUUGACCCAGAGUCAUUCCUUUCUAUUUAGAGCCCAGAGCUCUCGACCCAGAGUCUCUUUCCAUUUCGACCCAGAGUCAUUCUUUCCUAUUUUAGAGCUUGGAGCUCUCGACCCAGAGUCACUUUCCAUUUUGACCCAGAGUCAUUCUUUCCUAUUUUAGAGCUUGGAGCUUUCGACUUAGAGUCACUUUCCAUUUCNNNNNNNNNNNNNNNNNNNNNNNNNNNNNNNNNNNNNNNNNNNNNNNNNNNNNNNNNNNNNNNNNNNNNNNNNNNNNNNNNNNNNNNNNNNNNNNNNNNNCCGGAGCUCUCGACCUAGAGUCACUUUCCAUUUCGACCCAGAGUCAUUAUCUCCUAUUUUAGAGCCCGGAGCUCUCGACCCAGAGUCACUUUCCAUUUCGACCCAGAGUCAUUCUUUCCUAUAUUAGAGCCCGGAGCUCUCGACCCAGAGUCACUUUCCAUUUUGACCAAGAGUCAUUUUCCAUUUUGACCCAGAGUCAUUCCUUUCUAUUUAGAGCCCAGAGCUCUCGACCCAGAGUCUCUUUCCAUUUCGACCCAGAGUCAUUCUUUCCUAUUUUAGAGCUCGGAGCUCUCGACCCAGAGUCACUUUCCAUUUUGACCCAGAGUCAUUCUUUCCUAUUUUAGAGCUUGGAGCUCUCGACCCAGAGUCACUUUCCAUUUCGACCCAGAGUCAUUUUCCAUUUUGACCCAGAGUCAUUCCUUUCUAUUUAGAGCCCGGAGCUCUCGACCCAGAGUCACUUUCCAUUUCGACCCAGAGUCAUUCUUUCCUAUUUUAGAGCCCGGAGCUCUCGACCCAGAGUCACCUUCAUUUAUUUCCUAUUUUAGAGCCCGGAGCUCUUGACCCAGAGUCACUUUCCAUUUCGACCCAGAGUCAUUAUUUCCUAUUUAAGAGCCCGGAGCUCUCGACCCAGAGUCACUUUCCAUUUCGACUCAAAGUCAUUCUUUCCUAUUUUAGAGCCUGGAGCUCUCGACCCAGAGUCAUUUUCCAUUACCGCCCAAAGUCAUUUCCUUUCCAUUUAGAGCCUAGGGCUCUCGACCUAGAGUCGUUUUCCAUCUUGACCCAGAGUCAUUCUUUCCGAUUAGAGCCCUGAGCUCAUGACCCAGAGUCUUUUAUCCUAUUUUAGAUCCAGAGUCAUUCACCUUGUCCAUGAUCCAGAGUCAUUCAUGUCAUUCAUGACUUUGAAUCAUCCUUUUCACCCCUUUCCAUCUUUGUGCUACUCAUCACAUACUGUUCUCUCUUUAUUGUCAUUCCCCCACAUAGAGUUGUCCCAUCCAUGUCAUUGAGACCCCAUCUUUUGAUCUUACCUCUUCAUGCGCUAGGACAAAAUCUCUGGUCUUUCUUUAAUUCUUCAAUAUAGUUCACUUCAUUUCGCUCAUUGCUCGUGCUUCUACUUGCAUUCUCUACACUCGUGAUCUAUACCGAAGAGGGGCAUAUUUGUAGACCCUCAAUUUUGUCCCUUUAGCGCAUGUCUUUAAAUCCACUUCCAGUGCUCCACGGUAGUUCCUUGGUGGCCCAUUACUACUCGUACGACUUACCUUUUUCUGAGUCACCUCGGAGACUUUGGUUGAGGGAUUAUUUGAUCCCUUAUUGUGACCCCUGACAGCCCUAACUUAGACUUAGGCUUUUCUUGUCUUUUUUUAGGAUAGCUUUUAGAUACAUUUAGCCUUUAGGCACCGCUCUAGGCCCACUUAGGCACACUUGGCCCAUUAGGCACUUUUAGACUCACUUUUUGUAUGACUUGCGUGUUUGCAUGGCUCGUAGGGCCCAUUUUUUGUUAAUUUGUUUAUUUUUAUUCUAUUUUAUUUUAUCUUCCUCUUUAUAUUAUUUUCCUUAACUUAUUUAUUUAUUUAUUAUUUUUACAAUUUUCUAAUUUAUUUACUUAUUUAUCUAUCCAUGCAAUUAUUUAACUUCUAAAAUUUCAUAUUUUUGCAAGGAAACUUACCAUUGGAGUUUAAGGAAAGUGGGACUCUCCUUGGAAGGUUUUGAAGGAGAAUUUGAAGUUGGGAAGAUUGCUUUUGAAUUGGAAGAUUUGAAAAAAAGGAUAAGGAGAAAAGAAGAGAGAAAAUAGGGGAUUUGGCCUUUUUUUAGGGAGAUUUAGGUUUUAGGGGAAGGCGUAUAUAUACGCGAGAGAGGAAGGAUUGUCAGAGGCGAGGGGGAGCUUCUUUUGAUUGUGGGAGGAGAUUCUUUGUUUGGUGAGAGAACGCAUUGCAGAGAGGAGAGGGAAAAAGAAGUAUUCUUUGGGGACGCAGGAGAGGAUCAACUGAGGUGAUUCUGAGAAAAGGUGGAGAGGUGCACAAGAGCGGGAAAAAGAGAGAUUGCAGCCGAGUUUCUAGCAGACGGAAAGGGCCACAAUUGGUUCUAUUGAGAUUGGUGGGUUGUUUGUUUAUUUGCUCUGAUUUCUUGUUCAUUUUGAGGCUUUUGUUCUUUUCAAUGUCAUUGAUUUCAUUUGAGAACAAUAUGCAUUUGGGUCUGUUCUUGAAUCUGAUCUGUUUUGAAUCAUUCCCCUAUCCUAAGCCAAUGGAUUGAAACAUGAAACGUGGCUCCCUUUUUAUCGUCUCGUUCUGUUUUUUUUUUCAUUUUUUAUGCUCUGUUUUCGAAUGCCAUUCUCUCUUUCCGACAUUUGCUUGUGAGGAAUCUUCUGAAAACUGCUGGAGCGCGGAAUUCGAAUUUGGAAAGAUGAGAUGGAAAGAAAAUGCAGGGUUUCUGUGCAAGCACAUUCGCUAAAAACAAAGGACGACCCCACACUUGCUGUCUCGGUUCUCACAGCAGGGCCUUUGGCCAAUUCAAUCAAAUGAUAUGUAUAACCCUCCAGUAGAGAUUCUGGAAGUUUGUGAGAAAAUCAUAGGUUAUUGUCUCGGGACCUGCACUGGGAUGAGAUUGUCUUGGCAAACGAAUAUGGGCACGACUGAUUUGAGGGCAACGUAUGGUAGGGAUCAGCAGGAAGAUUUAAUGGGACUGCCGUAGUUGAAAUGGAUGAUUUUGGCUUUGGUGGUGGUCCUUGUUCUAUUGCCGUUACUGCAGUGUUAGAUUUUUUCUGGCAGAAGUGAUUUCUGACUUUAUUACUGAGCAGGUGAAAGAUGCGCAGGUCAUGGAGACAAUUCUGGAAACUACUCCUUUAUAUAUGCUAAGUCUAUUUUUAGUUUUCAAGGUCUGUGCCUUAGCAGGCUGAUGAAUUCCCUUGAAAAGCGUCUCUUGCGUGAUGACGAGGAAGAUGAGGAAAAGUUAGAUGAGAGCCGCUGGUCAUCCAAUCUAGAUGCAUUGUGUAUAAUGAUUGCAGAUCGUGCAUAUAUGGGUGCUUUUCUUAGCCUGUCACUGUACUGAAAAUUCUGGAAUUCUUGUUGUUUAUGCUACAGCUUACAAAUAAAGAUGGAUGAAUUGAAGGAGUAACAUCUAGAAAAGACCUUUAUCCAAUCUCCAAAGGGAACAAACAGCUUGAUGCUUAUGUACAAUUGAUAAUUAAGUAUACAAACCGUAUGGUAUUGUUCUGUUUCUUGCCAUCAUUCUUGAUUAGUUCAAAGAAGAUGAUCGCUCUUAGGUUUGCAAAUUGGACCUAAGGAAGAGGAAUCCCUAAACUCUUCAGAGGAAGAUACAGGAAUUACUAUCUGCACAGAUUUACAGUUAUUAAUUGCUCACAGAUGAAUAAUAUUCUGACCCAGCAAUUCUGAUACUGAAUUAAGUGGUAACCAAAAUUACUGUCUCUGUGUAAAUUUAAUUCCUCUUCUCCAUGAUCAAAGACGAAAUGCUGUGAAUAUGGCAGUUGGUGUUGUCAAGAAUCCAUUGAUGCAUUGCAAGGCUGCACUAGAGGACUUGCUAGUCUCUAAACCAAACCAAGGUCAGUCUUUUGGAUGUACCACAUGGUGGUUUUGACAAACUAUCGACAAGAAACUUAUCUACUUCCUUUGAGUGGCUGCAAACUAGUGAACAGGUUGUUAAUAAAGUACUGGAGCAGUGUGCUGUUAUUAUGUGGAUGCAACAUAUUGCUGGAUCAUCAAAGUUAUAUGGAGUGAGGAUGAAAAGAAAUGGUGCUGAAGCUUCCAGAGCAUUUCAUCAAGACCCAACAGCCAUUUAUGCCACAACCUCGUCUGAGACAGCCAUCUGGGUUUAAUGAUAUUCAGUCGGUAUAGCAGCACAUCAUGUUCAAGCAGCUGCAAGAACUUCAGAGGCAGCAGCAACUUCAGCAGCUGAGUGGUACCAAUCACAACUCUAUAGUGAAGUGAAGGCAUUAGAAGUUGAAAUAGAUGCUGUGGCAUAUACUAUUUAAUAGGUAAGGAAUGCCGAGAGAAAUGAAAAUCAUGUCUCGGAUGGUAAUGAUAACAGAGCACAAGAAGAUGCAGAUAACUUGUUAUUCAGACUUCUCUCAAUAAUUUGACCCUUUAGCAUGCCUUGGCUGCUGAUCGUCUAAGAAGCCUCAAGAAAAACAAAAGCUUAACUUGAAAUAGAGCUUUCAAUGGAGUAGGGAGGAUGCUUUAGUCACAUCGUCUGCACAAUUAAAGAAAGAUCCAAUCCAGUUUUCAUACAAUUCAGAAUCUGAUGCUCACAGGAAUACAUCUUCUUUAUCUUCUACAAAAUUUGGACUCAGCAGCUUUGAUGAAGCCACACUCUCUAUUGAUGAUUCAGUAGACCAGAUUGUUGAGGUCCUCAAUUCUUUUAGGACUUGGUGCAAUGAUAUACAUGGGAGUAUUAGACUCGGUAAAUUUUGCAGCCGAAACCUUCGAAGCCAAAGCCACUAUGUUAGACGAUGCCCAUCCAACCGCUCUAAAGAUUUGGAAGCCUAUUGAAGGAGUUGCUUGAUCAGAAAAGUAUUAUGAAGCAGGCAUUAUAUUUCAGAAUGGAGGGUUUAGGAAUUAUUUUGCAUAAGAUUCAGAAUACUGUCAUAAUUAUUAAUGAGAAAGAUGAAGUUUGAAAGACUUCAACUUGCUCUCCACUCCAAUUCGUAUAUUUUGGAAAGGACGGAGUUCUCCAUGGGCCCUACAGAUACUAUAAUGAAGAUGCAUCCAGAAUGUAGACCUCCUAGGACCCAUACAACUCCUUCAUUGAUGUUGGUAACAUAACACACACAGCCUGCACUCAAGCUUCCCUAGUCCCUCCUCAACCUCAGUGGGUCAAUACAUCUGAAACUGAUGCCAAAUGAAUUCCCGUUGAAGGGAAUUAUGGAUAACUACAAAUGAUUUUAAGAGUCAGCUUCAUCAGUACAAGCCCCGGAAGCAGUUUGCUAGAAGUGUACUCAAACUCCAUGAGCAGACCCAUAAGUCGCAGCUGUGUCUUUGAUUGAAUCAGUAGGCUGUUUUCCCUCAAGAUUCGAACCAGAUAAAGGCAAUUGGAGUUAGGAUUGGUUGCACUUUAACUUCUUCAUGGCUUAUACACUUGGAAUUGCAGAUGAUAUGCAUUCCGCCAUUGACUAUAUAUCGUUGUGCAAAUGCUCAUAUUGAGGGUAUCGCUACAAAAUACUCUGAAACUGUCAAAACGAAAGUUAUUCAAGAAAAGAUGUCAAACUGACCUGAGAAUUUAUUGAAGAUCUCAGAGAUGAGAGGUUUGUUGAAUCCAAAAAAAAGAUGGCAAACAACUUGAUGCCGAUGUUCACCUCAAGCACGUCUGCGACGGUCAUGCUGCUACAUAUGCGGGGACAGUGAGUCCAUUGAAGAGAAAUCUUUUUAUAAUUUCCCAGAAUGUUUGGGAAGCAUCCCUGCAGUUUAAAUGAACUUCCUGAGAAGCGCUUGUGUGAUUUGCUAACCUGGCAGCCUGAGUUAAACCACUGUGAUAUCAGUGGGGGAAGGAAACAACAAGCGCUUGAUGAAGAGGCUGUACCCCGAGAGUUCAGAACUGGAGGUUAUGAGUGAUACUGUUCGAGAUUUACAAUCGGAAAGGCUUUCUAUAUGACCAGAAUACAGAGGAUUCUCAUAACCUUAUUAUGGAAAAUCUGCCCAUAAGGGACAUGGAUUGGUUCAAUCAGUUUUGACUUCCUUUACAACUAUCAGAAAAUUGUUUUACAAUUAAUGGAGCUGCAUACUUUUCGAGUUUAUUAAUGGAGGCCCUCAGUUCUGUAUUAGAUGCAAGCACAGACAAAGACGUUUAUGAGGCAGAGGAGUACAUGAGGAAAUUUGCUUUAUAGAAUGAUCCAGUUGUUCUAAUGAGCUUGCUUUUUGCUAAGUCGUCUGUAUGGAGACGUUGUAAUUGGGGAGCGUUCGGUUAAAUGGCUUCCAAGCCUGUGACUACUUCUCCUUAUGUAUUAUUAUCAAACUUGUAUGCUUCAGACGGGAAGUGGGAAAAUUUGAAGAACCUGUCAUUAGCAGACAACAACUUUCCUGGCUCAAUAUCAGACUCAAUUUCAGGCCAUAACCAGCUUAUGAGAUCACUUGUGAGUGGAGGUGGACCACUGGAACUUGCUAACAUGAAGGUGUCGGAUUUGAGCUACAUUCAACUAUCUGGAAAGUUACCUGGAUUUAAUUUUCUGUAUGCUCUCGAAGUCCUCAAGCCCAGCAACAACAGAUUUGCUGAGUCUAUCCCCAAUAACCUGCUGAAAGGAGAUCCUUUGGUUCUAAUUGAAUUGGAUUUGAGUCAACAAUUUUUCAGGGCUGAUAAACAUGAUCACAUCUACAACUUUGAACAUCCUUAAUCUCUCCUCAAAUGGGCUCUCAGGAGAGCUUCCACUACUGACUGGCAGCUGCGCUGUACUGGAACUGUCAAGUAAUGAAUUUGAGAGAAACUUAACUAAAUUGUUGAAAUGGGGAAAUCUUGAGGAGAUGCUCAAAGAGCAUGAGAAACAAAUCCAACAUGCUGUCCACAAGGCUCGUCUUGACAAAAGUGAAGACUAAGAUAACAUACAAUGACAACGGACAAACUGAAUCGUUGCUUCCCCAUGGGAGAAACAGCAGGUAACCCUUGAGUGGUGAUUAUUGAGCUUCUUGAUACGCUGGUCAGUUGUUUGGUUGCUGGAAAGGGUGAGCUGAGAGAGAGUCAAUUGCUGGAAAAUAUGUUUUGUGCAGCUGAAAACUGGUUUCCUCAUUCAAUUCUGAAGGACAAGGAGCAAGUGAAUUGUUUGAAGGGUUCAAACAAGAUGCCCAUUGUUUAGAGAAGUCAUCAGAAUCAAUUUCCUCAAGAUCUCUAGAAGCUAUUGAAGAAAACAAAAACCUGUACCAGAUUCUGAGUUGAAGGUAACAACAAGCAGCAUUGAGGUUGGAUCAGUGGAAACUGCACAGGAGGUGAAUGUUUCUGUCAGUUAUUGCAUAGAAAUUGUUAAGACAGUUGAAAAUUCAGUGGCACCUACUCCCACACGCAGUGCCAAUGAAGAGCUCAUGAUCAGAUAAGCAAUAAGUUUGAAAGACAUCAGGAUCUUCACCCCAUUCAGUAACUGCUUCCAAUCAGCAGUGAAGUGAAGAGCUGUGACUAAAUUUGCUCCAGAAAUUCUCCUCAUCAGGGCAGUGAAUUACUUUUCAUACCAAUCAGUCCUACUCCGGUGACCUAUUAUGUAUCAAUUUGAGUUUAUGGAUCCAACAGAGACACGGAUGGGGAAAGCUAAUUACACCAGGGUUCUUACUUCUCAAGAGCUACCCAAGUUUGUUGGAACUCUUCAUCCCUUACCAGAAGUCACCAAAACUUUGAACAAUAGAGAGCCCCAGAAAGUGCCGAGAGAGAGAGCAGAAUAUAUUUGGGGAUUCAACACUGGCAAGACAGUCUCAAUCUGAUUCCUAGGCUCCACCCACAUAAUUGCCACCUUGCCACAUAUCAUACUCCUGAUGUUUCUUUUCCUUUAUUUUGUGAUUUUAUACAUCUUAAAUAUAAAUUUCAAAAUCUUUUUCCAUAAAAAUAACUUUGGUUUUCUUCAAAAUUCCUUAGGAGCUUCUAGGUAUAAAAUCCAAAUUUUAACAUGCUAAUUGCUGCCACUUUCCUUCGGGCAUGCACUAUCUUCUUUGAUUUUUAACUAUUUUCGUGAUUUUCUUGAUUUUCAACAAGCAUGAAUAAAUUUUAUGAUUCCAAAUCAUGGAAUCUAUGGAAUCAACUCAUGCGAAAUUAAUUGGGGCUUUGGUGGGGGCCCGACAUUCAUGAUAUUAUCUUCAAUACUGUUUCUUGAUAUCUGAUUGAUUUUUUAUUCUUCUCGAUGAAAUACUUGAAUUCGCUUUAUAUUUAUUGUUGAGAUAUCCUUGUUUCCCAUAGACGUGUGGAUGCUCGCUAAAUCAGGUACGCUCUUCCCACCCUACAACUUUGAAAUUCUAUGGAUAUGUAUGUUAUCAUGAGCUAUGAUCCUGUUUGAUGGCAUGAUUGAUUGCCUUGAUGCUUGUUUGUUCAUCUUUGACAAAACACAUAUUAUGUGUCAUAUUUCCAAACUAAUCUCUCAUGUUUUAUGAUAGCGCUUGGGAAGCCGUCUAGGUACGCAUCCUUAACUUUCCUUCAUUGUUAUUCGAUCUUGUUAGGCAUGCAAUAUUCGAAAUCAUCUAGUCUACUUAGGUAUCCAUGAUUAACUGAUUAAUGGCCACACUUCCCUUAACUUUGCCAGUAGAGACCUCUUUAGGGCUUAGAGGGGUGCUACCUCCUAGAGGUACCUUCCCAAUAGGUAACCUGAUCCCCGGACUGAGACUCGGGUUUUUCAAAGACACGCUUCUCCAAAAAUUAUGGAGUCAUUUUUUAGGGUUUUAUUUCUUGUUUUAUUUUCCCUUCAAAAAUAAAAAUAAAAUAAGUGGCGACUCCAGUUUUUUUUUCAAUUUUCACAAAUAAAAAGCGAGUCUCGCCGAUCAAGUGGGGGCGCACGUGAAAAAUGCGGGUCCACAGAAUCAUAUCAACCUUUGUAAAUAUUUCAUCUCCAGUAAGUUCUUUUAGAGGUAACCUAAACUCUUGUUCACCAUUAAAUGCCUUCUUUUGCUUUCUAAAUGGAUGGUCACAUGGAAGAAACCUUCUAUGAUCGGUAUAUGAGUUCUUAUUCCCAUGUUUUAGCCAAUGUGAAUUUGUUUCUUCACCACAUAUUGGACAAGCAUGAUAUCCCUUAACAGUGCAACCAGACAAGUUGCCAUAUGCAGGGAAAUCAUUAAUCGUCCAUAACAAAAUAGCCUUUAAUGUGAAGAACUCUCGUUGAUGUGCAUCAUAGGCUUUCACCCCUACCUCCCACAAUGCUUUCAAAUCAUCGACUAAUGGUGCCAAAUAAACAUCGAUAUCCUUACCAGGCUGUCGUGGUCCUGAUAUUAGCAAAGAUAACAUCAUAAAUUUCCUCUUGAUGCAUAACCAAGGGGGAAGGUUGUAAGUUAUUGUGAGAACAGGCCAACAACUAUGCCUACUGGUCAUGGAGCUAUGAGGAUUGAUACCAUCUGCUGAAAUAGCAAGUCUAAGGUUCCUACAAUCUGAAGCAAAUUCAGGCCACAUUUGGUUCACUAGUUGCCAUGUUGGGGAAUCCAUUGGGUGUCGAAGUUUACCAUUAUUUUCUCUACCUUUUGCAUGCCAUUUUAGGUCUUUCGCUAUUUUGGGAGAUUGAAACAUCCUCUUAAACCUAGGGAUGGGUGGGAAAUACCACAAAACUUUUGAAUCCUCUUAGUGUUUCUUGCCCCAGCCUUGUUUACCUUCCACCUUGAUGUUCCACAAGUAGGACAUGAAGAUGCAUCAUUUAACUCAUUCUUGUAUAGUGUGCAAUCAUUUGGGCAUGCAUGUAUCUUUUUGUAUUCCAUCCCUAAUGCAUUCAAUGUUUUCUUUGCCUCAUACAUGGAUAAGGGCAUCUCAUUGUUGACUGGUAGCAUAUCCCCUAAUAUUUGGAGUAAAUCUGAAAAACUUUUAUCUGACCACCCAUACCGUGCCUUCACAUUGUACAAUUUAACUAAUGCAGAAAGCUUGGUGAACUUGAUACAACUAGGAUACAAAGGUUUUUCAGCAUCUUCAAGCAAUUUUUUAAAUGAGAUUGGGUCUAUCAUGAACUCAUCAUCUAUAACAUGAACCAUUUCUACUGUACUAGCAACAUCACCACAAUCCAUCGUGUCAUAACAUUGUGCCAUUUCACUUGGUUGUCUACUAGUAGGACCUGCUUCUCCAUGCCAAUACCAUGUAUGAUAACUCUGGUCAAUACCAUUGAAAAACAUAUGUUCCCAAAUCUUGUUAGGUGUAUGAUGUAUUAAGUUUCCACAUUGCAUACAAGGACAACAAAUUCCACUUUGAUUCGGACAAUGUUCUAAUGCAAAAUUAAUGAAGUAUUCAACUCCUUCCUCAUACUCCCGUGACAUUCUAUCUUUAGACAUCCAACUUCGAUCCAUUCUAUGAUUGAAAUACACAAUGAAUUAAUCAUGAGGAAUUUUAACAUUAAUGUUGUAUCAUAUCUCAAAAGGAUUCAUCAUGUAAUAUAUCCAUGUUGUCUACAAGUAUAUCAAAGUGGGAUAGUUAAUUAUAAAAAUUGUCUUAUUCAAUUCAUGUCAUUGUAGGUAAUGCUACAAAUUAUCCAUUUAAAAUUCCUAUUAGUUCAUGAUAUUCAUCUUAUUAAAUACAUUUAAUUUCAUUAGGUAUUGAACCAAAGUAAAAAAAUGUGGUUCUCUUAUAGAAUUAUGACCCUAUCUAGUUUAUGCACUACCAUACAAAUAAGAAAUAAAUACAUGUUACAUUUUUUUUAGUCUUUAUUCAAUCUCGAAUCGUUGAAGAUCAUUUAUUAUGCAUAUUUCUGUAAAAUUAAAAUAAAUUUAUAUAUCAAAAUAUUAAACCAAGAAACAUAAUUAACUAUCAUGAUUCUAUCUUCUUAAACUAAAAUCAACUUAAACUACAUGUCUUAUGCAUUCUAACAUCUCCAACUUCCUAGUUUAAGUGGUGGUUCCUAUCCCAUACAGGAAAACAUAAUCCCUACAUGUCAACUACUAUUAUGUUUUGUUUCAUUUUAGAAAAAUUUCGGCAGCAUUUCCCUAUAGUUCUCUAAUGGAGGACUGCGUGCAAGGCAUGUCAGCAUGAAAGCCAGCAACCAACAACAUUGUCUAUCAUCGUUGAUGCUCACAAUCGCAUGGAGCCACCAUUGCCACCCAGCUAUUUCGGAAAUGCUACUUUUCGGGUAACUGCUGAAAGCACGUCAAGGGAGCUAGUCUCCAAACCAUUAGGCUAUGCUUCAGGUAAAGCACGAUAGGCAAUAGAGAAGGCAACGCAUGAAUAUUUACAAUCAUCUCUUGUGUAUGUGAAAUGUCAGGAGGAUGUAACUCAGUUCAAGAAUUUCCACACCGUUGGAUGCACCAAAGGAGCUUUCUAUGGGAACCUUAAUCUUAAUAUCACUAGUUGGGCCAGACUACCCAUUUAUGGGGCGGAUUUCAGGUGGGGCCAGGAAAUUUACAUGGGCCCAGGAGCAAUUGGCUACGAUGGGAAGGUUUUCGUAUUUCCCAACUAGGGUCAAGAAGGAUCAUUCCAUGUUGUAUUGAGGCUGCAAGUACGCCACAUUGACGCUUUCCAGAAAUUCUUUUAUGAAGACAUUUGUCUUCAAAAACCACUUUUAAUUAAUCCUUCAUUAUAAAAUAAAGAUAAUGUUGCAAUUUCCCUUGGAUCAGUUUUUCUUUGGUAGAUCUUGUUCAACAAAGCUACUCUUUAUCAAGCCAAAAAUUUCUUUUAUUUCACUCUGUAUUUUCAAUCUGAUUUUUCAGACACUUUCUCUCCUUACACAAAAAUGAAAAAAUGUUGUGUCUUCAGAAUUACGCACUCUCUGAAAAAUCAAAGCCCUUCACUCUGCUCUCUUUUCCUCGUAUAUAGUUCAUGUUAGAAGAGAAAAUAAUAGAAAAAGAAACGAACUAACUAAUCAUUUUAGAUAACUGACAGAAAUUUAUGAGUCACACUUAUAACAGAUAUAUACAAAUAGCUGAAAGAUAAGAUGGUAUAUAAGAAAAAACUAAAAUGUUACCAAGGCUACAUUUUUAAGAUAAAUCAUAAAUACAAGCUUGAGAUCAACCGUGUGAUAUAUUUUCAAACAUGCGCUCAUAGGCUGUGGUUGACUAAUUCUAUAUACACAAAUUUUAUCUUUUACAAAAUCAAUUAAUAAAAUUAAUUAUAUAUACACAGAAUGUAAUUUUACAUGUACAUUCAUAUGUUGUACGCGCAGUACAAUAGAGAGUUAUUUCCUAGCCCAAUUAUUAUUAUUUUUUUAGGAGUUUCUUCAAAAAAGAAAAAAAAAAAAAAACUCUAGAUUUUGGUUGUAUAACGUGGGCAAAGUUGGUCCUUUCCAUGUAUGGGUCGUUUCCAUGUCUACGUCAAAGUCAGGUUGUCUACUGUGGUAUUUUGAUUUGCCAAUUUCCUGGCGGGAGAAUUGUGUUUUCACCUCAAGGUGAAUAAUUAAACUAAAGUCCUCCUAUCACUCAUAAUUGAUUAUAAGAAUAUAAGAUGAUAAUGGACAUAAAUACCCCUUUACUCAUUUUUGUCUUUAUUCUACCACUCUUUACAUGUUAUUAUUAACACAUUCUCUCUCCUUUAACCAUUUUUUUAUUUUUCAUUGGUUUUUUUAAACUUUUUUAUAAAUAAUUGAAAAAUCAACAUUAUUUUAUAUUUUUAAAUUAUAAAUAAACAAAAAUUAUAUUGAUGAUUCAAAAACUAUUUUGAAAAAUACUUUCUAAAAAAUGUUAAUUUUAAAAAAUAAAAAUUAUCUUUUAUAUUUUAGAAGUAAAUAAUUUAAUGAUUAAAACACUAUUUAAAAUAAAUAUAUUCACUAUUUUAUUUUCUUUUAUACUAAAAAGUAUUUUAAAAUUUUCUUUUUCCUAUUAUAAAAUAAAAGGUUCAAUUUUUUAUUUUUUUUAUUUUAAAAAAAAUUAUUUCUUUCUUCUUUUAAUAACUUUUUGAACAUAACUUUUAGUAAUAAGUUAUAUGAAAUGUUGUAAAUUUGUUUAAUAAUAAUGAUUUGAAUUAAUUAAAAAUUUAUCAAAAAAAAAUGUAAAAGAGAGAAAUAGGAUGGAUGAAAAGUUUUUAUUUUAAAUAUACAAUUAAAAUAUUUUCAUAUGACUUAAUUUUAGAAGUUAAUUAUAACUAUAUAUAGUAUAUAUUGAUUUUUUUCUUAAAUAAAAGGGUUAAAAGGUAUAUUUACUCAUUUCAGAUAAAAAAAAUUAAAAAUUAUAUAGAUUAUGUUUGAGUUUGGUUUAAAAAUAUUUUUCUAGUUUUUAUUUUUUAUUUAUUAUUAUUUUUUAAAAUAAUUUUUAUUUUCUAUAUGGUCUCUUUUAGAAAAUAUGUUUAAUUAAAAAAUGAAAACUAUUUUUAAAAAUGAAAAUUGAAAACCUUGUUUAAUACUAUUUUUCAUAUGAAAAUAAUAAAAAGACUUAAAAGAGUUUAAUCCUAAGUCAUACGUUUUAUUUAACUUCCAUAUGGAAAUUUCAAUACUUUCUACGGUAAUGAUGUUUAGAGAAAAAAAUUUGACCCUAAGUACCAUUUUCUCAACCAAACCAUUGAAAAUAUGAUUAACACACCUACGUAAACACAUAACUUAGAGAGAUAUGAAAUUUGUGUCAUUGUACAAGGGUAUUACACUAACUGUACAAUGAAAAUGUACUAAGUGUACAAGGGUGUAUAAGGCUACCUUUUGUAAAAGAUUUGAAUCGAUUAUGAACCACUCCAUUUUACUUUCCUUGUUGCCAACAUAUUGUACACUCAUAUCAUACACUUUAUUUAACUCUCACAUAAAAAUUUCAAUAUUUUCCCUAGUAAUGAUGUUUAGGGAAAAAAAAUUGACCCGAAGUCAUCUAAUAUAUAUUUUCUCAACCAAACAAUUAGAAACAUGGUUAACACACUUACGUGGAUACAUAAUUUAGAAGGAAUAUGAAACCACUGUACAAGGGUGUUACAUUAACUGUACAAGGGUGUUACAUUAACUGUACAAGGGUAUUACACUAAUUGUACAAGUGAAAUAUACUAAGUGUACAAGGAUGUACAAGGUUAGCAUUUGUGAAAAUUUUCAAUCAAUUAUGAAUUACUCCUUUAUUUUCCUUGUCACCCAAGAAUUGUAUACUUAUUACACUAAUUGUACAAGGGAAAUAUACUAAGUGUUACAAGACUAGUAUUUGUGAAAAAAUUCAAUCGAUUAUUAAUUACUCCUUUAUUUUCCUUGUUGCCCAAGAAUUGUAUACUCAUGUCAUACACUUUAUUUAAUUCUCAUAUGGAAAUUCUAAUGUCUUCCCCAAUAAUGAUGUCGAGGGAAAAAAAAUUUAAUCAUAAGUCAUCCAUAAUUUUCUCAACCAAAUGAUUAAAAACAUGCUUAACACACCUACAUAGACACAUAACUUAGGAAGGAAAUGACAUUUGCACCACUGUAUAAUAUUAUACUAAUUGUACAGGGGGAAUGUGACAAGUGUACAAGGGUGUACAGGACUCCUAAUAGGUUUUGUAUGAUUUUUAAUCAACUUGAAUUUGACAUUAGAACAAUUAUCGAUAGUUUUUUUUUUUUCUCUUUUUUGUUUUUUUUACCAAACUAUGCCAUUAAGACCAAUGAGAAAUAAUAUACAACAUAUUUAUUAUUUUUUAAGUAAGAAACAAAAAAAAUAUUUGCUAAGGUAUUUAAAAAAUAUUUAUUAUAUAUUUUAUAAGUUUGAAAAAAAAAUUUAAUGAUGUCGAAUUUGCAAGUUAGAACAAAUAAAGAAUACUAAUAUUUUAUGAAAUAUUUAAAAAUUGUUUAAUAUAUAUAAGAAAUAAUAUAAGUUUGAAAUAAAUAAUAAUAUUUAUUAUAUAUUAUGUAAGUUUGAAAAAAAGAAUAAUAUUUAAUAAGGUAUUUAAAAAUUAUUUACUUCAAAACUGCAUUUGACAAUAAUAAUUUUUAAUUAUUUAUCUUUCAUAUUCAAUUUGUUGGAGAAAAAUAAUUGGUAAAUCAUUUAACUUGAUCCCACUAAUAAAUAAGUAAGAGAAGGGUGAAAAAAUCAAAGAAAGAAAAGAGAAAGGUAGGAGUGGCUGGUAGCUUUUUCAUUUGAUAGUUAAGGGUAUUUUAAGGAUUUUUGAAUGGCAAUAUCCUUCUUCUCAAUUUCUAUUCUUUCCUUAGGUUUUGAAUUUAAUUAUAGGUGAUAGGAGGACCUUAUCUCAAUUAUCCAACCCAGCUGGGGUGGAAACACAAUUCUCCCUUUCUUGCCCAGCUCAGCAGAAAUUUGUCUGUCUUUUAAGGUAGAGUGCACUGCCAUCAUUGCAUUAUUUUAUUUUAUUGAGGAUAGUAUCGAAAAACACCUUCGUUGCCUUAUCAUUUUCCUAAUAAUGCAAGUAGUGCAACUCAACAACAUCAAAUAGAAAGUACUGAUGUUAAGUGCGAAUAAUGCAAGUAGUGCAACUCAACGACACCAAAUAGAGAGUACUGGUGUUAAAUGCAACCGUUGUUUCUUCAUGGCCACUAUGUUCAACAACUAGUCUCAAGCUUUACAUGUGAAAUUUAAUUCCAACUUUUAAAUAAAGAAAGAAAUAUGCUAUGGUAAAAAUAAUAAUAAUAAUAAUAAUAAUAAAAUAAAUAAAAUGAAAUUAUGUAUAAAGAAAGACUUAAAACAUAAAUGAAUGGAUCAACUAAUGUUCUGUUAAAGAAUUCAGAAGAAAGAAAUUUUUAGAUAGAUGAAUUGAUUUUCAUUGAUUGAUUGUGAUAAUAUAAAGGAGUUUCAAUCAGGGACGAAAAUAUCGCGAUAUAUCGUGUAUUGGGAGGUUCCGACACGAUAUUUUCCAACUGAUAUAUCGAGAAGGAGAAAUAUCGAAAAAUAUCAUCGAUAUAUCGACGAUAUAGAGGUUGUAGUUGAUAAAUCAACUAUUAAUGAAAAAAAUCACCUAUGAAUGCGAAAAAUCAUCGAUAUUUCAGCAAAAAAUCACCUUACAUUGUGAGCGUGAUCUGACGGCCCAAAUCAUGCCCGCAUUGAUCCGAUGCCCCAUAUUACACCCACGUUGAUCCGACGCCCCAAAUCACGUCCACGUGCAACAAUCAACUUCCUCGUUUGAUUCAAUGGCUAAGAUGACAAUCCAACAACUAUUUUGUGAGCCAACGGUAAAAUGAUGUUUGAACAACUUUUUUGGCCCAAAUUUUUGUUUAUAAAUAGUUCAUUUUGGAUCUAUUUGAUCCCCAUUUUAUUGCAUUUGAUCUCUCAUUGCUCAUAAUUUUUUUUUUAUUAUUUUCAAAUUAUUAUAAAUUUGGGAAAUUUCUAAGGUGACUCAUUUAUUCAACUAUUCUAACGUAUGUUUGUUUUAAAUUCUAAUUAAUUUUGUUUUUCAGUUGUAAUUAAUUAAUGUAUUUUCAAUUCAUUAGUAUAUUUUCUAAAUUAUCUAAUAUCACAAAUCAUAUCAUACAUAUAUCAAAUUCUUCAACAAAACAAUUUUAAAAUGUCUAUUAUAUUUCUAAUUACAUUAUUAUGAGGUUUUUCUUACUUUUUCAUGAGUUUUGAACAAUUUUAGGCCUAUAGAAAUUUUUUUUCAAAAUAUCCGCCGAUAUAUCUGUAAAAUCAAAGUAUCGAUAUAUUCGUGAUUACCGAUUUUUUUAUCCUUGGUUUCUAUAUUGAGAGAAUAAUACAACAAACUCUCAUUGGGUUAGUUCCAAAUUGUGGCAUUUAGUAACCAAUCCUAACAACUUACAAAUGAGUUGUCCUAACAUGCUCCCUCAAACUUAGGUAGUAAAAUCUUUUACUUUAUGUUUGUUUUUGAAAUUGAAAAACAAUGAACUCAACACUACCUUGGUAAGUAUGUCUACAACUUGAUCUUGAGCAAGGAUGUGUCUUACAUCACCUUGUUUGGUGAGAACUUUUUUUCCGACGAAGUAUAAAUCCAAUUCUAUAUGUUUUUUACAUGAAUGUUGGAUUAGGUUGGCUGCAAGUUGGAUUGUACUUAGAUUAUCACACCAAAUCAUGAUUGAAGUCUGCAACUUAGUCAACUUAAGUUCUUGUAAGAGAGAUUGAAUCCUUAUGAUUUCUACUACCAUACUGGCUAAACUUUUGUACUUCGCCUUUGUAUUGGAUCUUGCUACCGUUUGCUAUUUCUUAGAGUGCCAAGAAAUCAAGUUAGGACUUUGGUAGACACAAUAUGCUAAAGUUAAUCUUCUAUCAUUUUAAUCUAAUACCCAAUCGACAUCACAAAUGCCUAUCACAUUCAAAUUAUUGGAUUUAUUCAAGUAUAGGCCAAAAUCCAAGGUAUCACUUACAUACCAUAGUAUCCUCUUAAUUGCCUUCCGAUGAACUUCCAUAGGAUUUUGCAUGAAUUAACAAACCCUAUUAACACUAUAGGCAAUCUCUAGCCUAGUUAUCAUUGCAUAUUGUAAUGUACCAACUACACUUCGAUAAAGUUGUGGAUCUUGAAUAGGAUGACCACCGUAUGCUAAAAGUUUUAGGCAUGUUGUCAUAGGAGUAGUCAAUGGUUUAGCAUAUUGCAUUUUAGCUUGACGUAGAAGAUCGGUGAUAUACUUGGUUUGAGAUAAAUGCAGCCGUUCACUAGUUUCUUUAACCUAAAUGCCCAGAAAAUAGGAGAUAGGUCGACGGUCCUUCAAAGCAAAGUCGAAGUUCAAGCUGGUGAUAAGUUGCCUACACCUAAGUGAUCACUUCCGGUUCCAUGAUUUAUUAUAUGAAAUUAGAAUGUCCUACUAACCACCUGUGGAUUCACCUAGCAUUAUUAUUUUUUAACGACCACAUUUAUCAAACACGUCAAAGAGAGAAAUUAAGUGACUCCAUGUUGAACACUAUAAAAAUUCUUGCAUGAAAAGCAAUAAUUUGAAGUAAAAAUAUAAAACAAAAAAAUAAGUAAAAUAAAAUAUAAAUAAAAUUUUUCUUAUGGUUAGAAAAGUCGUAUAUAUAUUUAUAUUAUAUAUGAGGCUUCUUUCAAAUCUUAAGAAUUUUUUUAUUAACAUAAAGAUUAUUUGAAACAUUCCAUUUUCUAGGUAUCAAAAGAACUUUAUUAUCACAAGAUUAUUUUUGUAAGAAUUUUUUUAGAAUCAUGAUGAAAGAAGUAAGUGAAUGUUUGGUAAAUCAACUUAAUAAUUUAAAUUCACUUAAUAACUUAAUUUAAGUUAAUAAGUAAAUUAAAUUUGUUCGGUAAAAUAACUUAAUAAUAUGACUUAAAAUAAAAAACAACUUUAAAUAAUAAGUAAAAAUAAUUAAUUUAUUCUUAAGUUUAUAUUUUCAUUUUUACCCUUUUAUCCUUAUGUAUCCUAGUUACUUCCAUGAUAUUUUUUGCUAUUUUAUAACCUCCAUUAUUACUUAACCUCUUUUAUCUUAAUUAUAAUUUAUGAGGAUAAAUAUAUGAAUUUGAAGAUUUAGAAUAAAUUUUAAGUUAAUUUUAUCAAACAACCUUAAUAUUUAAAAAGUAAGAGUUAAAUAAUAAGCUCUAAGUCAACAACUUAAGUAUGACUUAACUUAAAGUCAACUUAAAUCAUUAAAUAAUAAGUUUUAAGUUUUAUCAAAUACGUCCCAAAUAUAGAACUUUAUUUCAAGAGCAAAAAUAUGAAAGGAAUUACUUGAAUUUGAGUGCAAACAAUUUUUUUUUCCAUUUUUAAACAUAUAUAAAAUGAAAAUGAUAAGUUUGACUUUUUAUUAAAAUAAAACAAAAAACUAUAAUAAUAAUAAAAAUAAAACUUAGAUGAUUUAGUUCUUUUUUUAUUUUUAAAAGUAGAAAUUUUAGAAACUUUAUGUUUGCAUUAUGUACUUAAAAAUUAUUUUGAUAAUAAAAAAAUUUAAUACCUUAAUUUUUUUUAAUUAAUUUUAAAAAUCAUUAUAUUUUCAAUUCAAGCUCUAAAAGUUUUUGUAUUUGUUUAUAAAAAUUAGGGUUAUUUGAUUAAAGGGUUAUUGAAAACUCAAUUUUGAAUAUUUAACCAUUUAUCCUUUUUUUACUUCAUUUUGAUAAAAAUAUCCUCAUUCUUUUUCUUUUUUUUAAAUAAAUAACAAAUUUUAAAAAAAAAUUUACAUAUAAAUACUUGAAAUGAUAAAGGGUAAUUAUAUAUAUAUAAUGUAUUAGGUUUUAAAUAAAAAUAUAAAAAGGAGUAGAUUUACAGGUUUGGAGAUUAUUUUAUCUAUUUUAACUAGUGUUUUAAAAAUAGAGGUUGAUCGGUCUGACCUAUCACCAAUCCAAUCCGAUUCGGCCUUUUAAGCCAGAUAGCUGUUGAACCGGCGUCAAACCUUCGAAACCGAAAGUCGAACCACUGAAUCGAACAGUUCAAAAAACCCUCAUCUCUUUCCCCUAUCCAGCUCCCUCCUCAAUCGUCGUCGCCCCCUUCUUUAUUCUCAAAUUUGUAACUAUGCCUCCACCCUCCAUCUAUUUCCAAUUCCUAGUGUGCACUCCUCACCCUCCCUCUCUUCCCAGUCCUAGCAUGUGCUUCUCCCACACUCCCUUUCUUCCUAGUCCCAAUGUACGCCUCUCUAUGGUGCCACCUGUGGGGGCCCUUCCCCACACGUCUGUCCACAUGUGCCUCCACGUAUCUAGAUACAUGGUAGCACCUCUCCUGGACCACGUGUCACUCCCUUCAUUACUAUUCGGACAACCAUCAAGGCAUACAGGAACAUUCUAUCUAAACCAUAUAGGCUCACUAAGCAUAACACACCUUCCUGAUAACCCCAAAUCCUCUCUAAUAUGUGAAAUGAUGGCAUUCUGACGCUUAAGUGGCUGAUGGGACCUUCCCCUUCCAUACAUUAACAUCAAUGAGUCAUCCUAGCCAUCACCCAUACCUUCAACAAGUUGAAUGAUGGCAAGCUGCGCCAUGACACGCCGUCUAACACAACCACUAGCCGUCUGGCAACUGCAAUUAUUGCUAUGUCACUUACUACACAGUCAUCAUUGCAGCAUUAGGUCAAGGUGCUAGCUAAUCACUACUGUGUUUUCCCCAUUUAAGCACUAUAAAAACCCCACUGAAAUAGGACUCAGGUACGCAACACCAAGGACUCCCUCAUCUACUUUCUCUUAAAGGGUUCCUACCCAUUUCAAUAUCUGACCUAAGCUUCGGAGAGUGUGUCCAGACAACCUGUCUAGGCAUCCUUUGUGCAAGGAAGAAGAAAACCCAGUCUCUAGCAGCUGGGCAGAAGCUUUUGCUGCCACAACCAAUGGAGAAGUCCAUUCUCAGUUGACCUGGUAUCAACAUAGGCAUCGUCUGUGGGAAUAAGAUAAAGAUGUCAACACCCUCAAGAAGUCGAUCGUCAGCCAUGGGUAGGCGCAAAAAUAUGGAGAGACGCCAAUGAGAAAGUGAGUGAUAAAUGCAAGCCUUGCUCCAUGAGACAAGGAGGCUUAGGGAGGAGAACGAGGUGUUGCGUAUCCAAGUGUCUUCAUCGGGCUCUCCUCAUAGCCGACAACCUAGAAGUCAGCAAAUGAACUUCAAGCAAAACGAGGAGGCAUCAUAUCCUAGGAAUGCAAAGUUCCCCUCUGAUGAAUAAGAAAUGCAGCCUAAGGAAAUAUCCCCACUAGCCUGCCACGCGCCACUAGAUGAAAACUCUGAUUCCACUCAUGUCUCAUAAAAAAAAAAAGACACAAUAGCAGGUCACAGCUAUCAGAUGCAAUGCGCGCAAGACUAGGGCCUCAAAUGCCUGGUAUGAGGGAAACCCACAUGUAGUAAUGGCCCAGGAGGCAUAUCCUGGUCCCUCGGCUACACCAAUCAUGACAGAUUGGCUUUCCCAUUCGCUAACACAACAACCAGUAGCGGAUCUAACAAAUCAAGGUCCCCUUGACUCUGUCAAUAAGCUACUGGAUAACAUGUUCUUCACGCCUUUCAUCCCUUACAACAUCAACUACGAGCCCCCAAGAGGGUUCAUGGUCCCAAAGUUUUCCACGUAUGACGGAACCAGCGAUCCAUUUGACCAUAUCAUGCAUUACAGGCAACUCAUAACCCUUGAAAUAGGGAAUGACGCGCUGUUGUGCAAGGUCUUUCAAGCUAGCCUCCACAGCCAAGCUCUUUCAUGGUGCCACCGCCUCCCGAUGAAUUCUGUGAAUAAUUUUCGGGAUCUAUCGGAGGCCUUUGUGGGACAAUAUUUAUGCUCAGCAUGACAUAAGCAAAACAUCAGUAGCCUACAGAACAUAAAGAUGCAGGAGAAUGAGUCAUUGAGAGAAUUUGUGAAGAGGUUCGGACAAGUCGUGCUUCAAGUAGAAUCUUGUAGCAUGGACGUUGUCCUUCAAAUUUUUAAAAGAAGUAUCUGUCCAGGUAUACCCUUCUUUGAAUCUCUCGCCAAAAAACCUUCAGCAACGAUGGACAACUUGUUCAAACGAGUGAACAAGUACUCCAUGCUUGAGGACGACAUCCACGCAGCUACUCAGCAGGCCCUGGUCACCAGUCGGAAUACUAGGAACGACUCAGACGGGAGCUCUAAGCCCAUAAACUAAUGGAGGCAAACUAGUAAGGGGCAGGGCAAACAAUAACAGCUAACCCAAGCUAGCCUCACCCUCCUCAACAUCUCAUACGAAAAACUUCUCCCCAUGAUCUGAGAUUUGUCCGAUUUCAGAUGGCCACAGCCAAUUAAGGCAGAUCCGGAGAAACGAGAUCGAAGCAGAAAAUGUGUUUAUCAUAAAGACCAUGGUCACACCACAAAGCAAUGCAAAAGUCUCCACUGCCUAGUAGAAAUAGUACGUCCGCUCAGAGGGAAGACAUUGAGCCAAGCCCCCACAAAUUUGACUGCCCCUAGAACCGUAAUCAACUACAUUCAUGGGAGUGUCGUGGAUGAGAAAUACAAUUUUAAAUGGAAAAGACAAAUGUUACUUCGAGUCGCCUCUGUAAGAGAACAGGUUAGCUCCAUCCAACCUGACUUGCCCAGUGGGGGCACGAGCCCAAUAGAUGGGGUAAUUACCUUCCCUCUAGUAGACCCCAAUCAGGUGUUACAGCCCCAUGAAGAUGCUUGAUCUUGACACUGGGAAUCAUCGAUUUCGAUGUAAGGUGAAUUUUGAUUUAUCCGGGUAGUUCAGUCGACUUGUUACAAAUGUUCGCGUACAAACAAAUGGGGUUCCCAUCAUCUGCCCUAGAGAACCCCGGGUGGAUACUAUUAAGAUUCAAUGAAGCCUCAACCACUUCUCUAGGAGAUGUCGUGUUACCUGUCCAGGCUAGACCAGAUAUCCAGAAUGUGCAAUUCUUAGUGGUGGAAGACUUGUCCCCUUUCAAUGCUAUCAUGGGACGCACCUGGCUACAUGGCAUGAAGGUCAUCCCUUCUAUGUAUCACAAAAUGGUAAGUUAUCUAACCGACGACAGACAUAUCAACCUUUUUGGCAGCCAGCUAGCUGCACGACAAUGUUAUUAGAUAGCACAUGAAUCUAGAUCCUCCAAAGAUAAUAAAUUGCCCACGGAACAGACUAACAUGGAGCAAUAAUAGCAAUUAUAGAGCCCGGUAGAAAGUGAUCCAUCGGCAGCUGACCUACUCCUACCCUUAUGUCUUUCUCAUAACAAUGAAUGUGUUACUCAUGUCAACUCCCUACAAGCACCUGAAAAAUGUGAAGUACUCAAAGUAGUGCUUUGGCAAAAUGAGGAGGUCUUCGUGUGGACUCAUUUUGAUAUGCCCGAAAUCCACCCUUCAAUAGCCUCAUAUCAACUAUAUAUCAUACCUUCUUUGCGGCCUAUCCGACAAAGGGUCAGACGCUUCCAUCCGGAGAGGCAAAAGAUCAUCCAAGCUGAAGUGGACAAGCUACUGGCAAUUGGGUUCAUCAGGGAAGUAGAAUAUCUUGAUUGGCUAGCAAAUGUUGUUGUGGUCCCAAAGAAAUGAGGGAAGUGGUGAGUCUGUGUUGAUUACACUAACCUAAAUGAUGCCUACCCAAAAGAUAACUUUCCUUUGCCCCAGAUAAAUCAGAUAGUAGACUCCACUACUGGGCACGGGAUGCUCUCUUUCGUAGAUGCUUUUUAUGGAUACCAUCGGAUUCCUAUGUUCCAACUGAACAAGGAGAAAAUCGCCUUUGUGACACCACACGGGUUGUAUUGCUACAAAGUCAUGUCGUUUGGACUCAAGAACGCUAGAGCCAUCUUCUAAAUGCUAAUGACAAAGAUUUUCAAACCACUAAUCAGCCACACAGUAGAGGUAUACAUCGAUGACAUUGUAGUAAAGAGCAAAACUAGAAGUAAACACACCCAACAUUUAGAAUAAACUUUUCACUUGAUGAAAAUGUACAACAUGAAGCUCAACUCGGCCAAAUGCGCCUUUGGAGUCAAUGCAGGUAAAUUCAUGGGAUUCAUGGUAACACAAAGGAAUAAAAGUUAGUUUGGACCAAAUCAAAGUUGUCAUGGAAACACCCACCCCAAAUUCUAAGAAGGAAUUGUAGUGUCUCACUGGCCGCCUAGUCGCACUAGGACGCUUCAUAGCCUAUUUCACAAACAAGUUAAGGUUUUUCUUCCUCACACUAAAAGGAGCUAGCGCGACAGGAUGGACAAACAACUAUGAGAAAGCAUUUGAGGAGAUUAAACGCUAUCUCACACAGCCACCAUCCUGAGUAGUCCUCAACCCGGUGAGCAACUGUACAUGUAUCUAACAGUAUUUGACUGGGUUGUCAGUGUUGUGCUCUUUUGCCACGUGAAAGACAAGUAACAGAGGCUCAUCUACUACGUGAGCAAAUCAAUGGUUGAGGCGGAAGCUCGAUACUCCAAGAUGGAACAAACAACUUUGGCUUUGAGAAGUGUUGCACAAAAACUUUGCCCUUACUUUUGAGCCCAUCAGAUGACUAUACUCACAAACCAACCACUUAGAAGAAUUUUACAUAAAACCGACUUAUGUAGGAGGAUGCUGAAAUGGGCCAUAGAACUAAGUGAGUAUGAGAUCAAAUACCAGCCUAGACUGGCAAUGAAGGGACAGGUCAUGGUGGACUUUAUAGUUGAGAUUCCUUAGAAACCAUCACAGCUUGUAGAUUCUCUUAAAAAUGGAUGGUGGAUACUUCAUGUUAAUAGAGCAUCCGGGGUCUCUAAAGCCGAAAUAGGCCUUCUCUUACAAUCCCCAACCAGAGAACAAUUGGAAUAGGCUAUCAGGCUUGGGUUACUUGCCUCCAAUAACAAAUCAAAGUAUGAGGUAAUCCUAGUCGGGUUGAAUCUUGCUCUUACUUUAUCGACAACUGAGUUGGAAAUAUGCGGCGAUUCCCAGCUAGUCAUUGGACAAAUUUUGGGAUAAUACGAAGCCAAGGAUGAACGCAUGACCCGAUACCUUUCAAAGGUACAAGCAAAUUUAAAUAAACUAAGCAAAUGGGUCGUCAAGAGAAUCCUCAGCACAGAAAACAUAUAGACUGACGCCCUAACUAAGAUAGUUGCUACUCUCCCGAUAAAAGAAGUCGUAUUACUACCCGUCUACCUCCAAGCUACAUCGUCAAUGGCAGACGGUCCAAUAUGCAAUGCCAGUGAAACAGAUGUCAACUGGAUGCACGAGAUUGAGGCAUAUAUCCGGACAGGAAAAUUACUUGAAGAUAGAAAGCAAGCUCACAAAAUCCGGGUACAGGCGCCGCCUUCACUCUAAUCGAAGACAGCCUUUACAGGCGAUCUUUUGGAGGAUCGUACUUCAAAUGCUUAAAAUAUGCAGAAGCAUGGUACGUAUAGGUCGAGCUUCAUGAAAGUGUGAAUGGCAAUCACAUAAGCGAAUGUACCUUAGCGCAUUGUGCUCACUCACAAGGAUACUUUUAGCCCACCAUAGGACAAGACGUUGAUAAAUAUGUCAAAAAGUGUGAUUGAUGCCAAAGGUAUGCACCUAUUCCUCGUAUGCCCUCCAAGAUCCUCAAUUCAGUCACGAGUCCUUGGCCAUUCGUACUAUGGGAAAUGGAUAUAAUUGGCCCCCUACCUGUUGCAGCUGCAUAGAAAAAGUUUCUACUUGUAACCACGGAUUACUUCAACAAAUGGGUAGAGGUAGAAGCUUAUGCUAACAUCAAGGAUAGGACGUUUCCAAGUUCGUCUAGAAAAAUAUCAUCUACCAGUUUGGAAUCCCACAAGCAAUUGUAGCUGAUAACAGGCCGCAAUUUGAUAGUAUCGCCUUUAGAACCUUCUACUCGGAGCUAAAGAUCAAGAAUUUAUACUCCACGCCACAUUACCCUCACAAUAAUGGACAAGCGGAGGCAACGAACAAAACUCUACUCUCUGGGCUGAAGAAAAUACUAGAAAAAGCCAAAGGAAAAUGGGUAAAUGAACUACCCGGAGUUUUGUGGGCUUAUCGAACGACACCUGGUUGACCAACGAGAACCACUCACUUUGCUCUCGCCUAUGGAAUGGAGGCAAUUAUCCCAUCCGAGAUAGGCAUGCCCACAACCAAGACGAUCAUCCAAGGCCAGAGAUACGAGAGUCGGGAGCUUGAAAGACACCUAGAUUGGGCAGAUGAGGCAAGAGGGAAUGCAGUCAUCCGGAUGGCAUCCUAUCAGCAAAGAGCUAUUGCCCACUACAAUAGGAAGGCUUAGUCGCGCACUUUUAGGACUAGGACUCUAGUCUUCAAAAGAGUCUUUGAAAACACGGCUGAAAGAGGGGUUAGAAAACUUCAGCCAAACUGGGAAGGACCCUACGUAUUAUUUAAGGUAGAAGACUCAGGGGCUUACCCUCUGCAAAUGCUAGACGGAGUGCCCCUGCUCCGCCCAUGGAAUGUAUCUAACUUGAAGCAAAACUAUCAGUAAAUUGGGUUUAAGGAAAGAAGAUUUAGUAAGAAAACGCAAGUAAAAAGAAACAAGUCUGCAUUGAUAGAAAGUGUUCAUUACAAGGUCGUGUCCAGAUAAAACAAUAAACGAAAAAGGGAAAAAAAAAAGUGCAAGAAUACAAUCAUUGCUCGUCGAAGGGCCUAACUGCAUCUGAAUCCUUAUCUCCCUAGGCGGAGUUGCUGAUUAUUGCAUCUUCCUCAUCGGAAGGGUAGUUGGGGAUAUCAUGAGUAAUGUCGUUCUUCCUCAUACAGUAUUGGUAGCCGAAGAAGAACAUAUCAUCAACUUGCUUAUGAUAAUCCUCCUCUAGCUCAUUCUUCUCGGCAGCAAACUCUACCCGAAGCUCCUCUAGCUUAUUCUUUCCUUGCAUCGGAAGUCAUUCCAAGCUCCUCCAGCUCUUUCUUCAGUUGGUCUUUUUCCUGCUCCACAUUCUUGCACUUAGCCUCCGUAGUCUCCAUUUCUUCUCUCAUCUGGCACACCUCGGCUUUCACUACCUCCCUUUCCUCUUCUAUCUCCUUCAACAACUUUCCUCUGUCUGUGAUAGCUUUCUGAGCGGCAACCGGGUCAUUCUCCGCCCGCUUAAGUUGGGUAUGGAGCUCUUCGUUGCUAUCCAGUUGCUAGGUAAAAAAUCCCCUCAUAGUCUCCUCGACCUCCAACCAUUUGAAGAGUAGGGCCUACUGGCGCAUUAAGUUACGAAUAGCAAUCACUACUUGAACGACAUUAAAGCAAAUGUUAGAAGUCAGACACUGAGGAAACUUAAACUAAGAAGGAGCAAGCCUUACCACUUCCGUCGUCUCAACAGUAGUGUACUACUGCAUCAGUUGAAUACAGAGGAAAACGGAUUCCAAAGUGUCAUGAGGGAGGCGAGGUGCAGCAGUUAUUAGGGGGUUGUCGGGCAUGUCAACAAAAUACUAACGGGUAAGCAGAAAGAAAUCACCCAUAUCAAUUGAAAGGGGCUCAAGCAUAGUGAAGUAGGUGACCUACUUCAACAAUGCCGCUAUCUCUUCCCGAGCCAGAAACGGGAGAGCUAACCGAGGCAUCUUUGUCAGUGAGAUCAUUACCCAGAGUUUGACUAAUAGAGGUCUUUUCUUGCACUGGGCAGGCGUUCUUCUCAACAAAAAAACUCACGACCAACGCUUGGUCGGACCCAACAACAUCAGAUGGAGGCAUCAUCACCAGAUGAGCAUCCGAGACCGGCAUUUUAGGAGAGACCUCAGAGCAAGUCCUCUUAGCAGGUAAAGGGGCAACUAGAAGUGACUCAAAGAGGCAUUUACGCUACCUCUCCUUGAAACCAACCCUUAGGUUAGGUGUCAUUUAUUCUUCUUCUUCUUCUUUUUCUGGCUCAAGGAUGAUGCAAGGCGCCAUUGGCUCAAGCUCCUGAUUCGGAUUGGCCCCUAUGAAGGGUGAGCCGGUUAAGCCCUAAUCGGUGUCUGCAUCAGAAGAAAGCAAAUGAGAAAAAGCAAAUGGAGAUAGGUCCAACGCCUUCUCGAUAGGGCGAAAGACAGCUUCCUCUUAGUAGGGGAUGAGUAGUAGAACUGGUGGUCGGACGACUUAUGCCCGGAGCUUGUCUUAGAGUCCUCUUCUGACACUUUUUCUCUCUCUAAUCAAGCCUGUCUUGUCAAACCUCCUCAUAGAAAGGAAGAUAUUUCAAUACGUGAUGUUUGUCGGGCACCAAAACUUUAGGCACAAGACGAGGAAAGAUGGGAAGGACGUAAGGUUGCGACUCCCAGGCCACUGCUAGCAAGUUCCGAUCAAUCAGCAGAGUAUGAUGAUGCCGCUAAUUAGUAGAAAUCACAAAUAACUUGUUGAGCCGGUCGAAAUUAGCUUUCUCCACCCACUCUACCGGUCGACAUUUCUUCUUCUUUCUUAUAGCACACAAAGUAAUAAACAUCAGCACCGAGCCGACUAUUAAUAAAGUUGUAAGGAUAAAACAAGAGGGAACUAUGGUUUAUUCUACCCAGAAUUGCCAACGAACGAUGUAGUUCGAACUCUCAACCCGGGUGCUCGAGUGAACCAGCCUAGGGCCCCGAAACAACGACAUACCCCUUAGUCGCACCCUUAGUAGAAUCCGAAAGCCCCGUCACCAACUGAAGAGAAGGGAUAUGAGCGGACAAGCUGAAUAUCCUUUUCCCACUCAUCUUCAUAGUGUAAAUAAAAAAGAUCUCUAACAAAGAAAGAUCCAAGUGGAAUAACAUAUCCAAAAUGGUGCACCCCAUCAGUACUCUGACCGCAUUCGGAUGAAGAAAUGAUGGGGAAAUCUUCGUGAAGUGAAGAAACUGCCUAAAAAGUGAAGGAAGAGGGAAGUGGAGCCCAGUAUUAAAUUGCUCUUUUCUGAAGACGGUAGCAUUGAAGGGUUCUUUUUCGGUAGACACAGGGCCACCAUCCAUCAAGUGAGUAGCAAGGCUAUUCAGAAUGCGGAAGCGCUCCCUAAACUUUCACUCAGAAAGGAGUUCGAUAAGCUUUUCCGAAUGGGUGCAACCGACACUUUCUCUUGGUCGGUCACCUUUCUUGCCCUUACCAACCGCACUAGUAGAAGCAACACCCCCUAUUGUUGACAUGUUGAAGUAGUGGGUUGAGUAAGACCUACAUGACACAACGACCGAUUAUUAGAAAGUAGUCACCCGGCCCUUUUAUCGAUAUGUAGUACCUCAGAAGUGCAACGAUCAGCCAACACAAGCCUAAGACCCACAUUUGGAUGGAGCGCUUGACCCAGCCUAUAGGGCAAGCCCUAACCAAGGUUCCCCCUAACCAUACCCUACAGAAGCCUUAAACCAAAAAGCCUAACAACAGCCCUAAAAAACCAAUCGAAAGGCAAAAAAAACCCUAGUUCUAGCAAACGUCGUCAAUUGAACCACCGACGGUGACUCCUCUUCCCAAAAAAACACCAAAACCCUACAUCCUACACUCAGCGACGUCCAUAUUGAACCUAGAAAAGCCACAAAUAAUCCCAAUAGCAAUUAAGUGCACCGUUGAAAAUAAAAAAAAGUCAAUACGAGGGAUUAACGACUUACCUAAAACCAGGAGAAGCACCGUUGACAGAAACGAAGUUCACCCUAAAGCAGAACUGGUACAGAUGGUGGGACCACCAGGAAAAUGAACGGUAAACCGAAAUCACUGUAGCAUAGAAUGCAAAAGCAGUCAGAGAAGAUGAAUGAAAAAACAACGAGGAAAGCGACAAUUGGAGUUGCAGUGGGCAUAAUGCAGAUGAAAUGAAGGCAAGAUGAAGAGUUGCAAGAGCAAGAAAUGUCCAAAAAGGGUGUUCCUAAAGGCCUGGAAUCUCUAAUUUAUAGGGGACCAAAACCCUAGGGAUCCCAAAAAACAGGCCACCUAGGAAUGCGUCCCAAAGCGACACGUCGCCUAACAAAUGCCUCAGUGGAAGUGACCUUCACUUAAUGACCGACACAUGUCUCGCUGACACUAGGGGAUCCCAAUGGCCAUUUUUAGCCAGUCCACUUCUACCCGAACACGGAUGCACGUGCUAAAGGGGGCAUUGUGGGGGCCCUUCCCCACACAUCUGUCCACAUAUGCCUCCAUGUAUCUGGACAUGUGGCAACACCUCUCCUGGACCACGUGUCACUCCCUCCAUUAUUGUUCGGACAACCACCGAGGCAUACAAGAACAUUUUAUCCGAACCAUAUAGGCCCAUUGAGAGUAACACACCUUAUUGACAACCCCAAAUCCUCUCUAAUAUGUGAAACGAUGGCAUUCUAACACUGGAGUGGCUGAUGGGACCUUUCCCCUCCAUACGUCAACAUCGAUGGGCAAUCCUACCCAUCACCCAUACCUUCAACAGGCUAAAAUGACGACAAGUUGCGUCAUGACGCGUCGUCUGACACAGCCACUAAUCGCCUGACAACUGCAAUAAUUGUCAUGUCACUUACUACACAAUCAUUAUUGCAGCAUUAGGUCAAGGCGCCAGCUAAGUACUACUAUGCUUUCCCCCUUUGAGCACUAUAAAAACCCCACUGAAACAGGACUCAGGUACGCAACACCAAGGACUCUCUCAUCAACUCUCUCUCAAAGGGUUUCUACCCAUUUCAAUAUCUGACUUAGGCUUUGGAGAGUAUGUCUGGACAACCUAUUCGGGCAUCCUUUGAGUAGGGAAGAAGAAAGCUCAGUCUCUAGCAGCUAGGUAGAAGCUUUUGCUGCCACAACCAAGGGAAGAAUCCAUCCUUAGUUGACCUAGUAUCAACACCACCCAACACCCUCUCCACCCUCCGUCUCUUUCUAGUUUCCAGCGUGCGGCUAUCACCCUCCCUCUCUUCCCAGUUCUAGGAUGCGCUUCUCUCACACUUCUUCUAUUCCCAGUCCCAAUGUGCACCUCUCCGUGGCGCCAGCCAACACACCACCCCCCUUCCCCUUCUUUCUUCUACUACUGCCCAUAUUCUCCUUUCUUUUUUAGUUGAACUCUCUUUCUUCUUCCCACCUCUAUCAUGAACACCUCCCAUUUCAUUUCCUGGUUUUUUUAUUAUAUAUUUUUUAUAUUUUCAUUUACCUUUUCCAUCCAUAGCCAUUCUUUUAUAUAUAUAUAUAUUUGUUUUUUUAAAACUUUAUGAUUUUUAAAACUUGUGAUUUUAAUUUAAAUUAAUGAAAACAUCAUAAUUUUAAAUAAAUUUCUAAUUUUAAAAUAAGUUUUUGAUUUAAAAAUAAAUUUUAAAAUUUUAAAUUUUAAAUUAAAUUUUUUAUCUUAAUUUAAAUUUCUACUUUGAAACUAAUUUUAUGAUUUUCAAAUAAUUUUAUGAUUUUCAAAUAAUUUUUAAUUUUUAAAUAAUAUAUAAGUUAAUAAUUUUAAUUUUAAUAAUAUAUAAAUUAUAUAUUUAUAUUGUCACCGAUUCGACUGUAGUUCGAUCGCUAGUCCAACUAGUGAAUCGUGAACCAACAACUUUUCCGAUUCAAUAAUCGGUCUGAUUUUGAAAACAUUGAUUUUAACUAAUUAAUUCUAAAAGUUAAUAUAAUUUUACAUUUCUAAAAUGGAAAAUUUGAAGUGUAUGUAAAUUGACACUUAUUUGUUUAUUUAUAAAUUUUAUUUAUUUUUAUAUACUUAAAAAAAUUUAAAUAAAACAAAUGGCUACCUCACUCCAUUUGGAAUUAAGAAUAAGAAUGAAAAUAUACUUAAAUAGUAAUUAAGACGAGGGUGGGAAAGGUGAGCCACCUAUACCCGAGGCUUUACAUCCCUAGAUAUAAAGCUUUACUAGGUCAUGUUGGCAUAUUUUUCUUAAUAACAGAUUAUUAAGAGACACUCUAUUUGAUUGGUGAAUUGAGUAUGGGAAAUUUUAGGAUGUCAAGUUCAUAUUUAUUGAAUUUACAAUCUCAAUCAUGAAUAUGUAUAGUGAAAUCUAAACCGUUGAAUGUUGAUAUAAAUAAAUAAGAUCAUUGUACAAAUAAAUGAUAUCAAAAUAUAAAUGAAUGAAAUUAAAGUACAAAGUAAUGAAAAUUAGAUACAAAAUAUUAGGAAUAGAUUAAAUAUAUGACAAGUUGGAAUUAGAUCCAUAUUUUGGUAGGUAAUAAUGAUUCAAUAUCGGUACGGAUACUCAUGAUUUAUAAGGAGUGAGUAGUAGAUGGCAAGACCAAUUUUGUUUUGAAAAGGGAAGUAAAUGGGAAGGCACAUUUACCAGACUUGACAUUAAAUAAUUUUAUAAGAAUUUAUUUUGAUUUUGAACAUAUUUUAUAUUUGUCUAAUUGUUUUUAUAUAGUAUUUUUAAUAAUAAUUUAAAAUACGAAGAACACUCUAAAAUUUUUUAUAUUAUAUAUAAAUUUAUAAUAUUUUUACGAAGAAACAAGCUCAAAAAAUUCUUAUAAAGAAAUCCAUUUUUUAGAAUUAUUAUCAAAAUUAAGCUGUUUUUAGAUAACUAUUUUUAAAACAUAAAUAAAUAAUAGUGGUCGACAGUUUACAUUAGCGAGAAGGGCGAUUAUUAUGUAGGGAUAGUUGGUCCUUUCCAUUUCUGAAGUCGGACUGUAUGAGGUAUAAUUUAUUUUGCCUACUUCUAUCCCCCCUGGGCUGAAAAUUAGAAGACGGCAGAGCUCGGCCCCAUACCUUGUCCUGACUCCUAUGUGCUUUAAAAUCACAUUAUGCACAUGCAUCGAACUCAGCCUUUGAAGCUCUUCCAUCACUGCAUUCAGAUGACCUAGCCAAAUCCAGUGGAGCUAGACACUUGAAGAUGUCACAACUGGUUUUCCUUGAAAAGGAAGCCCAGAUUUCUUUUAAGUACUUGGACAUUGUCACAUCUACCAAAGGCUUGAAAACGUUGGUUUGUCAUGAUUUUUUCCACUUCUUAAGGGUGGGUUGGUUUGUUUGUUUGUUUUUUUAAGUAUAAAUCUUUAUAUUUCUCCAUUGUUACAUUGUUACAUCUACGUAUCAAGCUUUGGAAGUGGCAUGCCUAAGUAUUCUUCCAUGGGAAAGCUUUUGGAGCAAAUAAUUAAGCAGGAGAUUUUAUUUUUUAACCUAUUAAACAGGUGUUUAGCAAAUCAACUUAAUAACUUAAAAGUGACUUAAUAACUUAAUUUUAAGUAAUUAAAUAAAUUAAAUAUAUUUGAUAAAAUAACUUAAUGAUAUAAUUUAAAAGUAAAAAACAACUUUAAGUAAUAAAUAAAAAUAAUUAACUUAUUUUUAAGUUCAUAUUUUUAUCUUCAUUUAUCAUAAUUAUUUUCAUGAUAUCCUUUAUUAUUUCAUGACAUUUAUUAUUACUCGACAUCAUUUAUCCUCGUUAUAAUUUAUAAGAAUAAAUAUAUUAAUUUGAUGUUUUAAAAUAAAUUGUAAAUUAAUUUUAUUAAAUAAUAUUAAUACUUAAAAUAAGAAUUAAAUAAUAAGUUUUAAGUUAACAAGUAUAAUUUAAGUUAAAAAAUCAAGUUAAGUGAUUAAGCCCCAAAAUCAAGUAUAUUGUAAGCAAAUGUUCUAAAUUUUUUUGUACCAUAUCUAGUUUACUUUUUAAAAUAUUUAGGCAUAGUUUACUUUGCCCACUCUCCUGUCCUUCAUUGGCUGAAAAUUAGAACACGUCAAGUCCCCAUACCUUAUCCCUGGUGGCUUUUAAUGCACAAUGCAUCUCACCCUUGGAUGCUCCUAUCACUGCAUUCAACCAAAUCCAGUGGGGACAAACUUGGUGAUGAUUUGUGCAACUGUUAUUCCUUGAAAGUGAAGCCCACAAUCUUUUUAUUUUUUUUAUUUUUUUAUUUUUCAGGUUAAUGAAUGGCUACUAAUGGAUUUUCAACAACCAGUCACACGUUAAAUAGAUAAGUAUGUAUGACUGAGAUGAAUGAGAAGUGGAUUAUGUAUAUUACAAAGGAAAUUAAUUGUAAAAGAAUUUUAAAUCAAGAAUUUAAAAAAAAUAAUAAAAUCAAGAAUUUUAAAUAAUAAAAUUAAUUUGAAAAAGAAUUUUAAAUUGAGAAUAUAAAAAAGAACAAUCUUUUCAAAAAAAAACUUAAGAAAUUUGGAAAGGAAUUAAAUCAAGAAUUUAAAAAAAAAAAAUUCUAAAUAUUUUUUAACUUCAAAAAGAAAAAAAAAAAAAAGCAUUUCCAAAUCUUUCUAAGAUUUUUAAACUUGUUAAAUUAUUUUUUUUCUUUUGUACAAUAUGAUUUUAAAAAGUCCACAAGAUUUUCUCUAAUUUAUUCUUAUUGGGGAGAGUUCUUUCCAAAAUUCAUGUGUUUAAACUUUAAAUCAUUAUUCUUCAUAAUUAACCCUAAACUCUUAGAUUGCUUUUUUAUUUUUUAUUUUUAUUAUUUUUUUUAAUUUUUGAAUUUGUAUAUUCUCAAAGUGUUGAAGAGUCCACGAAAGAAUAUAGUAGCGCUACAUUGCAAGCAUGAGAUUAGGUAUAAAUUUUAAAAUAUAGAGAGUAGAAACCAUCAUGUAAAUUAAAAAAUUAAAAUCUGAACUAAAAAGGAAUUAAUAGAUAACCGCCCUUAUAUAUAUAUUACUCCCAGAUAAGAAACUACAAGAAUUUAAAUAUAUAAAAAAGAAAAUUAUAUUUUAUUUUUUCUUUAAUGGAAAACCGCUUUCAUUUAUAGGUAGGAUUAUUCGUGGAUUGAACAGUAGUUAUAUAAAUGUAUAUUGCCAUUAGAAUAGGAUUGAAAGUUAGGUUGCAUGCAGCCAUGGGCGCUAUAUAUAUACCCCUCUUCUAUUCUAUUUUACAAGGCAUUCAUAUAAGGUGCUGCAAAUCGCUUAUCCUAUUCAAGUUCUUCCCCUGGGUUUGUGUCUCCAGAAAAAGAAAAAUGGUGAAAUUGAUGGCUACUUACACGGUGAGACCAGCCAAGGAGACACCGGGAGGCUACAGGUGUUUAUCAGACAGUGAUCAAGUUAGAGCUCUCACUCACGCACCCACCAUCUACUUUUACCCACCUGUAAAUGUGUCCCUUGAAUCGGCCACCGAGAUUCUGAGGCACUCUCUGAGUGAGGCGUUGGUGAUUUUCUAUCCACUAGCGGGACGCUUGCACUGGAUUGGUGGAGGCCGCCUUGAGCUCGACUGCAAUGCCUUGGGGGCUCUACUCAUUGCAGUCGAGUCCGAAGCCAAAAUCGAUGACUUUGGAGACUUCCGACCAACCCAAGAGAUCCGAGCUCUCAUCCCUUCAGUGGAUUACAACAAGCCAAUCCAUGAACUACCAUUGAUUUUGGUGCAAAUCACCAAGUUUAGCUGUGGUGGCAUGAGUCUGGGCUUGGGAAUAUCGCAUACCAUCGCUGAUGGCCUUAGUGCAUUACACUUCAUCUCGGAGUGGGCUAAAAUCGCCCGUGGCGAGCAAUCCAACAGCCC